RNAcentral lists this long non-coding RNA (98532 nucleotides) under Musa acuminata (dwarf banana). RNAcentral's name for it is "long non-coding RNA (MACU_LNC004106)". Lineage: Eukaryota; Viridiplantae; Streptophyta; Magnoliopsida; Zingiberales; Musaceae. The record is from RNAcentral.
GGGGGGGUUGGGAGGAGUGAGCAAAAGCUCAUAAAGGAGACGAGAAGCCUUGUUUCUCGAUCAUUGAAGUUGGGUGGCGAGGUGGAUCCAUUGCAAAAGGCUUUAAUGCUACUCCAAGGAAUCCCUGAGCACGGCAGUUGUCUGCAGUAAUGGCCCUUUGCUUAUUUUGCCUCAUGAGCUAUCCUUUACCAUACCCUUCCUUCCUCCUCCUCCUCCUCCUUCUCCUCCUCCCCUCCCCUCCCUCGGGUCCUUUUUGUCUCCCUCUGCUGCUGCGUUAGGUGGGAUAUCACUGCCUUUGGAUCCAAGUAUUUACCCUGUCCUCUGCGGCCACCCUUUUUGCGUUUGGAUCUUCUGAUCUAUUGUCCCAUCAUACUCGCAUAACCAGCAAUCCUCUCUCUGCAACCUGAACUUUUCUGAAUGAUAGCAUGGGAUUUGAGCCAAAUGGGUUUUAGCAAUGAGCUACGCCUCUCGGGACCAGGAGGAACUCAUGGAAUGUUGUGUAUGGGGGAGGUGCAUCAGUGGACCACCAUUUUUGGUUGGAACUUUUGCUUGCUUCUCAAGAGUAAUGGAGUUGGGAGACUUCAAAUGUUUCCUUCGACGCCCACUCCUUUUAGUGCAUGGAGAGAGUCAAAUACCACGUAGUAGUAGUAGUAAAAGAUUAGGAGGCAUUGGUCUUUUGACUAACGCAAUUUGCAUUGCCACAUCUUUUGGUCGUACUCUUCCGUGAUUGAUGGGGCUCUUAAAAUUAAGUAUUGGCCUACGUUCAUUAGUUGAAGGCACUACUGAUCUCACCUACAACAUCAGCUACAUAGUUAAUGUGUUGUCACAUGAUGACCAGCUUUGCUCAUUUACAUUCGUCCAAACCUAAGUCUGUCCCUCGGAGAAAGAUUGUUUCUUCGUUAGCCCACCUUAUGCCUGCACAUUCCUUGAAUUGCCUCUGUGAAAUUGCUCAGAGGACAUGCAAUUCUUGGCUAGAGAAUUCAUUCCAUGUCCGGAAAACCAUAAAUCUAAAGUAGAAAUGGUUCCUUCUCUGAUGUCUCGCAUUGACUCAUCUAUUCUGAGUCAUGCUCAGCACAAUUGAAUUCUAGUCUAAACAAGGGGAGUGCGGGUUGGCUGGUUCUCCUCCUUCACCUGUUCUUAGCUUACCUGAAGAGCAGCUGCAAUAUGGUAAAGCCAUUAUUUGGUUCCUUUACUCCCAAAAUGUUCAUUCAUGUACGAUGAUUGCGCAGCAGAACACAUAUAUAUAAUAUAUAAUUUUAUAUAUAACUUUGAAGGAAGGCAUUUCUUAGGCGAAAUACACCAAUGUUGUACGGUGUGAUAGUUCGACCUUAAAUUGGAUUGACUGCUAUUCAUAGUCAAACACGGAAAGAAAAAGAUGAAACGAAAACAUUAUCCUUUUAUAUAAACAAAUUAAACUAAAUGUAUUUUUGAUGGGAAAAAAAGAUUUAAAUCUGAGCUAUGAAUGUGUAUGGAAACGAAGAAAGAUGUGGUGACAAAGAAAUACAUCAAGCACCAUAGUGUAAUAUCCUGAUUUAUUUUUGAAUUAGAAGUGGAUAUAGACUUGAGUUGAAUGAUAAGGAUUCAUGCAUAUGAUGUCAUUAACCUCGACUUAAGGAUCUUAGUUCAUCAAUUUAGAUUUAAUAAACUAAUAAUUUAGUCGAUAAUUGGACCUCUCUUAUGCUAUAUUAGAAUUUGAUCCUAAACUACAUUAAUACUUGUUAGACAUUGUGAAUUUAUAAUAUCUUAAAUUAUUUCAUACAAAAAGUGAAUAAAUAUUUAAAUUAACUUAUAAGAGUUGAUUGAUAUAUUAUAAUUAACUUGGUAUUAAGUAUUUUAAUCUGUAGUUUAUAUUCAAUAAGUUAAGAGAUCAAUCUAAUUCCUUGGAUCGUUUCUACAUUUGAGGUAACUUUGAAUAUGGAGACCUUCUUUUGUUUCUUGAUGAUGAUCUAAAACUAAACUCAUGAACUUAUUAAGAUUGAUAGAACUUUUUUUAACAUUCUCGUGUCCCUCUCAUAUGAUAAUAUAAGAAUAUAAAAAAGAAAAAGAGAGAGAGUUUUUAUUCCUUUUGAUAUAUAGGCCUCCUAAUCCAUGGACUAUUAGCUCAAGUGCAUCUCAAAUAAUUGCAUCAUUAUGCUUGUACUACGAGGGCUUAUCAACCACAUCAAUGUGUUAAUCAACACAUAAUCAUGAGAAAUGGAUCAUUCAGAACAUAUUAACAUUAUAUACUUCUAAUUAGAAUUUAAAACCAAAGUUCUCCUCAACAAGAUAGAUGAGACGAUUUAGAUAGGAUCUUACAUUCUAUUCAUUGAUUAGAUUUAGAUGAUUCAUGGCAACCAUCAUAGCUUAAUUCUUUUUGAGAAUCCAUAUGCCCUUUAUUUAAAUCUACUUAAGUUUAAGUUUCUUCAAAAGAAUAUUUAUCAUUAGAAAUUAUACAUCACUUCAGGAAAUUUCUAAUAUUGCACAAGAUGUAUCUAAUUUAUAUUUUUAUGAUGUCUAACAGUCCUUGAACUUCUAAGAUAUUAUUUUUUUAUAUUUUAAACAACGAUUAAAAAUCGUUAAUAUCAUUUAUCUAAAAAAAAUCAAAGUAUCAACACUAAGUCAUUCUUUAAUUUUGUUUUUUUAGAUUAAACAGUGUUAAGAGUCUUUAACGAAAUUUAUCUAAAAAUUAACAAAGAAUUACCAUAAAUAAAGUUCUGUACAUGUUUUGUAUACGAACAUUUUCACGAUAAUUUUUUUAAAAAUAAUAUGAAAAAUUUUAUUAUAUUAAAUGAUAUAUAUGAAAUUUUGAAUACAUAUUAUUUAUACAAUAAUAUACUAAUCAAUAAAGAUCUUUCGGCGAAGAAAAUAUAUGGCUGAUUUAGCUUGCAGAUAAGGUCGGUCACACUCUGCGCUUCGUCUUCGUCCCAAUGGCUUGGCGUCUUCCAUUGGCCACACUAAUAAUGGCGGUGUCUCUUUCGACAAAGACAGAUCCGUUGUUGACCCACCUUGUAGAGCAACCAGCGAAGCCGUGGUCGAGUAGGUACAACCACAUGCCGCAAUGCCUGAACUCCUCGCUCACCUAUAACAGUGGCUGAUGGAUAUGAUAUCAAGAUCAUCUCCAAGCCCUCUUCCCCCAUCUCCCACUUGAUCAACUGCUCUUCCACCAUGUAUCCAUCCAAACAACCACAACCCUACUACCCUCCGCCGCCGCCGACGACCGACCCCUACUACCCGCCGCCGCAGCCGACGAUGGGCGUGCCGGUGCCGACCGCCCCCGGUACUUUCCAGAUCCAAACUCCGGCGGGCGGCGCUUGGUCCACCGGCCUCUGCGAGUGCUGCGACGAUGGCAGCAACUGUAAUCGAGCCCUCCUCCACUUUUACUCGGUAAUUCCUUGGUCCAAUUGCUGUUGUUAAGCAUCCGAUUCCUUACUGCAGGCUGCAUCACUUGCUUCUGCCCUUGUAUUACGUUUGGUCAAAUCGCGGAGAUCGUCGACAAAGGAGCCACCUGUGAGUACUGUUUCUUCUUGGAGUCAUUGGAUCCUCCGUUCUUUUUUGUUGUCUGGCUUUUUACUGCAUGGAGGAUUGAACGGCGAAGCCUUUGAUCGGUAUCUGUGAAGCAUGCGGGACGAGUGGGGCGCUGUACGCGCUUAUAAUGUAUGUGACGUGCUGCCAGUGCUUGUACUCCUGCUUCUACCGCUCCAAACUGCGGGCGCAGCUCGGGCUGAGGGAGGAGCCCUGCGCCGACUGCCUCGUCCACUGCUGCUGCGAGACCUGCUCCCUCUGCCAGAUGUACCGAGAGCUCAAUCGCCGUGGCUACGACAUGAGCAUAGGUCUCUCUCUCUCUCUCUCUCUCUCUGCUGACUCUUCGUGUGUUCUUCCUUUUGGGAGAGAGGGAGACUGAAGCAACGGCGAUCUUUCCUUUCGUGCAGGUUGGCAUGCAAACAUGGAGAGGCAGGGGCAACCCGCAACCAUUCCGCCACCGGUCCAAGGCAUGAGCCGUUGAGAUCUCAACUCAAAGUCCAGAGCUGCCAUAAUUAGGGACUGCAAGAUGUUUGAUAAAAUGCGAGGUAUGGAUUUCGUUGUUUAUUACUAAACGUCAUAUGCAGAUAAUACGACCUAUAAGAGAAGAAUAAAAUCAAUGUCUGCGGUGGGCAUGAAUUGUAUGAUGAUCCAAAGUCGUUUACUACGAGUCUACAAUUGAGCAUUGUUUGGAAAAGUGGACUUUGACUGUGAUUGGCCAAACCUUUUCGUCCUUUGUGACUGUAGCCUCACUUCAGAUACAUGGACAUGAUGUUUGGGCCCCAAUUCGUUCACUCACAGGCUGGACUCAAUUAUUAUCUCUGCAUCAUCUUGAUAUGUUUCUUCUCCCGCUAUCACUAAUUAUCUAUUCCUAUCAGCCACGUCAUGGAGUUAUCUAUUGUAUAUAUAAAUACAAACUUAUAUGUUUCUAUCAAAGGCAUCACAUGGGAUAUUAUUUAAUCAUAACUAAUGUGGAUAUUGAUCAUAGACUCAUAAAUAUUUUAUUUUUUUAAUAUUGUAAUAUGUAUACUAUUAUUAUUAUUAUUAUUAUUAUUAUUAUUAUUAUUAUUAUUAUUAUUAUUAUUAUAUAUAUAUAUAUAUAUAUAUAUAUAUCUAAUGUAAUAUCUUUUGAGUGAUAUUUUUUAAAAAAUUAUAUUUGGAUAUUUUCCAAUCGAUACUCUGCUUUUUCCCAAAUAAUACCCUUAAUUUGAUAAACAUCCAAAAUGCCCCUUAAUUUUUUUUUGGUUAAAUUUUUCAUCCAUUUUUUAUCAGUCUUAAACUGUUAUAAUAUUUUUAUUUGGUUUGUGUAUAAUAUUUUUAAUAACAUUUAUAGUGUUUUUAUUGAUGUUUUAAAAACACGUGGCAUCUUCUUUGCUUAUCAUUGCUUAUAGAUCAUUACAAUAUAAUAUUUUUAGCUUUGUAGUUAGUUUAAUUGAGGUUAGAAGUUAUUUGGCUUAUUUAUAAUGUUUUCGAGUAAAUUUUAUAAUAUUUUUAUUUUGGUGGCCAAAAUACUAUAACAAAUCAAAAUUUUAUUUUUAUUUAGGUGAUAUUAUUUUUAAAUUAUGAUAACUUCUCAUAUAAAUCAUAGUAUGAUAUUUUAAAUAAUUUCUAGUAUGUUUUGAUUCUGAACUCAUUUAUAAUAUUUUCAAAUAGGCUUUAUAAUGUUAUUAUCAUAGUGACCAAAACAUUAUAACAUGUCAAAAACAUUAUAGUAAGUCAAAAAUAUUAUAACAUUCAGAAAACUUUUUCAGGAAUAGUUUAGAUUUUAAAUUAGGAAUAUUAUUUUAGAAAAACGAUACGGAUUGAGAAAUAAUCAAAAUACAGAUAUUUUCUAAGAAAAUCGCCUGUAUCUUUUUUUUGGCUUUAUCCUUUUCAUUUAAGCAUGUCAUUACCACAAUAACUUCAUCGAGAAAAUGUUAAAUGGGUCUUUUAAUUGCUCACAUCCAACAAGGUGCAUAAUAUUGGCUUAUAUGCUGGUAAUGUAUGGGAGUGAAGACGUGAGAAAGAGAGGUAUCAAAAUUGAUCACAUUUCUAUUUGUAACCCGAUCUUUAACAACAAAAUGUGGACGAUAUGAAUCGCGAAAUCCAAUUACAAACACAAAUACAUAUAAUACAAAUGAUUUACUUUGAAGAUUAUCUAAUGCUUGCAAAUAUAUUGCUUGUUUUAAAAAAAUUAUAAAUAGUCCACUUAUAGAAAAACCUACCAACUAUAUGAAAAAUAUGGAUUAUUCAUGUCUAGUCUCGUAUUGAAAUAAGAUUUCGAUCUACUUAUAAGAGGCAAAUAUUUGUAUUAUUGUUAACUUAGGCUUAAAUAUCUUAAGUCAUUGGUUUACACUAAAAAAAAUUCAAAUUUAGUUAAGAUAAUUAAAUCAUAGGUGUUGUAAUUGAUAGUAGAUGAGAUUUCCCUAACUGUUUGAGGAAAUCUCUCUACUUUGUUGAGGGAAAUCCUCUAACCUGUUGAAGAAAAUUCUCCCAUCUAACCUAUAUAAAAAAAAAUAUGUUAAUAACAAUCAACUUCUUCUACAACUUGUUUAUCUAUUUAUUUUUUAACAUGGUAUCAGAGCAGUUCCUUCUUGGCGAUAGCAGUAUCGCCGUGUGUUAGCCAAGCGGCCACGCGCCUCAAGCAGAGUCAUUGAAGAAGCACCAAGACAUGGAUUCAGAGCCAGUGCUAACGAGCACCGUCUUGGCUCUGCUCAUCCACUCCUUCUCUUCCUUCAUCGUCGGUCUUACUUUUCUUCGCUGGCCUUGCUCCCUCUCCUAUUUGCUGCCUACAGUAGACACUCUCCGUCGCUGCCUCGUAAGGAGGAAAACAUUCUCUCACUGCCUCCUCAAUAGCGACGAACGGUGAACAGUGGUGUCUUCCUCGCUUCCUAGCCAACAGCAGUCGCAACUACUGCAUCUUCCUUCCUCUACCGCAGCAGCUUUUGCUGCCGCUUCCCUCUACACAACGGUGCCUCCUCAACGGCGGUGUCUUCCUCACUCAGUCUUCCUUGCUUAACGACGACUGUCGCGUCUUCCUCCUUCGCUGUCGCAGCCGCUUCCCGGCCAGCAGUAGCCGCAACCGUUGCAUCUUCCUUCCUCUAUCGCAGUAACUUUCGCUACCGCUUUCCUCUAUACACCUAAUUGCUGCAGAUUUCUUUCGCUGCAGUUUUCUUGAGUACCGUUGAGAUUUUCGCGGUCAUUUCCCAGCGAACCACAAUCUUAAGUAUCGCUGCAGUUUUCGCGGCCAUCUUCCGGCGAACUGCAGCAUCUACAAUCUGUUGUAGCAAGCAGCAAUCCACAACAGCUGCCGGCAGCUUUGGGCACUGUUGUAGAUUGCCCAAUCUGUUGCAACAAGCAGCAAUCUAUAGCAGCGACCCCCCCUCCCUCAUUCUCCAUCUUGUGUAACCUGAGUAUCACACAAGGUUCGCUGCAUUGCUUCUAAAAAAAAAAAAAUGUCUUCGUUCACUUCUUCUGAUGUUUCAGUUCCUGUAGGGACUCCAACUUCUUGUUCUUCUACAGGGCUUAUCUCCAUCAAUGCUGCCACGCUGAUCAUCUUUAAAUUAUCAAAGGGUGGCAACUAUGCGUCCUAGCGAGCUCAAUUUUCUAAUCUUUUAUUUGGAUAUGACUUGUUAGGUUACAUUGAUGGCUCCUUCAGUUUUCCUUCGGCCAUGCUCAACAUUCCCGGAGAUCCCAGUCCAGUACCUAAUCGUCAAGAUUGUCUCAUCCUCCAAGCUAUUCAAGCAUCAGUUGUUGGAUUCAUUGCUCCCUUGAUAUCUUCAUGUGUGACAACAACCGAUGCUUGGUCUAAACUGCAAACCACCCUGGCAAAUCAUUCGCAUACUCGCAAGCUCAGUCUUCUAUCCAAGCUUAUGGUGACAAAACAAGAGGGAAGUACUAUCUCUGAUUAUCUACAACAUAUCAAGGUUAUCAUCGAUGACUUGGCUUUGAUAGGUCAUUCCCUAUGUGACGAAGAGGUUGUCAUUCAUACCCUCAAUGGUCUCGACACCGACUACAAGGAAUUGGCUGCUGUAAUUCGGGUACGCAACUCGCCAGUCUCUUUUGAAGAUCUCUAUGAUAAGCUGACUGACUAUGAGAUGUACUUGAAGCGUGCGGACAAACUGCCUGGAUCGACUGUCACAACUCAAGUCAAUCACAAGUCUAAACGGAAGAGCACUCGAUACUCGCCGAACAUCACCCAAGGUUUGGCUAAUGCGCCUCUUGAUUCUGUGAGUUCUAUGUAACACCCCUCCUAUCCUCCUAGUCAUCACUUCUCGCAAAGUGGCAACUCCAGCCAUCAUCCGUCUUGGCAUCCUGCCCUACCGAGCCAUCAAAGACGGGUCGUUUGCCAACUGUGUGACAAAGUCGGCCACUCUGCUAAAGUUUGCCGGUCUCGUCCCUGCCUCCCUGCUCCAUCACACUGGCCUCAGGCAAAUCUCCUGACUACUCCGACACCUAGCCAGUUCAAUUGGAUUGUCGACUCUGGUGCCUCUCAUCACAUCACCGCUGAUCUUCAGAAUUUGUCUCUUCACAAUCCCUAUGGCGGCGAUGAAGAUAUCAUCAUCGGUGAUGGUAAAGGACUUCCUAUAACUCAUAUUGGUUCCACAACGCUUAAUUCUGACUCUACUACAUUUAUCCUCGAUGAUAUUUUAUGCGCCCCUCAUAUUAAACGUAAUCUUAUUUCUGUUUCUCAAUUUUGCAAACAUAACAAUACUUCCAUUGAAUUCAUUCCUGAUUCAUUUCUUGUUAAGGACUUGAGCAUGGGGGCAUCAUUGGUCCAAGGCCCGAAUAAAGACAACAUUUACGAAUGGCCGUCAGCCUCUCGAAUAACCCAGCCCACUGUUCAUUCUUCUGUUGUGGCUCUAGUUGAUGUGUGGCAUCGUCGGCUUGGUCCCUCGUCCUUUAUUCAGCAAAAAUUAUUUUCUCGUCACUCUCUUCCUCUUUUUAAGUCAACUAAUUCUAUGAUGCAUUGUGAUGCAUAUCUUAGCAAUAAGAGUCAUCGGCAGCCUUUUGGCUCAUCUUCCAUUUCUUCUUCUAAACCUUUUGAAAUUAUAUAUACUGAUGUUUGGGGUCAGGCUCCAAUCUUAUCUUUUGAUUCCGAUUUUAUGUUAUUUUUAUAGAUCACUUUUCUAAGUAUACAUGGAUAUAUCCUCUUUCCCAUAAAUCUGACGUUUCUCACAUUUUUUCCACUUUCCAGAAGUUGGUCGAAAACUAUUUUCAGUCUACCAUUAAAACGGUCUACUCUGAUGGUGGCGGUGAACAUCAAGCCCUGGCAUCCCAUCUCUUAGCUUGUGGCAUUCAACACCUCAAGUCUCCCCCACAUACUCCUCAACUAGUUGGUUCUACCGAACGCAAACAUCGGCAUAUAGUAGAAAUUGGACUCACACUUCUACAUCAAGCUUCCAUGCCUUCAACUUUUUGGACAUCAGCCUUUCAAACUACUGUCUACCUUAUUAAUUGAAUGCCUACACCAGUCCUACAAUACCAGUCCCCCUUUGACACACUAUUUCACAAACCCCCUAACCUUCGUAAACUCCGAGUGUUCGGUUGUUUAUGUUAUCCUUGGUUACGUCCCUAUGCCUCUCAUAAGUUAACAUCCCGAUCUACUCCUUGCGUCUUUAUUGGUUACUCACUUGAACAUAAUGCUUUCCGCUGCUAUAAUCUCCACACUCACAAAAUCUUCAUAUCACGUCACGUUAUCUUUGUUGAGUCUAACUUUUCUUUCCAAACCCUUCCAUAUCCUAUCGUACGGACCACUUCACUAUCUCACUGGAGUAUACCUUCGGACCAAUCGGGCGAGCCUCCCACGACUUCGUCUACUUCCUCCCCUCCUAAUCCGCACUAUAUCACUCCAGUUCAACACUUGCCCGUUUCCUCUGUUCCUACUCCACUCCACUCUUCCCCAAUUGAUGGGGCAAUAUGUUCUGAAACACAACCAUCCUCUUUACCUCCUUCUCGCCCAAGUGCCCCUGACAUAUCUCCACUUGACCCGGCUUGUGCCACAGAUCCUCACCCAACAUCUUCCGGUCUCCUUUUAUCACAACGCAAGUACAUUCAAGAUUUGUUAUUAAAGACAAACAUGCAGGAUGCAAAUGCAGUUACAACCCCCAUCUCUACUAGUGGUUCUCUCAAAUUAUCGGAUGGAAGUCCUGCUACGGAACCCACUCAAUACCGCCAAGUUGUUGGCUCUUUACAAUACUUAGCUCUCACGCGUCCAGAUAUCUUAUUUGCUAUCAACAAAUUAUCACAGAUUAUGCAGCAACCAUCUACUCUACACUGGUCUGCAGUCAAGAGACUUCUGCGAUAUCUUAAAGGGACCCUAAAUCAUGGACUCUUUUUUCGUAAACACUCUCCGCUUCAUCUUCAUGCCUUUGCCGAUGUUGAUUGGGCAGGUAACCUUGAUGAUAGAACAUCCACAUCGGGGUAUAUUAUCUUCCUUGGUGCUCAUCCAAUCAGUUGGAGUUCUAAGAAGCAAAAGAUAGUCGCCCGGUCUACAAUUGAAGCUGAAUACCGUGCCAUUGCCGCUACCAUUGCAGAACUCAAUUGGAUCACGAAUCUACUCUAGGAACUCAACAUCGAUUCCACCCCUACAAUAUAUUAUGAUAAUAUUGGAGCUACCUAUCUGUGCGCUAAUCUGGUAUUUCACUCCCGCAUGAAACAUAUUGCUAUCGACUUCCACUUUGAACGCGAUCAAGUUGUCCGUCGUCAACUUCGUGUUUCUCAUGUUCAUACAGCUGAUCAAUUGGCCGACUCAUUUACGAAGCCUCUAGCUCGUAAAUUUUUUGCAUUACAUCAGUCCAAGAUUGGCCUCCUUGAUAAGAGCGCCAUCUUGCGAGGGCAUGAUAGUAGAUGAGGGGGCUUGAUAGGAUUUCCCUCAAUAGAGUAGAAAGAUUUUCUCAAAUAGUUAGGGAAAUCUCAUCUACUUAUCAUGCCCCCGCAAGAUGGUGUUCCUAUUAAGGAGGUCAAUCUUGGACUGAUGUAAUGUAAAAAGUUUACGAGCUAGAGGCUUUGUAAAUGAGUCGGUCAAUUGAUCAGUCGUAUGAAUAUGAGAAACACGAAGUUGACGGCGGACAACAUGAUCGCAUACAAAGUGGAAGUCGAUAGCAAUAUGUUUCAUGCGGGAGUGAAAUACCGGAUUAGCACACAAAUAGGUAGCUCCAAUAUUAUCACAAUAUAUUAUAGGGGUGGAAUCGAUGUUGAGUUCCUGGAGUAGAUUCGUGAUCCAAUUGAGUUCUGCAGUGGUAGCGGCAAUGGCACGGUAUUCAGCUUCAGUUGUAGACCGGGCGACUGUCUUUUGCUUCUUAGAACUCUAACUGAUUGGAUAAGCACCAAGGAAGAUAAUAUACCCCGAUGUGGAUGUUCUAUCAUCAAGGUUACCUGCCCAAUCAGCAUCGGCAAAGGCAUGAAGACGAAGUGGAGAGUGUUUACGAAAAAAGAGUCCAUGAUUUAGGGUCCCUUUAAGAUAUCGCAGAAGUCUCUUGACUGCAGACCAGUGUAGAGUAGAUGGUUGCUGCAUAAACUAUGAUAAUUUGUUGACAGCAAAUGAGAUGUCUGGACGCGUGAGAGCUAAGUAUUGUAAAGAGCUAACAACUUGGCGAUAUUGAGUGGGUUCCGUAGCAGGACUUCCAUCCGAUAAUUUGAGAGAACCACUAGUAGAGAUGGGGGUUGUAACUGCAUUUGCAUCCUGCAUGUUUGUCUUUAAUAACAAAUCUUGAAUGUACUUGCGUUGUGAUAAAAGGAGACCGGAAGAUGUGAAGGUAGCUUCGACGCCCAGAAAGUAGCUCAAGGGUCCGAGAUCCUUAAGCGAGAAUCAAGCCGCAAGCUGUUUGAUGAACGCUUGGAUGCUGAUGGGAUUGUUGCCUGUGACAAUAAUAUCAUCCACAUAUACCAGAAUAUACAAUGUGUUUCCAUGAUGAUGUCGCAGAAACAACGAAGUGUUAGAUUUGGAGUUAAGAAAACCGACAGAAGUAAAAAAUAAGCUAAGUUCAGUGUACCAAGCUCUCGGAGCCUAACGAAGUCCAUAAAUGGCUUUCCGAAGUUUGCAAACAUGUUGUGGAUAUUGAGGAUGAGUAAAACCGGGGGGUUGUUGCAUAAAAACAUCUUAGGUUAGAGAUCCCUGUAGAAAUAUAUUAUUAACAUCCAAUUAUCAUAAUUGCCAGCCUUUAGUGGUACCCAGACUCAAGAUAAGCCAGAUUGUAGUGGGUUUAACAACAGGACUAAACGUCUCAGUGAAAUCAAUUCCAGGUCGUUGAUGAAACCCUUUGGCGACCAAGCGUGCCUUAUAUCGGGCAACAGAGCCAUCUGGGUUCCGCUUAAUUCUAAAGACCCACUUACACCCGAUGAUGUUUUGUGAAGGAUGGAAAGGAAUGAGAUCCCACGUUGAAUUAUGCAGGAGGGCAUUAUAUUCCUCACUCGUAGCAGUACACCAAUGCGGAGAUUUUUGGGCUUGAGUGAAGGUGGUGGGUUCAACGUUGGGGGAUGAGGAAUUCAUGAUAGCUUGUAGGUUAAGUACCUGACGAGGUUUAAAAAUACCAUGCUUAGAGCGAGUGGUUAUAGGAUGAUUGGAGACGACAGGAUUGGGAGGUGAUGUUGGGUGAGGAUUUGUGGCAUAAGCCGGGUCAAGUGGAGACACGUCAGGGGCACUUGGGCGAGAAGGAGGUAAAGAGAAUGGUUGUGUUUCGGAACAUAUUGCCCCAUCAAUUGGGGAAGAGUGGAGUGGAGUAGGAACAGAGGAAACGGGCAAGUGUUGAACUAGAGUGAUAUAGUGCGGAUCAGGAGGGGAGGAAGUAGACGAAGUCAUGGGAGGCUCGUCCGAUUGGUCGGAAGGUAUACUCCAGUGAGAUAGUGAAGUGGUCCGUAUGGCAGGAUAUGGAAGGGUUUGGAAAGGAAAGUUAGACUCAACAAAGACAAUGUGACGUGAUAUGAAGAUUUUGUGAGUAUGGAGAUUAUAGCAGCGGAAAGCAUUAUAUUCAAAUGAGUAACCAAUAAAGACGCAAGGAGUAGAUCGGGAUGUUAACUUAUGAGAGGCAUACGGACGUAACCAAGGAUAACAUAAACAACCGAACACUCGGAGUUUACGAAGGUUAAGGGGUUUGUGAAAUAGUGUGUCAAAGGGGGACUGGUAUUGUAGGACUGGUGUAGGCAUUCGAUUAAUAAGGUAGACAGCAGUUUGAAAGGUUGCUGUCCAAAAAGUUGAAGGCAUGGAAGCCUGAUGUAGAAGUGUGAGUCCAGUUUCUACUAUAUGCCGAUGUUUGCGUUCGGCAGAACCAACUAGUUGAGGAGUAUGUGGGGGAGACUUGAGGUGUUGAAUGCCACAAGCUGAGAGAUGGGAUGCCAGGGCUUGAUAUUCACCGCCACCAUCAGAGUAGACUGUUUUAAUGGUAGACUGAAAAUAGUUUUCGACCAACUUCUGGAAAGAGGAUAUAUCCAUGUGUACUUAGAAAAGUGAUCUACAAAAAUAACAUAAAAUCAAAACUUUUCAAAAGAUAAGAUUGGAGCAGGACCCCAAACAUCAGUAUAUAUAAUUUCAAAAGUUUAGUGGAGGAAAUGGAAGAUGAGCCAAAAGACUGCCGAUGACUCUUAUUACUAAGACAUGCAUCACAAUGCAUCAUAGAAUUAGUGGACUUAAAAAGAGGAAGAGAGUGACGAGAAAAUAAUUUCUGUUGAAUAAAGGACGAGGGACCACCAAGCCGACGAUGCCACACAUCAACUGGAGCCGCAAUAGAAGAAUGAACAGUGGGCUGGGUUAUUCGAGAGGCUGAUGGCCAUUCGUAAAUGUUGUCUUUAUUCGGGCCUUGGACCAAUGAUGCCCCCGUGCUCAAGUCCUUAACAAGAAAUGAAUCAGGAAAGAAUUCAAUGGAAGUAUUAUUAUGUUUGCAAAAUUGAGAAACAUAAAUGAGGUUGCGUUUAAUAUGAGGGGCGCAUAAAAUAUCAUCGAGGGUAAAUGUAGUAGAGUCAGAAUUAAGCGUUAUGGAACCAGUAUGAGUUAUAGGAAGUCCUUUACCAUCACCGAUGAUGAUAUCUUCAUCGCCGCCAUAGGGAUUGUGAAGAGACAAAUUCUGAAGAUCAGCGGUGAUGUGAUGAGAGGCACCAGAGUCGACAAUCCAGUUGGACUGGCUAGGUGUCGGAGUAGUCAGGAGAUUUGCCUGAGGCCAGUGUGAUGGAGUAGGGAGGCGAGGACGAGACCGGCAAACUUUAGCGGACUGACCGACUUUGUCACACAGUUGGCAAACGACCCAUCUUUGAUGGCUCGGUAGGGCAGGAUGCCAAGACGGAUGAUGGCUGGAGUUGCCAUUUUGCGAGAAGUGAUGACUAGGAGGAUAGAAGGGGUGUUGCAUAGAACUCACAGAAUCAAGAGGCGCAUUAGCCAAACCUUGGGUGAUGUUCGGCGAGUAUCGAGUGCUCUUCCGUUUAGACUUGUGAUUGACUUGAGUUGUGACAGUCGAUCCAGGCAGUUUGUCCGCACGCUUCAAGUACAUCUCAUAGUCAGUCAGCUUAUCAUAGAGAUCUUCAAAAGAGACUGGCGAGUUGCGUGCCCGAAUUGCAGCAGCCAAUUCCUUGUAGUCGGUGUCGAGACCAUUGAGGGUAUGAAUGACAACCUCUUUGUCACAUAGGGAAUGACCUAUCAAAGCCAAGUCAUCGAUGAUAACCUUGAUAUGUUGUAGAUAAUCAGAGAUAGUACUUCCCUCUUGUUUUGUCACCAUAAGUUUGGAUAGAAGAUUGAGCUUGCGAGUACGCGAAUGAUUUGCCAGGGUGGUUUGCAGUUUAGACCAUGCAUCUGUAGCUGUCACACAUGAAGAUAUCAAGGGAGCAACGGAUCCAGCAACUGACGCUUGAAUAGCUUGGAGGAUGAGACAAUCUUGACGUAGCCACAGUUUGUGAGCUGGAUUGGGUACUAGACUGGGAUCUCCGGGGAUGUUGAGCAUGGCCGAAGGACAACUGAAUGAGCCAUCAAUGUAACAUAACAAGUCAUAUCCAAAUAAAAGAUUAGAAAAUUGAGCUCGCCAAGACGCAUAGUUGCCACCCUUUGAUAACUUAAAGGGGAUCAGCGUGGCAGCAUUGAUGGAGAUAAGCCCUGUAGAAAAACAAGAAGUGGGAUUCCCUACAGGAAUUGAAACAUCAGAAGAAGUGAACGAAGACAUUUUUUUUUUUUAGAAGCAAUGCAGCGAACCUUGUGUGAUACUCAGGUCACACAAGGUGGAGAAUGAGGGAGCGGGGGCCGUUGCUAUAGAUUGCUGCUUGCUACAGUAGAUUGGACAAUCUACAACAGUGCCCAAAGCUGCCGGCAGUUGUUGUGGAUUGCUGCUUGCUGCAGCAGAUUGUAGAGGCUACAGUUCGUCGGAAGAUGGCCGCGAAAACUAUAGCAAUACUCAAGACUGUGGUUCGUCGGGAAAUGGCCGCGAAAAUCUACAGCGGUACUCAAGGAAACUGCAGUGAAAGAAAUCUGCAGCAAUUAUGAUUUGUGCUCAAAUUUGAAUCAACUUCUUCAAAUUUGUAUAAAAAGAACGGGAUAUGUUAAUAACAAUCAACUUUUUCUACAACUUGUUUAUCUAUUUAUUUUCUAACAGUAAUGCCAUUGGAAUCUCAAAUUUGAGCUUUAACGAAAGUUAUUGUUGUUAGCCCAAGGAAUCACGAAGAUUUUUUUGGUUAAACUUUAUAAAUGAUAUAGUGAUAUUUCCAAGGAAACUAUAAAUAUUAGUUAAAUAAGACACUUUUAAUGUUAUUACAAUUAAUCAGCUGAGGAAGCUCUUACUUUUUAUAAAAUUUUAUGAAAAAUUCAUAAUAUAUAAUCAAAUCAACAGACGUUUAGUUUUGGUAAAAAAAGCUGAAAAUUUUGACAUGAAAAAGAAUAUAUGUUAAACAAUAACUAUUUUUCGUAUUUUGACGACUUAUAUAUAAUUUAAUUGUUGUAAAAAUUUACGUUGAGACACACGGAAUAGAAUAGAUGGGGUGAGAAGGAUAUAAAAAAUUGGCGUGAUUAGAUUAUGAGUUGUGAUCUAACUAUAUAUAGUUUAUAGCAUCAUCAUCUUAGCCCAUAAGUGUUUUGCAAAGCCCUAAAUUUAAGUAAAAAUUUCCUAGGCUUUUAGAAAGAUCGAUCAUAAGUUCAUUCAGUGAAGCACAAGAUUACUUUUAGGAAGAUCAAUCAUAAUAUUCUUUUGUUAGAUGAUACCUCCCAUCAUUUUUUUUCAUUUGGUGCUUCAUUUUUAAUUAAUAUCCUUAAUGUCUUUUGUUGUCACCAAUAUCUCGUUGUGGUCACCUUCAUCUCAUUGCUUCACCUGUCACCUCCAUCCCUUUAGCAAAGUCGUCGUAGUCACUUUCACCUAUGCCACUACAUCCUUAACAUUGUCAUCCCUUAUAUUCGAACAUAUCAUGCUUGCACUACUUCUGUCUCUUACGUGCUUAGCACAAACUUAAACACAUCAUCCAACUCUUCCCACUUCAUUGCUUUCGACUAUAAUGCUUUUAAGCAUGGGUGUGACAUUUGACUUUACUCUUAUUAUCGGUACAUUCAUGUCUCGAUUGUCGCCACGUAGACCACCAUCAGCAGUGAUGCCAACUUAGAGAACCAUACUAGUAGUAUUAACAUCCCAUGAAAUAAUAGGAUAAUUAUUGGAUUCUGUUAGGCUUGUGUGCCCUUUGCUCACUUGACCAUAUCGAUUAUCCACAAGAGUAUUAUCACUAUCUGGUACUAAAGUGUAGACCUAUUAUAUCCUCUACUCAUGUGGCUCCAUCAUCACAUCCAGCAUUGAGACCUUAUAGAGAAAAAGAGAUCGAGAUAGAGGUAAAAGUGAUAGGGUAACAAAGUUGAAGUGAUGCAACAAAAACGAUAGGACGAAGACGGUUCCGAUGGAGCAUUGACGAUGACAAGGGACAUUUAGGAUAGUAGAGAAAAAUAAGGGCACCAAAUGAGAAAACUGAAAAUGAGGAUAUCUUUCUAAGAAAUUUAAAAAAUAAUUUUUCUAACAAAUCGUCCAAAAUAUAAUUAUUAUUUACAUAUAUCAACUUUACAUACGUAAAAGACAGCAUUAUACGUAUAUUCUUUUAGUUGCUUUUGCCACAUAUCUAUUUUCACAUACAUCAACUGACAAGUGACCUGAAUAGCUUUUACAUAUAUCAAUUUUUUACACCGAGCUCUCUACGCACACAAACAAAUAUCCUAUUCUUAGAAUCCAGUUCAAUCCAAACAUGAAAGUAGUAAGGUACGCAUCACAUGAUGCUCUCAAAUGCGUACCCAAAUAAUGGAAGUCCACGGGAUUGCCUACUUUGAGAUUAUCUCGUGGAGGCACGUCUGACAUCUGCAAUCAAAAUUUCCAACGCAUGUGCAGAUGGCGUCUUACCAUUGCUCACAGCAGUUUUUGACUUUGUCCGAGUCAAUUCUUUGUUCCGGCCGUCGUUUUCUCGUCAUCUCGGACGGUUUUGUCCCAUAGGAGACGACGCAGCCUCCUCAAAACGUAUAUGAGACUCAGCUCUGCAGGUAUCGUUUACCAGAUAUCUCAUCAUAUUUCCACUAUAAUACCUUUCCUCCGAACUGGCACGGAGUGUUCCUUAAGCUUCUGAAUCUGACUUUGGGCGAUUCAAGAAAUGCCAAAAAUAAUAAAACUACGUGUGCAAUAAUGUCGAUGAGAUGUUUUUAUCGGAUAUGUUCUCACUUCUCAAUCACAUGGUUUGUUUCCUUAAAUUACUUGUUCUUCGUGUCAUCAUGCGGAAUACGAAGUCUACCAGUGAUAUUCUACGUUUUGUUGAACAGUUCAUCUCUGACCUUACCGUGUAUGCCCUUCUAAUUUAUUCGAUUAGGAACUUUCGAUGUGAUAGGAUAGCUCGGUUGUGCACAGCCAGUCGAGCAGGACUCGCAUGUUUAUAUACGGGAUGCUUCUUGCAUUCCUUGCAUCAGAUAUCAUCUCUGUAUCUGUCAUUGUCUCCGAAGAAAUGUAUCCAUCCAAGGUUGGUGGGCCGGCAUCUGCACCGCCGGUGACCGGCGUUCCCAUGGCUCACAAUGCCUUUGGUGGUGCUGAAACCCAGCCGGUGUGGUCCACCGGUCUCUGUGAUUGCAUGGAUGACUUCGGCAACUGUGGGUUCUUCUGUAGCCGUCGUCCUUAUCGACGUCGUGAUUGAGAUGGCCUAACGUUGUUCUUGUCUUUGUCCAUCGACGCAGGUUGCAUGACUUGUUGGUGCCCGUGCGUUACUUUCGGCCGGGUCGCGGAGAUCGUAGAUAGAGGCACAACCUGUAAGUUCCUUAGCUUCAAUUUGUCUUCUCGCGAGCAGCAGUUUACGGUGGUUUACCGGCCCGAGUAACGUGUGCAUCGACGAUGUAAACAUGCAGCGUGCGGGGCGAGUGGAGCGCUGUACGCGUUGAUAAUGGCGUUGACUGGCUGCCAGUGCAUAUACUCGUGGUUCUACAGGACGAAGAUGAGGGCUUAUUACAACUUGCCCGAUUCCCCGUGCUGCGACUGCUGCGUCCACUUCUGCUGCGAAACCUGCGCUCUGUGCCAGGAGUAUAGAGAGCUCAAGAACCGUGGAUUCAACAUGGCCCUCGGUCUCUCUCUCUCUCUCUCUCUCUCUCUCUCUACAGCAGAUGCUAAUGAAGGUUCUUCUCGUUAACUAUUGCAGGGUGGCAUCUUAACGUGGAAAGGGAGGCCGGAGGAGGAAUGACACAGCCACCAAUGAUGCAGGGAGGCAUGAUGCGUUGAGGAGAUCAUGAGAAAUGGACGAGUGAUGCUUUCGGUGAUGUCACAUGUAACAGUAGCUACCGUAAUAUCUGCUCCUUUUUCUUCGCUUGUAUGUGGUGCAAUGUAAUAUAUUCAUUCGCUCUAGUGUUGUUCUUGUCUUUGAAUAAUUGGCGAACAAAGGAUACUGUUGUUUGGAUCCAAUUCUUGUCUACAAUGUUUAAAGGGCGUAUGUGCAAUGCAUAUAUUCGAACAAAAAAGAUGGUUUUACGUGGAUAUUGAUCUUAUCUUUUCGAGACCUUCAUUUUGUAUAGCUACAAUUUAGCAAAUACAUCACCAUAGACCUUUAAUUGUUUUAUGAAAUUGAAAACACAGGUAGAUAUAUUUAAUCAUACGUGGCAACGACAUGCAUUGAUUCUACCCACGCUUGCCUGUCCGUCUACCUUCCUUCUGAUUGGAGUAGCAGUCGCAAGCCUCGUUUCUGGUCACAUCACGAGACGGGUAUGCGACGCGAGUAGUGACGUGCUCGGGUAGGUGAAAGUAUUGUUCUGUUGCGAAAGUCAACUUGACUAACGAAGCAAGUGGCUCAAGUCCAACAGAGAGAUACGUGGCAAUUGGCUUGGUGGGUCCCACGAUUCCAUCAACCUACUAUAACUAAAGUCUUCGGUGAAAAUGAAAGGAAGCGACAAGAACAGAUCAAGGAGGAUGAAUGCAACCUUAUCCUUGAAAGAUUAUUUUUAUGACUUUAAUAUCUUAAUCUAAGGUCAUUAUUUUAUGGUUUAUAAGGCCAUUGAUCUUUUUCUAAAUUCAGCAUUAGUGGAAACUUUAUGGUUAUUUUUUUAAUAUAUUUAUCUAAGAUAUUUUUAUUAAUGUGUCUAAUUAGAUAAGAUAUAUUAUAAAUCUUACUAAAUUUUGAUUAAGAUUAUUGAUCAAUAAUCUUAAUUUUUUAUGAGAUAGUCUUGAUGAUAAAGACUCUCCUAAUUAUUAUCAUAAGUCUUACUAAAUUUUGAUUAUGAUUAUCGAUCAAUACAAAUAUAUAUUUUAUGAGAUAAUCUUGAUGGUAGAGACUCUCCUAAUUAUCAUCAUAAAUCUUAUGUUUUCGUCUAAAAAAUUAAGAUUUCAUCGGGAUGAAACACCAAAGAUUAUAUAUGUAAAGAAUAGAAUGAGAAAAAAUAUAUGAAUAUAAUUCUUCUUGUAAAUCAUAUGUCCAUACCUCAAAUAAAUUUUUUUUGAAUGGUAUCAAAAUGUAUGUAAAUAUUAAUAUAUCAUAUUUGAUUUUGAUUCUUAUAUUAAAGUUUUUUAAAUAAUAAUAGGAUAAUUAUAAUUUUUAUACUUACAAUUUUAGGAGGAUUUUAAUCGAUUCAAGUAAUUUUGGAAAAAAAAAUUGAUUAGAAUAGAAGGAAUAAAGUUAAAAUUAUUCCCCUUUCAAUUCUUGUCUACAGGUCUCCAACGCCUCAGUUUUUGGUAACCCCCAACUAAUUUAUACAGCAUUUUCCUUUCAAAAUAAACUCAUACCUUUCACAAUGAUUAAGCACAACAAAAGUUUAUAGUUUCUUUCACAAUCCAUUGCUUUUCUAAAAACCUAAUAAAUAAAACAAGCAAUUAUUGUCUUUAGAUAUCAUUCAGGAUGUCAAACCACAAAAGCUCCACCUUCUGAGCCAAUUUACCAUCGCUGAAACAGUACAAACUACUUGAAAUGAAUGUACAACAUUCCCAGGAUAUGGCUAUUGGAAGUAAUAAUAAUAAUUUAUAGGAUAUUGUUGUAAAAAAUACACGGGGUUUUAUUUUUUUGGGUCAUCUGCAUGCCCAACUGAUACCAGUGGAAUCCGAUUUCUUGUCAUUAUAUGUUUACAUGAGCCUUUGGAUAUUUACAUGCUUGCGAAAUAGCAAUCUGAUUGCCAGACGAGAACACUAAAAGUUCUCCAAAAGUUUUAGCUGCAACACCGAUAUUUCACUGCAAAACACUCCAUUAGGAAUCUUCGAACAACGAAUUCCUUGACCCUCUAAACUAAUUCCUCUUUUCUCACAUGAAACUUCCUGAUUCUGGUCCACAGCCCAGCAGUCUCCGACACUGAUUCAUCUACAUUCCCCUUGAAAUUGGCUUGUUCACUUAGCUCUUCAAAUGCAUCCACCAAAUUUUGAAGCCUCGCAACAAAUUCAAUGAGAAGCGAAGCAAACGUUGCCAGUGACAAUGCACUAGCGCUUUCAUAGGUUCUCGACUCUUCUCCGUUAAGCAUGACUUCUAAAUUAAAUGACUGCCUUCCAGGCCACUGCAUCUGCCUCCUGAACAUGGAGUCCAUCUUUGGCAGAGAACCGGUGUCACUUGUGACUAAGUUGUGAAUAUCAGAACUUGUAGAAAGUGGUGGUGAUCGAUGAUCGACAACUGCUUCACCAUUAGAUCUUGCUGUGUAGCAUUUGCUAUCAUCUUCCGUGAUGUUAGGUCUGCCAGGGAUUCCCUUUGUUCCAUCAGGGAACUCUACACCCUCCCAGCUUUCUAGAUUCACUAGUAGGUACGAUUUCCUGUCUAUCUUCUUCUGCAAAACUUCAGCUGCCUCGUGGACUUCAAAGAGAAAAUUUGGUUUAUCCAGUUUUCUCAUUGUCUUAAUUAAAUCUCCAAGCUCGCGUAACACUUUAGCACCUUCGAUACCAACUCUCUUCAGCUCGCUGCUAAAAAUUUGUCUGCUUUCUGGUGGGGCCUGUGAUUUUUAAUCACACAAGUGGCAACACUGGUUAAAAUGAAAAUGAGAACACUUAAGACUUUUAUUAUGCACAUGCAAGUGCAUAAUACAUGUGCUUAAAAUCAAAUAAUUACAAUAAUCUGCAGGUUCCAGAUUAUCACAUUAAUUACAUAAAUAACAAAGAUAGCCUUAUACUUGCACAAAGUACCAUACCGUAUAGGACUUUAACAAGAUCCACUUCUGCAGGAAGAGAAUUCCUUUUUUUCAGGUACGAUUAGUAAAACACAGACAGAUGAGAUUUUAACAGGUAAGCGUAGUAAAGAAUAGACAGUGGAAGGUUUCUGAAGAGAAUUCCAAAGUCAUGCAUCUACAAGGAUCCUUUUAUAUCAUUAGUUGUACAGAAGAGAAUAUCCUGAGGCAGUCCAAGGAUUCUAAUAUCAACUACAAGGAUCCAUUUCUAUCAUUUAGCUAUAUUGAAGUAAAUAUUCAGAAAAAACCCAAGGAUUAUCAUAUCCUUGCUAUUUCUGAUGGUCUUCUUUCAUCUUUGUCAUUUCAAUUUGUAUUUUCUACCUAUUUGACUAACUUUUUCACCCUGAUAUGGCACGAUGACUCAUGGUGAUGAGAAAGGAUCAUUUUCUAUAUGUUGCAAAGCAAGGCAAACUAAUUUGUAGUUGAAUAUAUUCUUCAAGUGAAGAUUGAUCCAUGAUUCUAGUUUAUCAUGUAAUGAAAAUUAAGCAUAACUGCACCAAGUAUAGUAUUCCAAGGACUAAAGAAGUAGAGUUGGCCCGGAAAUAUGUACAUGACAUCUCUAACUUUUUCAAGUUUUCCAAUGAUGCAGAAAUAAGCAAUUUUACUAGCCAAGAAUUACCAAGUGUAAUGAAAAUUUUGGCACAACUUCUGAAAUUGACAAACCUAGAAGGAUCCAACUCCAACAACCAACAUGAAAGUUUCUACAUGGAUCAAGGAACAAUUCCUCAAACAAAUAACUCCCUUGAGAAAUAUAUGCUUAUUCCUUUAUGUACAUGGUGCCAGUUUUUGUUAUUGAGCAACAAUAGGAGGACAUCAAUUCAAGAUGUGGAAUUCUUUUAUGGAAAUCCCGUUGAUAUUUAUGUUCCUCCAAAAGUAGACCUUUAAAACUCUCUAAUUAUGACAUUGAUUAAGAUAAACUAAUAACUUAAAAUUAGGACUAUUAUGAAUCCAUGAUUGCAGUGUAGGUUCCUGAAUCUCUAGCCUACUAUUUGAUGUAUCUUUUUCAUUUAUCUUUUUUUUCAUAUAAUAUCAUAUCAUGCCUAUCACUCUAUUGCAUGUCUAACAGCCAAACUUGGAAGACGUUAUAUAAUAACAUGUCAUGCCAUCUAUCAUAUCAUGUGACCGCAAAAAGCUUCAUGCUGCUCUUAUUCAGAAGAAAGAAGUAUGGUAUCAUUACGGUACAAUUCACCAAAUCAACCACGAUAUAAGGAAGCUUGUGUAAAAAGUCAUGAGAACUGAGCAAUACUUGCACCCAAUGGCAGUUCCAAAUAUAGAGCUUAAUAGAGGCAGAACUCUUCAGCUGGAAAAUCCUAGUACAAAUUAUGUUUUUGUUUUUUCAAUGAGAGUGAUGCUACAUUCUAAAGCAGUAAGACAAUAAUCCUUCUUUUGAACUUUCUGCCACUUUACACAUUUUUUAUACUAUGCUUCUUAAUGCAAUUUUGCACCUUCAAGAAAAUUAGGCCUAUAAUAACCCAAUAAGGCCUAUAAUGACCCAAUAGAUCAAGACCACACCCAAAAGGCUAAGAGAGUUCUUUUCUUGCAUUGAUCCCAUAAAAGACCAGUAUUGUUCAUUUACCAAAAUUUAUGUAUGAUAAACACACACUGCAUAUAAUUUUCUGUUUAUGAUAUAAUCUGCUUGUUAGAAUUCUAAGGUUCAAUUUACAUAACAACAUCAUGAUCAGUUCAUUGUCAAUCCUAAAUGUUCAUAAUUAGUUCAUGAUCAACCACAAUAACACAUCUUCUCUUUGAUGUACCACAGUCAAAUAUGAAUGCGGAAUGGACUGGCACUCAUACCAUUCAAUGACUAGUCAUGAGCUAUUAUUCAAAUCCUAUGGCCCCACAAGCACCAAAAGCCUCUUCUGUGUACACCCAAUGGCCCGCCGACUUUAAUCAUGUAGUUUGCCAUAAGUUAUUAUAGAUCUCAAUUAGGUUUUGUUAGACUUGUACAAUUUCUUAAGACUCAUUCAUACUCUGUCUUCCAAACUGUCGACCCAAGAACAUGGUCCUAUCACUUAAUUUCCUUGCUACAUAUUGUCAGAGAGAAAUCUUGCCUUAUAUGCCACUAAGACCGUGCUACAUAAUUUCCUUGCUACUACAUAUUCUCAAUCAUCAAUCUUAUCUAUGCCACUAAGCCAUGUGGUGAGAUAAUGUUAUCCACUAUUAUUUAGGAUUCUCAUAAUCAAUGAUAGACUUAGUUAAUCAUUUUAAUAACAAAUAUUUCCCAUUUUACCUGAUUCAUAAGCGAAAACAAAUAAGAACAAACUGAAAGAGAGCUUUCAAGGAAAUCUAAUGUACUAAAUCAAACAAUGCUAGAAAAAUAACACAAAAAAAGCAUCCUACCUGAAUCUCUGAUAGUAUACAACCAUGUAGUGCCAUAACCAUGAAGGCACAGUGCCUGAGCGAACCACUAACUUUAACAUAGCACUUCCAGGGAUAAUUCCACAUUUUGUAAGGACCAUGUGGUGGCUCCCAGAUAGCAAAACCUAACUAUGAUAAAACAUGGAAAAAAAAAUUACUUAUAGAAAAUACUCAUCUUCCAUUCAACCAAUGACAGAUUUCAGGAAUGCAUAGAAGUUCAAAAAGAUACAUACAAGAGCAUCCUCUUGACUUGUUGAUUGUACAGCAGAUCGAUACCCACUGUACAGAGGAUCAUCAUAAGCCUGGUAAGUAAGAAUUUUUGAAGGAACCCUUUCAUAUUCAACGCAUUGAAGGUAUCCAUUGACACAACCUACAGAAAUAGCAACAGGAUCAGCUGAUAAGUGUUAUGGUUCUACCAAUGAAGGAUUUUAAUUUCAGUCCAACACCAAUUUCCGUAACCUACUAGAGUUGUGUGAUAUCAAUAUAUACCGAGUAGUAUACCAUUCUGUACUGCCAAAUUUCAUUAAAUAACAUAACAAAAAAAAAGAAUAGUAUUGUACCAAUACCAAGAUAUAUGUUUCAGGAAAGGUACUUGGUUGGACUGGUAAAUACUGGUGGGUAUGUAUCAGUCCAUCUGGUAUUAAAACCUUGCUUCCAAUAUUAGACUAAUCCAGUUAUAACUUCAGAUUACUCUGCCAACUGAAGAUUACAUUUCACUUUCUGCCUAACUCUCUGUAGGCAGAAAAAAAUUGUAGUAAAAAAAUUGCAAAAGUCUUAUGUUCAAAAUUUUGAAUCAAUUAUUUGACAAUGAGUUCAAGUACCAUUGUGCAAAAUGUACCGAUUAUCAAACUAUUGGAAACAGAUUACAUUGCUAUAGUUGUCGAGCCUGGUCCAAGUCAUGAGCACCAAGAUGUUUCAAAACUUCAAAUCAGAUACCAUGUGAAAUGAUAGGAUGAAGCGUAUUCAUAUAAUAAUUACCUUCCAAAGACUUAGCUAGACCUGUGAAGUUCUUUGCUACCAGGUUGUGCAGAUCCUCUCCUGCCCAGAUUGGAUAAAUGCAAAUAUUUAUUCCCAAACCAACACCAGCUCCAAGAGCAAUUAAUAGAAACCGGCUCACUGCAGUCUCAAUAAAUGCCCUUGUCCUAUAUCCGGACACCAUUAUGAAACAAAAUGUGAGCAAAAAGACUCGAAAGCCAUAUUCAUAAGGCUUCAUUGUCGGGUAGAGCUUUAUGAAGCUUGCAAAAAAUCCUGCAUCGGUGAUGGAUGAGAAAUGAAAAAAAAGGAAAAAGUCAGUCCUACAUAAUGCAAAAUACUCAACGAUGAAAGCAAGAGACAGGUGUUAUGCAUCUCACCAGCAACAAAGAUGCUAAUAACUACAGUUACUUCCUCCAAAUCUCCGGUGAGUAUUGCUAGUUCUGCAACACCUAGAGCAAGGCCUCCGGCAAGUAAUGUUCCUAAACCCCGAUUAAGCCCUUUGCUUAGAGUGGCACCUGCAUGAUGCAGACUUGGAUACUCAGUCUGGAUUAAGUAUGCAUGGGGCAAGAAUUUAAAAGGAACUAGUAGGAAAAUUCAUUAAUGGGCCUAUGAUCUGCUCACUCAGAAAUUCUCACAAGCAGAUAAAAGACUAAUUACAACUUCUUUAUCUUAUAGCGGUCAAACAGCUCCAAUAAUGUUCCAUCAGUCUUCACACUUUCUCUAAAGAAUGUGUUACAAAUGUAGAAUCGACUCUGUUGACCAUGAUGAAUGACCGUUAUAAAUUAAUUUACAAAGUCAGCUCACUUUUUAUAAACAUGAAGAAGACUAAUUGGCAUGUCCAUUAAUCCAAGGUUUAUUCCACCAGAAAACGAAACCUCCAAGAUCUUAUACUAUACAUGAGGGAAUCCACAUGACAAAGCAUGAAGAAGACAGUAUCUGAUAUAAGGAAGCGCAUUCAUCUUCAAAGCACAGAUAAGCAAUCAAACUGCGAUUUAAGGCAUUUUUAGUGUCUCGGAAAAUAAAUUUGCACGAAGAAAAAUAGACGACAUGAAGAUCUCAUCGAUCAUUCAAGUUCCCACCCACCCCACCUAUGCUGAACUCGAAGACCACGACGACGGUGAGGAUGGCCCAGACGGAGUACUUGGUGAGGUCCCGGAAGGGCUCCCGGAGGAAGAUAAGGAGGGAGAUGAGGGUGAGGGCGAGGCCCAUCUUGGCGGCGAACACCACCUUCCGUGGGUCCGACCGCCCGAACUCCCAGCCCUCGACGGCCAACCACCGGAUGAAGGCCCACGCGGCGGCGAUCCGAUCGGCCAGGCGGCGGAAGCAGCCUCCCUGCCGGGUGGAGGGGUCAUCGUAGAGGUGGGGGAGGAGGGUGGAGGAGAGGAGCCGUUCCUUGCUCCGCUGCUCGAAGUUGUAAUGGAAGGAUCCCAGUUUAGGGGCCAUUUGGUGGUGCGUAUGGAGUUCUCGGUUACUUGCGGUGGCGAGAGAGAGAUAGAGAGAGAGAGAGAGAGAAGCUUUUAGGCUUUUCAACGUCAAGGAGGAGUGGGUCGACGCGAAGGCUGAUCACAUUCCACCAACUAUAAAUGGCGAAUUUAUGGGGAAAAAACUGUUUUUAGCUUUUUCCUCAUAAAGGUACCUAAUUUUUCGAAUUUUUUAAUUUUUUUUCCUAAUACCUGCUACUUAUUAUUAUUUGACAAUCUACCCAUUUUUGCUCUUUUUCUUUUUUUUUUUUGGGAUGGAUUGAACCCCUACGAUAAAUCUAUCCUUUUAUAAUAUUUUUAUAUUAUAUUUAUAUAAAAAUAUUAUACUUGAAUCGGUUCAUUUUAUACCUCCAUCCAUAGGAAACGAAAAUAAAAAGAGAUUGAUGGAUUGAUAUUUUAGAUAUUAAACAAAAAAUACAUUAUAUUUUCUGAGAAAAACUCAAAAAUUGAUCUUUUUCGAAAAUUCAGCCAACUACAGUUAGGAUCUAUCAAUAUUUACAUUUAUACCCCUAUAUAUAUAUAUAUAUAUAUAUAUAUAUAUAUAUAUAUAUAUAUAUAUAUAUAUAUAUAUCGCCUCAAAUUACUUCAAAAGUAGGACUGCUAAUGAUCGAAAAAAUCUCAUAUUCUAAAUGUAUAUUAAAUUGUCUUGCCUUUAAUUUUAUGUAUUAAAUUAAUUUAAAUCAAACGAAUCCAUUAUUCUUUAGUAGUAGUGCAUCCAUGCAAGUGUAAAUACGUAAAUUUAGAAUUUGUGGGGUAUUUAGUAAAAUAAUUAUAUGUAGAGGGGCUAUAUGGUAAGAAAACUCAACAUACGAGCCGCCCAAACCAACAUUUCUUAAUAGCGCACGAGAUACACGAGGGGGUUUCAUCGUCAUUUCAGUUUCAUUUUGUGCGGUGCCGGCAUGCCUCCGAAACAUGUGGUUGGAAAUGAUUUCCAUUCUCAACCGAGAAAAGUUGACAUUUCUUUUCUGACUGUUCCCUUUAUUGGACACUCCAUCAAUUGCGGAGAGCGACGGAUGUCAUCAGAUUAAUUAUCAAAACUAAUUUGAAUAUAUAUAUAUAUAUAUAUAUAUAUAUAUAUCUAUAAUUGGUCAGAUAUAGGCUUGUUAUGAAAAUAAUGGUUUCCCUAUCGGCCGUUUGGCUUUUCGAUACAAAGAAGGGUUGUCAACCCCGUGCUUGUGUAAUCUGCAACGACACUAACAAACGUUCUAUAUAAUGUACGAUUUUUAGUUUCUAAUAAGAUGACAUAUAGCUAACUGUUUCACAAAUUUACUAAUUAAUUUUUUAUUUUUAUAAUCAUUUAAAAAGUAAUCAUGGAUGACACUACCAUUGUGUGAAGGCGUUCUUAUCCAAAAAUUUGAAUACAUGUAUUAUUUUUUUUGUCAUGUACAUUUUUAAUUUUAUUCUAUUAUUCUUUUAUCCAAUCAAUUAAUUAAUUAAUCAUAUGGUGGCCUACCAUCUUUGAUGAUGAUGAUUGCUUUGCUUAGAAGAUUGAUUUAGCAUUCUUAAGAUGCAGUCAGUGUGUUAGAGAUCAAACAAUCAUAAUCUGUCUUUGUGUUAAGGAGUAGGUCUACAUGUAACCUUUGUUCUGAGCAGUAGUAGGCCACCCUUGUUUAAGAAUUCUUUUUUUCCUGAGAAGCAUUUUCAUUUUUAAAAUUCUGGAAUAUAUAUAUUUUUUUUUUCUUAUAAAUCAAUCAUAAAGUGAAUCAAUAUCGUAUAAUAUUUUUUAUAUUAUAUUAUAUUUUUUACAAAACAUUUAGGUAUUUUUAAUAAUAUUAUAACAUAGUAUAUAAACACUAUUACACAAUACCUUUGUACUAUAUUAUAAUAUUUUUUAUAUUACUGGAUUGAUUCAUCAUGUGCAUUGAUCGCUAAGAAAAAAGAUAGACGAUUGGGGUAUUUUUAUUUAUUAGAAAAAAAUAAAAAAGGAGCGUUUAUGAAAAAAGACUCAAAAAAUAAUUUUUUUGCUAAUGGAUAUUUAUAGGUCAAUGUAAAAAUAUUAUAUAUUUUUAGUAAUAAGCAAAAAUAUUUAAUAUAAUAAUUUAAUAUAAUUUUUAUUAGAAAUCUUAUUUUUAUAGUACUUUUACACAACGUUAACGUAUCUUUAAUUAUAAUAUUUUUUCCUAAUAUUAUAAUAUAAUAUUUUUAUUUUAAAUAAUAUUAAGAAAGAUAUUGUAACAUAGUAUAUAAACACUAGUACACAGUAUCUUUGUACUAUAUUAUAAUAUUUUUUUGAUAUUACCUAUUGUAGUUAAAAAUAUUAUAAUUGGAUUGAUUCACGAUUGAUCCAUAAGAAAAAAUAGAUGUUUCGGAUAUUCUACUUAUUAAAAAAAUAAAAUUUUAAAAAUAAGGAGCGUUUCAGAAAAAAAAAUCAAAAGAUAAUUGUUUUGUGAAUGAAUAUUUAAAGGUCAAUGUAAAAAUGUUAUAUAAUUUUAGUAAUAGCAAAAAUAUUAUAAUAUAAGAAUUUUAUAUAUUUUUUUAUAAAAAAUAUUAUUUUUAUAGUAUUUUUAAUUAUAUUAAAAAAAAUACUAAAGUAGUACAACAAUAUUAUAAUACAAUAUUUUUUAUUUUUAAAUAAUAUUAUAAAAAUAUUAUAACAUGGUAUAUAAACACUAUUACACAGUAUCUUUGUACUUACUCAAUUAUAAUAUUUUUUGAUAUUAAUUAAUGUAGUGUAAAAAUAUUAUAAUCGAAUAGAUUCGCUGUUAAUCCAUAAGAAAAAAAAAAGAUGAUUGGGAUAUUCUAAUUAUUAAAAAAAUAAAAUUUAAAAAAUGAGGAGCAUUUCUGAAAAGAAAUCAAAAAAGAAAUUUUUUUGUUAAUCAAUUUAAGUCAUUAAUCUUGUUGAUCAAUUUAAGUUAUUAUGUUAAACUAAAUUGGGAUAUCGCACCCGAAUCAUAAAUAUUAGCCUAAGCUGAAAUGAGCACCACAAAUUCUUCUGAAAAAGAAAGAAAAAGCCAAUUUUUCGAAUAAUUUCUUCAAUUAAUUGUGUUUUUCUAUUCUCAUUUUAUGAGGAAACGAUUUCGCUUCACUUCUCCGCGACAUGUGAUUCACGUGAGCCGCUGGAUAUGCAGGCUUCACUUUCAUCCGCCGUCCAUUUCCGAUGGCGAACGCGUGCGAGUCCCAUCUUAAAUCUCAUCCGUUGAUUCCCUACCCGCGCAAACGUCACCAGAAGUAACACCCGUUCGUUCCAUCCCAUCCCACCAUCGCAAACCGCAUCCAUCUCGGGGUGCUCUCUUUCGUCGUGUACCCACGGCAGCGAGCGGCGAGGGGAAGCAGCGAUGUCGGCGGCGACGGCAACCAUCGCUCCCGCCGCCUUCUUGUCCCGUUCCUCGUCCCUCCUCGCAUCCACCGCCGCCGUCCGCCUCCGCUCAUCCCGGCGCUGCUUUCGUGUGCUCCCCGUCCGCGCCUCGUCCCCCUCGGAGCCCCCUUUUGAGGUCUGCGUCAAGGCGUCCAUCACCGUCCCCAACCGACUUGGCGAUUGUAAAGCCUCUCGAUCUCAUCUCUCUACUUCCCCCACUCUCAUGAAUGAGUCCUUUAUAAUGUUCUGGUGGAACUAAUUGGAACUAUGUACUAGACAUGUUUGUCUAAUUGUCGGUGGUUUUCAGCAUGGAUGUUUGCUAGAAUUAGACCAUUCGUAAUGUCUGUUCAGGUCCUUUCUCGCAAAGGGUUCUCUUGACCCUCGAGGAGAAGCGUUUAUCGUAUGACAUGAAAUUGGUCGAUCUGGGAAACAAGCCAGAAUGGUAAAUCUUUAAUUCUUGUUCUGGUAAAGGAGGAGCAAAAUGCAAGGGAUGGGAUGGAUUCAUCUCAUGAUAUGUUUGGUUACCAUUUACUGCUCUAGGUUUCUGCAAAUAAGCCCUGAAGGAAAAGUUCCUGUCAUUAAGCUUGAUGAGAAGUGGAUUGCUGAUUCAGACAUUAUUACAAAAUCAUUGGAAGAAAAAUACCCUGUUCCGUCUUUAGAGACGCCUCCAGAGAAGGCUUCAGCGUAUGGAUUUCACUUUUUUUUUUUUUUAAUUUGUCAUCGGAUUGGUAUUUAGUGAAAGAUUAGAUACAGUUUUCUCUCUCUUUUUUUGUUGGUUCAAUUAUUUUAUAUUAAUUCAUAACUCUUUGCAGUAUUUUAUUGGACAGAAAGCAUGCCUAAGUCAUUUAAUUAUAAGCUAUCACCUAGUGUUCCCAACAAUUUUGAGAGUAUCAUGCUUGUUUGAUGGUUAUCUCAAAUAGAAAUCCAGAUUAGUCAUCUAAGAGUUCCUCCGUGCUACCUAUGUAAACAAUGGAGUUAUACCAGGAACAGGUGUUCUAUGUACAUGAUAAUUAGUGAUUGAAAAAUAGGCAUAGAAUACUGUUAUAAUUGUUACCGACUCCUUGUCACUUUUCUACAAACUCAAGAAAAGGGAGAAAGAACUUUUGGAAUGUGUGCAAUCAAGAGCCUAGUGCUAGUGUAGAAAGUAGCUUCUGCAGUUCACUUUUUUUAUGCUUUAAUGAUCUGUUGGAUAUACCAACUUUUGUGAUCAAGGGACAUCUUUGAUAGUGUCAUCAUGUAAUAUGUUCUCUUGAUUCUUGAGAUGAUGUGAUCCAUUACUAACAAGUCCUUUGGCUCAUUACUGAAUGGGUUAUGUUGAGGAGUUCAUCAAUGACACUAAACCGUUUUAGUGGUUCUGAGACAGUUACCAUGAUGAUGUAAAAUCAUGACAUUUGAAUUUCUUAGGUAGCUUUUUAAUUAUCAUAGUGCUAUUUUACGAGUUUAUCACUCUUGCCAGUUCUUGCAGGAAUGAGGUAAUUUAUCACAUUUUGAAUCAUAAAUAUAACACAUAGGAGACCUGUACUAAUACCCUUACAUCAAGAAUUUAUUUUCAUAAUAAUCUUGUUGUAAGUCUUUUAAUCUAUCUUUUGAUCACUCACUGAGGUGUCUGGAAUAUUGUCUAGAAAUUUCUACAAAUUGUGGUAACUUGUAACUACACUAUUUUGGAGUAUAAGACAGCAACCGAUGAACUGAUUUACCUAAUCCAGAUCCAGUAUUAUCAAUCUCCUUACUUUUUUCCCUAUCUAUUUACUUUCUGUGAACAACUUUUAUUUACAUUUGAUAAUUUUUUUUUACCUCUUUUUAAUUUGAUAUGACAAUAACAUGACUCUUGUAGUGGUUCAAAAAUCUUCUCAACUUUUAUUGGUUUCUUAAAAAGCAAAGAUCCUAAUGAUGGCACAGAACAAGCCUUGCUUGAUGAGCUGACUUCGUUUAAUGAAUACCUAAAGGACAAUGUAAGUUUGUCUUGUCAUUUUGUUUUGAAAAAAAAAAAAUUAUUCAUACUACUUUCUGGUCAUGCAUUUACUGCCUUUAUUUUUUGAACUGUCUACUGCAUUUAGAAUUGUGUGCUACAUGUAUUUAGGGCAGCUUUUUGACAUAUUCAUGUCCUGUUUUGUUGUUAAAACCUGUUUUUUUUGUUAAUGCUGUUUAAAUAUAACUUUUGUUGAAGACAAAUGCCUACAGUUUCUUCUUUAUGUUUUAUUUAAUGAUUUUAUCUAUCCCUAUUUACUUGUAUUAUGUUUUGUUUUAUCUUUGAAAGUUGCAUGUGUGCAGGUGGUAUGGUUCUGAUUGUAUUAUUGUCAUCGAAUGUGAAAAAAAAAUGAAGGCCAAGACAUUAGACCAGCAAAGCAGUGUGAUCUGCAUGUCCUUGUUUUUUCCACCAUAGUUUGCUUUCUUGCUGAAACUUGUUAAUCAAAUUUGAUAUUAAAUGCUUGAUUUGACUGAUAGAGUCAGGAACACCAUUUGCUAAUUUGAAAAUAUACCCAUCCCAUUUAUUUUAUUAUUGUUAGCAAUGAUGGAUAAUAAAGACUUGUUUGAUACUUCAAUGACUUUUUCUUCUUACAUUCAAUAAUUAAACCAAGAAGUUACAGAUUAGAAGUCUGUCAGACUUAUGAUAUUUUUAGCUCUUUAACAUUUUUACGUCGAUUGAUUUGAACAAAUAAAGCAGAUGCCAAGUUCUACUUGUUCGCCAUCAUGGAAUUUUUUUGGCUAGACAUUUUUUGUGAAUUGUAUACUUGAUUAUCCUCUUUGGGAUUGACUUGAGAAUUCAUUGUGCAAUAUACAACAGUAAGUUUCAUGUGGAUAGCCAUCUAGUUCUUGUUCAUUUCUGAUUUCAAUGAUUGAAUUUUUGGUAGUGGUUACAACUAAAUUAUGAAAUUUAAAAGUUGGUUUGUUCGUUUUCUUUGUCAGGGGCCUUUUGUGAAUGGUGACAGUAUAUCUGCUGCUGAUUUAUCCCUUGGGCCUAAGCUUUAUCAUAUGGAGAUUGCCCUAGGUCACUAUAAGAACUGGUCAGUUCCAGAAUCACUUGCAUAUGUGAGGAACUACAUGAAGGUAUGUAAAAUAAUCUUGAAUUUUCUGGGUUUUUUAGAUAUUUUGUGAUUAUAUGGUUAAUCAAUCCGUUAUGAAUAUUAUGACAAACUUUAUUACUGCACUUUCAAUACUUUGUUUACUCUAAUAUAUUUGGUAAAAUGUAUGAGGCCUAAUUUAUAUUAUAUUUCAGUUGAUGAUUAAUCAUUUUAUGUUCUUCAUGGGAUAUCCUAUGUCCAAAAAAGCAGACAAGAAUAUUUUACAACAUUUCUCUGCUUUCCUAAAUGCGAUACAUGUGGGCAAACCAUUUUCAUCAUUUAAUCAAAUGCCUUUCCACUUUAUUAUGGAGACUUGUUUGUAGACAGUUAUUGAUGGAGGAUUAUGAUAGAGACAAAUCUGGAAUAACAAUUUUGCAUUCCUUGCAUGUUUCAAUCCUCAAUCAAUCUAUGAUAUGAGGAUCAAGCACCACAUGAUUUGAGCGCAUGAUUGAGGGAAACCUCUCCCUCAAAUUUGUAUAAAUACACAUUACCUCAUUGAAUGAAUUCAUUGAACAUUAUAGCAAAUUCUUUAGCUAUCUUCAGAGGACAACCAAGAGUCGGAAGCAAUUAUGGAUGAAAAUUGUGGAAAGUAUUGGAGAAUACUCACUAACUGAUUUCUAGCUUCUGUUUUAGAAAAGUAUAUAGAUAAUUGGCGAUAUUCUGGUUGGAUUUUCAUAUCAUCUUGCUUCUCUUGUGAAUAGAGAAUUUCUCUGCAUUGUUGCUAGAAUUUUGUUAAAUCACAAGUUAUGUCAUUGUGUACGAGCAGAUUUUUGAUAUUUUGUUUCUGUCGUCAUGUCGGUACUACGUUGAGUGAUCUACACUUUUUAGCUGAUUUCAUCCCUAUCACGAGUGAUAGUUCUUCAUACUUCACUUGCUUGCUUCCGUUAGACUUUUACCUCAUGAUGCAUGUCUACCUUUUCUUAAAGCAUGAAUCUUAGGUUAUAUACAAUCUAUGGCAAGUUGAUAUAUCCAUUAAGAAAGAAGUGAUCUUUUUCUCUUUUGGUCUUUUCUUUCGCCUUCCUACUAAUGCAAGUUGUUGGUGUUGCAGUCGAUUUUCUCCAUGGAUUCAUUCGUCAAGACUCGGGCACUCCCAGAGGAUGUCAUUGCUGGAUGGCGUCCAAAAGUCAUCGGUUAAACCAUUUAACAACCAUCAUAUAUUUCUGCUUGCUUUUAGCAUGGCACCACAUGAAAUGCUAAUCAAAUUUUGGCUUCAGUUUUUAACAUGAUUACUAUAAUCAGUCUGUUGCUAAUUCGUAGAAAGGCUUAUGUAUCUUCAGAUUUACCAAGCUUUGGGUUUCUUUUAUAUUUAUAAGUGAGGUAAAAGCCUAUAUCUGGUUUCAUAGGCUAAUCUGUAAGAGGUCCAGUAAGAAAAGGGUGAUCACAUGCUCCACUUGAGAAAUCCUUAUUGAAGUUCCAAUUUGCAUAUUGAAUACGUUUAUCAAUAUCAAUGAUCUUUAGAUGACACUUCCAAGAGUAUUUAAAGAGAACAAUACUUGACUGGGGCCUUUAACCCAUAUAAACAUUUUUCUUCCUUGCACCUCAUGCCCUUUCUUGAGCUCAUCUUUUUUUUUAUGGAGAUAAUUUUAGAUCAUAUAAAACUAAACUAAUAUUAAAGGGUAAUAUGAUGAUAUCGUGGCCGACAUAUGUCACUUAAUAUAUUCUUUAAGUUUUUUUUUUUCCUCUCAUGUUUAUUGUCAUCAUCGUCUUGUCUUCUCCUUUCGACUUCUCUCUCACAUCCUUCUCUCGUCGUGCUUCCGUUACUACGAUAUCGAUGUCUUUUCUAAUACCAACCCACAACCACCCACCCCUUUAAUACUCUUUUUUGCUACCAAAAUAUAUCAUAGUUGGCGAGCUUACCAUCUGAUCCUUAACAUAUCAUGAAGUUAAGACCGCAAAAUAGCUCCUUGGGCACCGUUAACCCUGCUUUAUUUUUGUAUUCGAUUCACGAAAUGGAGAUUCACUCAAUCUAAAAUCAAUUUAUACACUAGAUGAAAUCCAUUUCAUAGUGUUAGUGCUCCUUAUAGUUGCCCUAUCAGCGGUGUUAAAGGCUGGGGGUACAACUUGAUCCAGUAAUAUGUGUCUAAGCAUAGCUGAAGUGUUAUUUAAUAUAAUAAAAAUAUUUUUUUAAUAAAAAAAAUCUCGAUCGAGCCAGUGCAAGUCGUCUCCUCGGGCUAGAGUGUCCGACUUGCAAGAAGUUGUACAGGGUGUUCUUUGAUACGAACCUUUCUACGCUUUCAAAGAGUCGAAUAACAAAUAUUGCAAGAGAAUUCGUUUGCUCUUGGUAUUUUUGAAGGUAUUAUUUUUCACAUGCGAGUAUAAUUGGCGAUGCGGCAAUUGGUCAUGUUUCGUGCGAUGUCGUGGUGGCCACCCACGUGUUGCAAAUUAGCCCCAACAUGAAAGCUGAUGUGGUGUAUGUUUGAGUGACUUGUGUCAAUCCAUGUCCACGUGGAUAGUAAAGUGUCGGAUACAUACAGCACAUAGAAACAAGGAUAACACAUAAUUUGUUCUCCUAUUAUUCCUGUAUACUCCUUCACAUCUUUCACACCUUCGACACGCAUACAUAGCCCACCGCGAAAGCAUCGUGCACGAUAUGUUCUAGACAUCGUACGAUUAGCGUGCGCAAUAUUUAAAGCACCUCGUAAUCGUAUGAGUACGACUUAACACGUUAGAAAGAAUGAAGAACUCACAUAAACUCACAUUUUAUAUAAUGGUUACAAUUCAUCGAUUGCCCGAGAAGACGCUAUAACAAUCCGCUCCGAUAAGGCAAGGGGUGUUUGUGUUAGAUUACGUGGCUCUAUAUAAUAAGAUAAAAUAUAUAUAAUAGAACUAAUUAAAUUUUAUAAUAUAUAUUAGUUAAUAAAAAAAAGUUUAUAUCAUAGUAGGAUUCUUUAGGGGAUGUUUUUGAUAGGAAGAACUCUCCCAAUAAUUUAUCCUAGACCCCUUGCAUUACAUAUAGCAUAUAACAGUUUUAUACUAAUAAUUGGUAUCAGAGCUUAAGUUUUUGAAAUCAAAUAUCUUAGAUAUAUUGUUUUCUGAUUUACAUUAUUCGAAUGAUCCAUAUUUUAUCGAUCUAAAUUUCUAUCUAUUUUGUCUUGUCGUCUACUUGCAAGCAAUGAUCUAUUUUUCUAUUUGAUUUGUCCUAUCAUUUGAUUACGAUCGAUGGGUUUCCUAGUAAAUAAAUUAUAUAACUUAUUUUAAGUUAUAGAAUGAUAAGAAACCUAACUUAAGAUAUUUAUAUAUUUAGAAUUAUCCUAUAGAGAAAAGGAUCUUCAUCUGACAUAAAAGAAAAUUAGAUUUACUAACUAUUUUUAAAUAUUUUAUUAUUUAUUCAGAAAGGUUCAAAGGGGUAUAUAUCUUAUUGUCCUAAUUAUGGUAUGAGAUAUAGAUUGAUACUCCUUUAUUAUUCAAGAGAUUGUUAUUACUCAAAUUAUUAAAUAAUUUGAUAAAAGUUAAUAAUAAAUUAAUAUUACUAAACUCCCAUAUUAUAUUGAUAUCGCUAUUAAUGAUUUGUAGAAUAACAAUAAUUGAUAGUCUUAGGAAUAUCUUAAAAAGAAAAAGAAAUCCUAUCAUUUAUGGUUAUUAUAUGCUAUUUCUACAGGAAUUAUACUAUGAUAUAGGAAUCAGAAUGAUUCCUCAUUGUUUUCACAUGUCAUAAAAAAUAAUGACUUUGAAAAGUAAUAUGAUGUAAUAAAAAAGAGUUAAAAUCAAUAACCAGAAUAGUGUACGAUGAAUUCGUUGAAUUGUUCAAUAAUUAUAAAAGAAUCUAUUAUAUAAAUAUGAUUUAAAGGAUAAUAUCGAACGAUAUAAUAAUCAAAAUUAUGAUUAAAAAUUUUACUCAUAAAGAAUAUAUCAGUCAAAAUAUUUAGUUUUUAAAUGAACUCAUUAAAAAUCAUCAUCACAUUAAUGACUCGUUAUGAGUUUGAGUUACGAUAUAAAAAUAAUUUUUGAUUAAGGAUUUAUGGGUUGCUCUAAACAAUUUACAGAGAAUAUAAAGAUAAUGAUCUUAAACAAGCUUCAAGAUAAUGAUAUAUAAACGUUCUUGACAUCAUUACUUUUUUUCUUCAUAUUUAAAAAAAAUACUAUUGAUCGAUAUUUAUAUCAAUAGGAGUAAGUUUAUUAUAUUAGUCUUAUAUAUGGAUAAUAUUUUAUUUACCAAUAGUGAUAUUGGUUUAUUAUACUAAAUUAAAAAAUUUGUCACAAAGAAUUUUAAGAUGAUUGAUAUGAAUGAGACAUCUUAUUAUUAUUGAAUUAUUUAAGGAUAGAUCUCAAUGAUUAUUAAGACUAUCUCACUUAAAAAAAAAAAGGCUAUCUCAGAAAAGAAUAUAUUAACCAAGUCUUAAAAAGAUUUAAUAUACAGAUUUGUUCAAUAAAUAUAAAAUUUUAGUCAAAAGUAAAUGUUUUAAAAUAAUUUAAAAAGAAUCAAAGAAAGAAAAUAUUCUUUAUAUAUACACAGUUAGAAGUCUAUGCUCAAGCUUAUCGGAAUAGAUAUCAGUUUUGUAGUUAAAAUAUUAGGUAUAUAUUGGAGUUACCUAAAAGUAAAAAUACUAAAGAACCGCAAAGAAAGUAAUAAGAUAUCUAGAAAUGACAAAGGAUUAAAUACUCACAUAUAUGAAAUUAUAUCAACUUGAAAUGAUGGUAUUUUUCAAAUAUUGAUUUUAUAAAUUACCGCCAUAAUAAGAAGUUCACCUUGUGAAUAAUAUCUAUAUCAAUUAGAGAGGUAAUUUAUUAUUAUAUUAUUAAUAAUAAAAGUUGAUUUGUUAGCAUGAGCCAUUGAUUAAACUUUAUGACUGCAAAAUUUUAUCUCAGGCCUCAAUGUGGUCAGACUCAAUUACUAAAUCACUAAAGAUAUUUUGUGACAUCGUAGUUGUUUUCUUCUCUAAGAUAAGUAUUAUUGCAUCUCUAUGCAUUAUUAUAUAAAGUACUUAGAUGGUUAGAGAAGAGGAGUCCAGAAAUAUCCAAUAUCAAUUAAUUACUUGAGUUAUAUUGUAUUGGUUGUUGAUUAAUUCACUUACGACUUAUAGCCUAAAGUGUUUUGAAAGAACAUGUUCUUAUGAUUGAGUUUAUGAGCAACUCAUAAAGGAUAUGAUGAUGUAUGUUUUAGUGGACACUAUAAUUGAUAUUCGUACUUAAAAUUAUUUGUUUCUAGUAUCUUAUUCAUAAUUAUGUAUAUAUAUAUAUAUAUAUAUAUAUAUAUAUAUAUAUAUAUAAUGGUUGAAUGUGAAGAUAUGAUUAUAGACAAAUUAUAAAAAUCAUUUUGGACUGUAUUAGGAAAGAGUAAUAGUGUUGUGAUAUAUAGAAUGAAGUAUGAUACUGAUGAUAUACAACCGUUAUGACUCAUAUUAUUAGUCAGACUUAAUGUACUAUUAUUGUAUUUAUUGGACUUAUUAGCCUAUUUUUAAAAUUUACGCGUGUAGAUAGUUUUUUAAAAUUUUAAACUCUCAAUGGGUAAAAUUAUUUUCAAAUAAAUUUUGUUUAUUUAUUUUUGAUUUUAAGUCUUCAUGUAUCGUAUCAAUUAAUGGGCCAAAUGGGAGAAUGUUAGAUUAUGCAACUCUAUAUAAUUGGAUAAGAUAUAUAAUAGAAUUAAUUGGAUUACAAAUAUUUGAUGAAUAGAAAAGAAAUUCAUAUUAUAGUAGAAUUCCUUAGGAGAUUCUCUUGGUGGGAGGAACUCUCCUAAUAACUUAUCCUAGAUCCUCUGUUCUCGCUUAUAAAUAGACAGAACCUCUAAGGGAAGCAAUAUAUAGUUAAGAAUCCAUCAAUCUAAGUGGUCCUGUGAAAGAAUAGAAAGCGACAAGAAGGAGAGUCUAGUUCUCCUUACAGAUUGACAACAAAUUUUGAAUCUAAAGACUAGAUCUUUACAUAUUACACAAAGAUCCUUUUCGGAUAGCAUCAAAAAUACAUAUCAUAAAAACCAAUCUAAUAUUAUUUAAUUUUAAUCCUAGCAUAAAUUUUUUUUUGCAUUACAUAUAACAGUUUUUUGAUCGUAGAUUCUCCAUGGCUCAUUGAACAGAGGAUGAUAUAUAUGAUCAACUACAUUUAAGUUCAAAUAAAUUGUGGAGCAGUCAGGAUUCAUUACUCUCCUGUUACUGAUAGAAAGGAAAGCAGACCAAAUAUUAAGAAAAGUACGCCGCUGGAGAGUGCAACCUAUGAAAUCGGAUUAAAGUAUUGCAUCAACUCCAACGAUAGUGUUGUGUUUUGUAACUUUCAGGAAUAAUGGAAAAGAGAGGACAGCUGCUUACCAUUUUUUCUGAUAUCUGGGACGCCAAGCUCUUUCCUCCGAGGACUGCUGCUGUGGUGCAGAAUGCUUGUCCGCUGCAUCAAAAUAAACGAAGCAAAUCCACACUGAGCCGUUAGGCUGAAUGAAUGAAAUGAACCCACAUAUAAUGAGAAUUGAGGAAUGGAUGCCAUACACGAUGCCCCCGAGAACCACACCAAAUGGGUUUUCAUCAGAGGCCAACCCGAUUGUAGCUAUCUGAGAAAUACAAAUGGCUGAAUUGAGUAACCAUACCCAGUCAAUGCGAGGAAAAGAUUAAUCACAUUUAACCACGAGUUACCUGGCUCUUGUCACCCCACUCGCCGAAGAAAGUGAUGGAGAAUGCCUGGGUUAUCAAAGUGGCAGGACGGUUCGCAUGACAAAACAAUACAUUUUUUUUAUUAAUUUAGUCUUUUAACUAAAACAAUUACCUUUAGGAAGACGGGCGAGAAGAACUGAGUUAGAAAUGGCCUCUGUUGUUUCUUUAAGUCUUCCCUCACCUGAUUAUGGCAAAAGCAUUUACAUUAUAAUCUCUUCCAGGCAACAGCUUAAAACACUGGAAUCUAGUAAUAGGGGAAAUUGACUGUUGUGUUUAUCUGAUUUUGUCAAUUUCGUAAAAUGGAGAUGCCUUGGCACUUAGGAAUCAAGUAGUCUCGGUAAUUUCUCAAUGUGUUAUGUUCAGAGUUCUUAAUUGAGAUUAACUUGGAAUUCUUGUAAAAUCAUAUUUGAUAAAUAUGAAACAAUUACACUAAAACUAACUAAUAUAUUCACACUGUACAAGGACAUCUGUCAGCAUCAAAAUUGCAGAAGAACCUUAGACACCCAUUGUAUCAAGAAGCCAUUAGUUGUACAUGGUGGUCACAGAUUCAUGUUAAGUAAUUCGAGAUCAGAAAAAAUAAAAUUCUCCUUAAGGGUUCAGUAAACUCUAUGUACUGAUGAAAUAUUGUUAGAAUAAUUUUUUUUAACUUUUGCAGACAAUAUUAAAUGUAUGGAAAAAUAACUAGGACUAGAAACGUCUUGAAAUAACCGUAUGUUUGGCCAUAAACAAACUGAAAUUGUGCCUUCUAAAAUAUUUGAUUGAACGCUGCAAUUGCUAUUUGAGAAGAACAUGGCCAGCAAAGUAGCACAGGCAUAGUUCAACAAUAGCAAGUGAAUUGACUUGAUUAAAAAUUAUGUAAAUGAUAAGAUGACAAAGAAGGAAAGAAGAAAGCCAACAGAUCUUGGCCAAAUCAAAAGGUUUAAAAUCUUGGGCACCAGAUCUGUACCUAUCACUAGCCGGACUAGUACAGGUCCAGUUCAUAUUGGCAUAUUGACAAAUGGUAUAUUAGUAUAUGAUGCAGUAACUCCCUGGUCAUAGCAUACGUAAUAAUAUUUUUAUUGUAUAAGAAACUACUUACACCAUGUAUUCUUCCAAAGGUAAAAACCCUCUUGUCAUAGUUAAACUAGAUCUUGAAAAAGGGUUUGAUAGAUUAUCUUGGACUGCAAUUUUAAAAACUUUAUCCUCCAUGAAUUUUCCUCUAAAUUUUUAGAUUAGAUUCAAGCUUGCAUUUCUUUACUGAGCUUUAUUUGUCUUAUUAAUGGUGAAAUCUCUUCAUCUUUUUCUGGCCACUGUGGGGUUCGACAAGGUGACCCCUUGUCACCGUAUCUAUAUAUUCUUGCUCAAAUUUUUACAAAUAUGAUAAAUCAAGCAACAAGAACAAUACAACUUACCCCCUUUCUCUUGGGCCUAAAUACAAAAUUAGUCAUCUUAUGUUUGCAGAUGACUUAUUACUAUGCUUUAGGGCUAAUGCAAAAUCUUGUUUAACAAUUACGAAAAUCUUUAGAGAUUACGAACGCAUUACCAAUCAACGUAUUAAUUUCUCUGAAUCAGAAAUUUUCUUUUCUAAGUCAGCUUCUAGAUCUUCCAUAAAUCAUCAGGUUUGCUCAACAUUGGGUUUCAAACAUGGUUUUUUCCCUUUUAAAUAUUUAGGUGGCAAAAUUAUCCCUUGAAGGGUCACCUCAUCAACUUACAAAGAAAUCCUUAGUUAGAUUAGGGCAAAACUUGGUAAUUGGUAUUGUUACCACCUUUCUCAAGCUGAAAGAAUUAUAUUAAUUAAAUCAGUCCUAAACUCAAUUCCCAUUCACACUUUAAGUGUUACCUAGAUGCAUGAUACUUUGUUUUAAAAAAUAAAACCUUGAUAAAAAAAAUUUCCUUUGGAAAAACUCAUCUCAAUCUAAGGGUCUACAUCUCAUAAAUAGGAAUACAGUAACCUCCAGCAAAGAGGAAGGUGGCCUUAGCCUUCAUGAUAUUAAUUAUUUCAAAUAUACUUUAUAUCACAGUUUUUAAUUUUGGGCGAUACAUACUGGCCGAUAGCAUAACGGUAUGCGGACCGCUCGCAACUAGGCGGAACGCUCAAAAUCGCACAAUAUCAGAUGAUACAAGAGUAUAUCGGAUGGUAAGAGUCAAAAUUUUGACCGUUACCGCCUGACACAGCUUGAUAACGGUCGAUUUCAAUCGUUACUACUUGGCACAACUCAGUAAUGAUCGAUUUCUACUGUUACCGAUUUGUAACAGUGCUCCAACGGUCAUUUCUCAUGGGUUUUAAACUCAUUUCUCGCCUAUUUCAUUCCAUUUGACUCUCACACUCUCUUAAACUACCUUAAACCCAUUCUUUCUUACAUUUAUACCUCCUAAACUCUACAAAGCAAUGAUUUAUGAAUUGAUAAUUCAAAUAAUUUUCUGUAGAUAUUUUAAUAUUUACAGAAGAGCAAUCCAUAACGGAUCGAAAUACGAACCUUAUAGAAGGCUAUUCCUCAAAAUCUGAAAAAGAUAUGUGAUACUAUUCUUACCUAAUUUAUAUUGGUUUUGCUAAACUUAUACUAUUACUAUAUUUAUUUCUAACUUAAAAACCCUAUCCUAACUUUUUUUUAAAAAUAUUUUUGGAGAAUUUUACACCUAAAUUAGGUGUAUCAUACCGAGCGAAGCUCAAAACUCCGGUAUGAUACAAAAUUUCAAUCCUUACUUUACAUGCCUCCUAUAUUCAUCGCAAUCUAAACCAAGAUAAUACCCUUUAGAGUAAUACCCUACAUUCUAAAUAUGGAACUUUUCAUCCUUGGAGCAUUCCCAAAUUUAAAAAUAUAAGUUGCAGUUGGAAACUCUUCGUUCAAACAAUGUCUGAAUCAAAAAAGGGUUUCUCUAAACACAGAGGGAAUGGUUAUAACACUAAAUUGCAUAAGGAUCCAUGGAUCCCUCUCAACUGGCUACCUAUUUAUAUUAAUGUUAAUCUAUUGCCUGCAGAUUGUAAGGUUGAUGUGCUGAUCCAAUCUAGUAGCUAGAAUACCCAGUUGCUAUUGGACAUGUGCAUGCCUGACUUGGUUUUUGCUAUUGAAGCCUUCGAUUUUGCUCAGGUCCAUUGUGAUGAUAAAUGGAUCUGGAAGGCCCAUCCUUUUGGAAAACCUGCUUCAAAAGGUUCAUAUCAUUUAUUGCAUCCAUCCAAACUUGAGCGUUGCUAGUACUCCACAAAGGUUCAAAUCUUCUGCUGGAAACUACUCCACAAACGUUUACCAACGGCAGACAGACUUAUACAUUUUAACCUUACUAUUCAAUCCAAUAUCCCCUUUGUCUUACCACCAGUGAAUCUAUUGAUCAUCAAUUCUACCACUGUUCCUUCACUUCCCAACUUUGGGAUCUAUGGCAACAAAAUUUUGAUAUCAGUUUUACCCAAACAAUUUUCAGAUUUGGGAGAUUGGUUAAAAGAUGGUGAACUUUUGGGAUUGGGAAAACUGCUACGAACAGCUAUAGUAAACCAGUUUUGGUUUAUUUGGAAGAUACAAAAAGGCCCUCUUUAAUAAAAAAGUGCCUUUUAUAAAAUGGGCCUCGUCAGAAGCUGUAUCUCAUACUAGCUAUUAUGCUAGAUCUAUAUUGUCUAAAGGGACUAAAAUGAGCAAUACUAUUAUACUUCAUUGGUAAAAACCACCUGUAGGCUGGUUCAAACUGAAUACUGAUGGAGCCUCUCUUUUGCAGGAUGGAGGCAUUGGAUACAUUAUUAGAGAUCAUGAAGGAAAUUGCUGUGCUGCUGGACAAAAUUUCAUAGACAACAAAUCUGACCUUCAAUGUCAAGCUUUAGCAAUCAAAUUGGGAUUACAAACUGCAAUCACAAAAAAAUCACUCAUUUGCAAUUGGAAACAGACUCUUAAGGUUCUUCAAGACCUGCUGAUCACCAGCAAGGAUACACCAUGGUCCAUUUCAAACACUACAGCUGAUAUCAAGAUUCUUCUGCAGGAAUUUAUCACUUUGAAUGUGAUGCAUUGUUAUAAGGAAUGUAAUCAAGCAGCCAAUUGGCCUGUUAGAAAUGCUAGGAUUCAAAUCUCUCCUUGUUGUGGGAGGCUUCUUUUCCUACAGAACUUUGCUCCCUUUUGUAUAACAAUUUGCCCGGAUCCUUUACCAGAUCUAUGUUAACUUAAUAUAUUUAUUUUUGUUGAAAAAAAAUAUAUGCUGCAGUAUCAAGAAGGGAGGAGGUGGAUAAGGAGAAGAAGAGUAAAGGAGGAUGAGAAGAAUUAGAGAAGAGGAGAAGAGCCCCAGUAGCACUGGAUGACGAGUGGACCAGCAAAGGCAAGCAGAAAGUGAGUGGGUGGCGAUGACAUGCCCUAUACCCAAGGCUCAGGUGUCAUGGUUGAUCAAUUGAUCAAUCAAUAUAGAGAGAGAGCGCUCAGGGGUUGCAAUUAAGAGAGAGACAACGAGAGAGAAGGCAGGUUUGGUAUAUUUUAUAAGUUUUAAUUAAAAACUUUGAACCAGAUCCAGAAAAUGGCUAGUUCACGGCCUGGUUCUUCGUCGAACUGGUAUCUAUCUCCUUACUAAUUCAGGCUGUCUUCUAACCAUGGCUAAUGUUAAAAAUGAUAAAACAUAAAUGAAAAAGAAGCAUGUGCCCAUCUAUGCUAUAUUUUUAAUUACUUUUCUAUCAAGUUUCACAUAUAUCCACAGGAAGAAUAUGAAAACAUAGUCUAGCAAAUUAAAUGUCUGGUGAACACAUAAGAUGUGUACACUGUAUGCACAAGCCUAAAUACCUUAAUCCUAGUCAUUUUCAUUAAAUACAAAGAAAUUAAUAUGGUAUGACAGCUACACAUGAAGGCACCAGCAACACAUGUUUAUCAAUUCUGGAGCAUUAGUUCUUUGAUUUUGAGCCAUGAACUUUUAGAUGUAUAUUUUCAGUAAGCUGAACAGAUAAAUGAAGAACUGUCUUGAAAGUUAGAUGUCAUUUUAAGACUCAAGAAAUCAACAUAUAGACAAAUAUGCAGACGUCAAAUUAGAUGUCAAAUUACCUUAGAAUCUCCCUUGUUGCUUCCAGUUUCAGCCUUCCAAUCAGCGUUCUAAAUGGAUGAAGAAACUUAGAAAAAGAUUCAUCUGUGAUAAUAGAAAAAAGAGCAAAUACUUCAUCUUAUUUCAACUGACCAAUUUAGCUUCUACUUCUUUCAAUUCUUCAGCCUCCCUAAAGGAAAACAGCAAUGGUUUUCGUACUAUUCAGAAACCUGAUAUGAAUUAUAAAGCAAGAAAGAUAACCAUUUGAGGAUAAGGUAGAAAGAUAACCAUACCCUUCUUCUGUAAAUCCUUCCCACAAUGACCAAAGCCCAAAUCCAAAGAAUAACACAGUUGUUAAAUGGUGCGACCAUCUACGAGAAAUCUGUUCAAGUGCAACCCCAUUCUUAGCAUGUAUGAGAAAAAGAUAAGAGAUAGCAGCAUGAUCUGGUGACUUUCUAUUAUAAAAUAAUGAACAACUCUGCAAAUAUGAAAAUAUGGAAAAUAUUUAAUAAAAUUGACAAAAGCAGAACUUCCUAAUUCCUAUUCAGCAAGUCUUGAAAACCAGCACAGAUGGCCUAAUUGAUCCUUGAGGUAAUGCAUACAAUGACACAAAAUAUGAAGCAACAUAUGUUACAAUUUCAUUUUAUCAUUCAUUUCUGAGAAAACCAGAUUAUUGCUACCAAAAAUGUAUCAACUUGGACAGAGUCAAAGACUAUGUUAAGAAUGAGCUUCUUCUAGUUAUUUCAGGAAUAUCAAGUUCUAUAAUUACUUUAAUAUAUGGCAAGCACCUUAGUCAAAUAUAUGAAUCUCUACAGAAGAUAAAAACUGAUAAUUAUCUGUCAUGAAUUUUAUGACAGCAGUUACCCACACAAAACCAGAGUGCACUAUGAUUCAAACCAAGCUUCAGCAUUAACUCUUUAGAAUUAUUACAUAGCACCUAGUAUUACCAAAAAAAAUUGAUUUUCAGAAAACCAAUAGAUCAUGCUAAAAUCCCUGUUCCCCUCAGAAGUCUCAAUUUCUUGUAACUUAGGUACUACUGUCAAACAUCAACAGCUAGAAUUGAAUGAUUGGCUACAAUGCAGUAGUCAGUAGCAAAUCAUCUUCAUGGUUUUUAUAUAAUAAUUAAUCAUUAGAUGCAUGGCAUUGAAUGUUAUUUUGGCACUAUGUACAUCUAUGAAAUAAUAAAUCACUGUGAGUACUCAUUGAUUCAAAGGAGCAGUAUAGUGAUUUAACUAAAAUUGAGAAAAGGAGAUCGAAAUGAACUCAGAUUCAUCAGACAGUAGUAUCUGUUAAACAUGAAAUGUAACAAUAUAGAAAUGUUGAUUCCUCUCAAGGAAGUUAUUUUUAUCAAAUCCAAGAUAAAUCUGAACCUUGCCAUCUUUUUCUUGUGUCUAUUUUUCUUGCUUGGAGCUUGUUUAAGACUUAUUUCAUGCUUAGAUUACACCCUACUCCAUAUCAUUGUAGUUAAAGUUUCUAAACUGAAAAAUGCUAUAGAUUGGCUACUCUGUAUCAUUGUAGUCCAACAAAGUAGCAUGCUCAUCACUUGAAACACCAUUAUUAUAAGCAAUACAUCUACUAUGACUGCAUCAAUCACGAUGGAAGAAUAACAAGGAAAAAGUAGUAGAUGACCUAUGGAUCUCAUGAUGUGACCAGAUGCACUAAGGUCUCUUGAGCAAACAGAUAAAUGAACUUGAUAGGCAGGCAUUUAAGCAACCAUUUUAUGGAUUCCUUGAACCCAUCAUGUUAGUCAGGACUUCCAAUAUGAGGAUAAUAAGUGAUAAUUAAGUUGGUGGUACUUUUGAGAUAAUUAAGAGUGCCAAUAUGAGGUGAUCAGCACCAUGUUAGCCCUUAAUAGAGUGCAUUAGGGGCUUUUCUAGAUUAUUUGGCUGGAGAUCAACAUCAGAUAUCAAUGAUAUAACAUUUGACCUCAUGACAUCCCCCAUUAGAAUGUCAAAUAGACCAUGACAAAUGAUUUCUAUAAACAAAAGAAGAAAAGGGAUUUUGGUAAGACAAGUGCGACGUGGUUAAAUUUUGACCGCAUCACUCCCAAUAUGGCUUGGGACAGUUCAUGGUUUCCACUCAAAAGUGUGGUUUUAGAUUGUAAUUUUCUAUUUAAUAUGAGAAUACAUGAAGGUAUCCUGAUGAGGAGAUCGAAAAAAUCUUCACAUGGAUAAAGUCCUUUAAGGAAUGGGACCUUUAUAUUGUGAUCCUUGUAUGUGAUAACUGAUUAGUACCCAUCAGGAUGAGCAUUAUCAAUUUCUUGGUACAUUGCAACAUGAGAUUCAUCAAAAUAUAUAAGGUUUUAGGAUGGUUAAAACUGAAUAAGAAAGAAUUUCAGACUAUUGUGAGAUUUUCAAUAUUUUUAGGGUCAAUGGUUUACGGUUAUGACAUACAAGGGAUUUGGACUGCAUUUCUGGGCUUGUAAACCUGAAAAAAAAAUAAAACAGAAAAAUAAAGAUUACUUGGAAUCAUACUGAUGCAUCAGAGUCACACCUAUGAUUAGAAGGAUCACAACAGUGUCUCGUGCAUAACAAACACAUCACACACAAAAAAAAAAGAGAUGAGAAAUAUCUUACAUUAAAUUGCCGUAAAAUCAAAUACAUCCAAUUGCUGUAAAAUCAAAUACAUCCAACUCACUAGAGAACUAGUAGCAAUUUCCACAAAACUAGCAAAACCCAAGGAUCUAUCUCACUGGUGAGUUGCUACAGUACAUGUAAUGAAUGUCUCAACAUAACUAUCACACAAUGAAUGGAAUACAAAUAAAAAAGCAGAAGUUUAAAAUUGCAGAAGUAACGAUUCUUAUAUCUUGAACAGCUUACCAGAUUUGGGGCAGCCCAACCAAGAGAUGCAGAGAGAAUAGUCAUGACCUAUAGUGUCGCCCAGAAUGUAUGUAAAGGCAUACAUAGUUACAGCUUGAUAAAGGUAAAGAUUAAGGCAAGGAACUCACAAUUAAGGCUGUUAAACAACCUGAUAAAACAAGCUUCCGAGGAUGACGCAUUGCCAAGAUCUUAAAUAGAAAAUAUACAGUGUUAAUUAAAUCAUUGUUCAGCCUUCAGACUGUUACAGAAUAACAGAAUCCAUCUUCCCGAACUUAAGAAUAUAAGCAUCAUAUAAGUCUCAGGUGAUAAUGAUUGAAACAAGGCAAAACAUACAAGAGUUGCACUAUAAACAGGCAGUUCAGCCAUCCGGUAAAAGACGAAAAAAUAUCAGAAAAUUUUAAAAUAGAUAAAAAUAAUGCCCCCGGGUAUUGAGAAGAGAUUCUUAUGUCAAACUGUGCUCUAUGGACUUAUUAUUGGUCAGACUCUAUGGACUUUGAUAAAUGUGAUUCAGUAGAUGAAAUAUAAAGCAACUCCACGAUCUUGCUUAAAGUAUAUCCAAUCAAAGAAUUACAAUGACAGAAACAGCAAGGUAGCAGAGUGUGUGCAACCAAUGGAUUGGACAGGGGCUUCGGCCAAGGCAGAUCUUUAGUUAAAUUCCUAAAGAUGUUGUAGGAUAGAGAAAGAGAAUAGAAACAAGAACUAUUGUCCUAUCUUGGAUAAUAUUAAUAUAGUCCCACACCAUAUCAAUCAACACCUGAUCGGAGCAAAAGAUCUUUACUAAUAUCUGAGCACCUGACUUCAACUUCUUACUAAAGCCAGGAGUUGACUUUCCCGUAUGAGCAUUUGGUAGAUGUGUCAGCCCGUGAAAUAGUCAAAGAAUCCCAGACCAAAUUGGUCAACAAAAAACCAGGAGAACUUAGGGUGAUUUUAGACUUAACGCAUGCAUUUAAAGCCCAAGACUCCAAGAACAAUAGCUCGAACAAUGAUAUCGAGUUCCAACUUCGAUUCAAUCAUAUCGCAUUCAAGUUGCAGUACCAAAUCAGAAAUUGCAGUCUAAGAAUCAAAGAGGCACUAAUCCCAGAUCUAAGACCAACAUAAAAGGAACUCAAGGAAUAAAGAUUCACCGCGGCUGCGAAGAAGGUCUUGUCCCCGAUCUCGGAGAGCACUGUCAUGGCCAGCGACUUAGUGAACCCCUGAUCGGUCGCACAAGAAAAGGUUAAGCAAUCAUCAUCAACUCUCAUCUUCAUACAUAUCAGGAAGCGCGUACCUCGAUGAGAGACAACCCCAUUUCCUUCGCCAGUGUCUUCGGAGCGGAGCUCGAUUCGAUUGGAAGACGAGAAUUGAUAAUAUACAUAUAUAUAGGAAGGGCGAAUCGCGGCCAACGCAGCCGAAACUUGCCGAGCGGAUGGUGUUCACGAAUCGGCUCGGUGGUUGGGUCGUUUUUGCUGGCCCUUAAAAAAUGAAAAAAGUAACAAAGUCCUUUUUUUAACUACGCCUCGACGCCUACACCAUGGGAUCCACGUGGGCAGUGUUGACUCAUAGAUCGCCACGCAGGGGUGUAAGCAACCUGCGGGUAGAACUAAAAGGUGCAGCUAAAAUUAGCGAAGAAGUGGGAAAUGAUUUGUCGUAUCAACAUGAUGUUAUAUUCCUCGAGUGUUGUCUCGGCUGUUUUGUCCUCCAAUCGGUAUAGACCACGUUGCACCUCAUUCAAAAUACUCCUUUACCCAUUCAUCGUCUACUCUAUGACUACCUGCGAUUUUAUUGGUCUCCGAGUGGUCCCACAAGUGGUUCACCGAUGAGCCUCACUCAUGCCUCCGAUCACGCCUUUACCUGCGACUUUUUGCACGCACCAACGUCGAGCAAUUUUAAUUUUUGAGAGUUGUUUCCAAUUCAAGAGUUCUUUUCCAAGUAUUUACCUCGCACGAAAAAGUUACAAUAGGAGUUUUGAAGAAAAUGUUCCACGUAAAUGGUUAAUUACGUACUUAUUCAUUAGCCGAAUUUAUUUGCAAUAGUUUCCUAAAAAAUAUAUAUAAUAUGUAUAUAUAUAAAUAUGAUAAUUUUUUAAGACAUGUGAUGGAAGCUAAACAGUAAAGUGAUCGAGGAUUCCAAUUCUAUUAUAAAUAUUUACUAUGCAUAGUUAUAAUAUUUACAUGUGCAAGGAGUAUUAGUAGAAAGAGUGAUUUGCUAGGAAAUAUUCACAUUUUAGGCAAUUUUCAAUCGAGACAUAUAUUUUCUUUUUUUUCUCAAAUAGUUUUCCUAAUUUAAAAAUAUAUAUAUUAUUUCUUUAAAAAAAAUUCAUCUAUUAUAAUGUUUUGGCUUGUUACCAUGUUUUUUAUAUGUCAUAGUAUUUUGGACACCACAACAAAAAAAUACUAUAAAACUUACUUAAAAACAUUAUAAAUAAGUCAGAUAGAAUCAAAAGAUAUAAAAAAUUACUUCAUAUAUUAUACUAUAAUUUAAAUAUAUAUUUAUAAUAAUUUAUGAAUAAUAUCACUCAAAUAAAAAAAUAUCUUAUUAUAGUAUUUUGGCUAUCAUGAUAAAAACAUGUAAAAUUAACUUCAAAAUGGCGUAAAUGAUUCAAAUGAAAUCCUAAUCUCAUCCUAACUUAUUAUAAAUUUAAAAAGUAUAAAAUCAUAAUGAUCUACGAGCAAUAACAACCAAAAAGACUUGAUAUAAAAUUACUUAUAGUGUUUUUUAAUAGAUAUUUUUAGCACAUCGAUAAAAAUACUAUAAAUUAAAAAAAUAAUAUAAAUAAGUCAAAUGAAAAUAUAGUUUAAAACUGAUUAAAAAAGGAUAAAAUUUUGACAGAAUAAUUUUUUGGGAGAUAUUUCAUAUUUUUUAAUUAAGAAUACUAUUUAAAAAAUAAAAGGAUAUGAAUUGAAAUGUAUAAAAAUAUAUUAGUAUUUACUUUAAAAAUCAUCCAAUUAAAAAGAAAAGUGGAGUCUCAUGUGGGAAAAAUCAAAUCAAAAAUCAAUAUUCAAAGGAAAGGGCAACUUUGGAAGCGGUGACCAUGGAUUUUUAGAUGAAUGGAUGUGCUCCCCUCGAGCUUGAACGGCAAGGUCCAUUUGCAUUUUAUCGUGUUAUAUUACAGUCAUGCUACAUGCCACGUGUCCUAUGAGGAGAGACGAGUCACGUGUCGCUGAGUCCACUCGCUUGCGACGAGUGGAAGGGACAAGUCCACGCUUUCGCCGGUGAUCUCACUAGAAAAAAUACGUCUUUUUCUUAUAUUUUUAAAUGUUUUAUUACUUAUAUGACUUCAAGUAGAAUAAUGGCGAGCGUUGAGCUUUCUCUAUCUAAUAUCUCGUGCGCGACAAAAUGUUACGUAUCGCACAAAAUUCUCGAGUGCAGUACAUAUAAUUGUAAUAUAUAUUUAUCUUCUUUCACCAAAUAUGUAAUGAAAAUAACCUUAAUUGCUGGAAAAAAUUUAUAUGUAUAUAUAUUCGAUUUCCUUGCCUAUAUAUACAUAUAACUUUUAUAUUUUUAAAAUAUUAGUUAAUUGUUUGGAGUGAUAAUAAGUAUUAUGGAUGAAAUUUUGAAAGAAGUAUCGAAGUUUGAAAAUUUUCUAGAUAGUGUCUCGUCUUUAAAAAAUUUUCGCAGAGUAUUUUUUUAAAUAACUAUUUAGUUUUCAAUGCUAUUGCCUUUCACCUCCCUAUGUUUGAUCCAUCUAAUGAUAAAGGCGUAAUGACCCAUGAUGGAUUAAUAAUAGAGGUGUGGCCUCCUUAACCAAUGAUAAAGAUUGAUAGCUCGCCUUCCUCUUUUCCUUGCUAGUGAUAAACAAUAAGGGCAUGCUCCUUUUCUCACAAAUAAUCGACGGUGAGAAGAGGGUGCAAGGAGACUACAUGAUCAUUCUACAAUUAGCGAUAUAUGGCCAACAAUGAGGGGUAUUGUAGGUGAUGAUGAUGAUUGUAAAGGCUGCACCUCUACCGUUCAAUGAAGAGAUCCACUCGAAGUAGGGGUGGUUGUGGAUUAGAUGAAGCAAGAUUAAAAUAAUAUUUUCACAUUAAUUAGAGUGUUGUGUGAGGAUUUUUUUAAAGGUGAGAUAUUCUAAAAAAAAUUCUCAACGACAGAGCUUUUUUUAAAAUAUAAAUUCACCCUAUUAUUUAAGAUUAUUUAGCUGUAAUAUGUGUACUAAAAAGGCUUAUUCUUGUUCCAAAAAUGACAAUGUGAUGCACGUGAUAACGAAUCAUCAAAUUCGUUAUGAUUUGUUAGUGGAAUCGGAUUCAGCAGUAUUUUCUCUUAAUUAAAUUCACAUAAUAAUUAGCCUUGACAUAUUUGACUGAAAAAAAUUCUAUAAGUGCUUCUUGAUCAUUUUUAUUAUAUAGAUAAUCAAUUGAAUUGCUUCUUUCGCUUGAUAGAAUGACUAUUUUUAGCGAAUACUGCAUUAUCUGGGUUAAGUCAUGUCCAACUCAUUUUCAUGUUGUAAUCAAUCAAGCUGUCAAACAAAAUAAAAUAUUCUAAUCGAAAACUCAUAUACGUGUAAUAUAUUGUUCAUGGUUAGACUUGACGAAAUAAUAAUAUGUUGGAAUCGAUCUUGGUUUGAGUUUAAUUUCAAUGCAAGCUUGAUGUUCGAAAAUCUAAGCGGACAGUGUACUCAAUAAAAUCCAUUUAAUCCAAGCUAAACACCGAGUGCAAGUAAGUCCGACGGGUACAGGUCACGAUAUUAUCACAGGUCCACUUCCUGUCCACGUUUCGGUGGAGAAGAAAGUUUGAAGUCAGUGGUGGAAAAAGGUCCAGUUGUGUUGAGGUGCUUCAGCCAAAAGAGCAACAUUUUCCGCAUACUCACAGGGCGAUACCAACUACCAACUCGCCUUAUGAUUGGAUAAAUGGGGCCCACGAGCAAUAGACAUACGACGAAAGCGCCACCCGGUUCAGGUUUCGAUGCAUUUCGUCACCCGAGCGGGGUGAACGGUGGGUUAAUCAUUUUCCGGUGCCCAAAGCGAGACUCUCUAGAAUUCAAUGCAAAUUCCACUGCUCCUGCGGAAUAUGCCGAAAGCUUAACACCAAAAGAUUCCUUUUUCUGAAUGCACUCUUGGUGUCAUGUGCCCCCCAAAUUCCCGUUCGGAUGGGGAGCUCCAAACUGGCAGAGGAACGGCCCCUUCCCCAUCUCUCCCCAGCCAAAUCUCGUCUCUGCCUCAGACCGUGCCGAUACUUGUUUGCAUUGGUGGAUCACGGCCGGUUUCAGUCAAGGUGAUCAUCGAUCAUUGUUUUCUCAUCUCAGGAUCCUGAGACCUUACUUUGAGCACAACUUGUUGCAGGACUCGGAGGAGGAAUCAGGGUUUUCAUCCUUGAAGAGCUCAAAGCCUGCUUAUCGAGAUCAUCCUCUGGCCGGGUGCUUCUCUCAUCUAAAGGUUCUCGCGUUCUAUGUUCACUGUGGGUUGCAUGCUCUCUUGCUUCUUUGUCUUCUAAUUCUUGGCAUUGGCACUGUUUGAUUGCAGUCCGCACAAGACAGGCUGCCCUCAUGGGUGUCAAUGGACCUUCAAAUACUUCUGGAAUACUAGACGGGAUUCAUGGGGUGCGGCUGGUAGGAAGGUCAGCAUUCGAAGUUGAAAAAGCACUUCACUGUGAGGGCGUCGAUCGUUCAACUUGCAGAGGUGUGGAUAUUGCUGAGACGAGCCAAAUAUUGUUAAUCCGGUGAGUUAUAUAACAAAUACAUCGAUUAAAUCCAUAUCCAGGUUAUCUUGUCCGUAUCAUUCACCUAGCGAAAACCCUAACUAUCGUGUAUCGAAGAACAAAAAAGCAACUGACCGAUUUAUGUGUUGCCAGAAGGAUAUGGCAGCAGAGGCCUUCGUGCUUGAGGCCAAUUCGUUGUACGCUUCACGGUAUGUGUAGGAUAGAGAGUUUCCCUGAUAAACUCAUAUGUAUGACUUAUAACUUAAACUCAAUGUUUCUCAUUUAAUUAGGUGAUCGGAACAUUACAGAAUCUGUUGCCAAUGUUUUAACUUCGUUGCCUUUUGUUGUUCUUGGAUUGCAGGUGCCUAGGUAAGUUUAUAAGAGAAUAGCUCAACAAAAAUAUUUGCCGACCUACUUUUUCCUUCUUUCCUACAAUAUCUGAAAACUUGUAAAUUAACUCUCCAGGAAGAACAUAAACACUGCACUCUAUGCUAAUUCAUUAAUUGGAGUAGGGAUUGCUUCAAGUCUAUAUCAUUCCUCGAGAGGAGUACUCCGAAAGUAUCUAAGAUGGGCUGACUAUACAAUGAUAGCUGCAACUACUCUUGUAAGUAAUAGAUACUUAACAUCAUGGUUGAAAAUUAAUGACUGACUUGUUUCUUUCUAUAUUGAACCUAUUUAUAAGGAUCUAAAUUAAUGUGUAUGUUCAAUAACAUGCUUAUUGAAGUUAAAUAACAUGCCACUCAGGAGUUCGAUGCUAUUUUACAAAAAAUUGAGUGGUCAACCCCAUGUAGUACCUCAAGAGAUGAUGUGUUGCCUGCGCUCAUAAUUAGACAUGUCAAGUAUAUCCCAAUAUACUUAAAUAUCUGCUUUCUUCUCCUUCCUUCCCUAUUUCUUGCCCCUUGGUUCCUCCUUGUGCCUUCUUAUUAAUCCAACCAUGCUCUGACACAAAGCCAUUAUUCUACUGUAGAACUAUACUUUGUCUUCACAAAAUGAUGAGUAAUCUGUGCUGAAAAUGUUGUUAAUGCUAACCCAUCAUUCAUGUUGUAAUGUGGCUUGAAUUUUACAGUACCUGAUGAAUUAUUUUCAUAUUUUCUUGUGAUAUGUAUUAUGUAGAAUAUCUCAACUACUUGUGAUUGGGUUGAGUUCUUGAGGGGUUAAACUGAUGUUGUAAGAAUUUUAUUGUACUUGCUCCAUUGAUAGGGAAGUUUCUUCUCUGGUCUCUCCCAUGGCUGUGGGUCAGAAAGACAUUUACCUAUUACAGAGAUGGUGCGACCAUAUGAUUUGAUUCAUUUCAUUUUUUUCUUUUAGUCUAGUCGUCCUCAGUAUUACGAGAAAGAAAAGGGAUGUGGUUCGGGAUAAAAAGAACCAAAAUUUUGAAAUAAGGACAUGCUUGGUGCAGGUGAAGUUUGGAGAUAGAACAAUUCCUUCUGUCUUUGUUAAUUCACUUGUUCUUUGGUGUGGCUUUAUAUCUUUUAUAAUCUACUUGUUAUAACAAUUCAUAUUAAGACAAGAUCAUGCACUUGUUUUUUUGUUUUAAACUGAAGCAGAUGUGAAACACCUGCUGGUUAAGAUUUAGAAAUGCUUCUGUAAGCAUAAUCCUGAUAUACUAGUAAAUCCAUGGUAGUGCAUGCCAAAGCUCCAGUUAUAUUUACAAGUGGCUUUGUGAACAUAUCACAUCUUGGAUACAAAGAUGUCCACUAGGUGUCUACUGAUAUGGUACUCCUAUCUCUUUUGAUGUGAGGAAAACAUGUGAAUUGGCAAAACUAAAGGAAAGCAUGUGAAUUGACAAAACUAAAUUUUAUGUCAAUUUCUGAGAUAUUCUUUGGUUUAUUAGUUUCUGGAUUGUGUAUGUGCUGUGUUACAGAGACAAUUGGACCUAAUCCAUAACCUGCUUAAGUCAUUCAAAGCCAUUAUCCAGUAAGCUUCAAAAGUUUGGACGUAGGAGCAUUUCUAGAGCCUCAAGAUAAAUGUUCACAACUAUUAGAUUAUUGGGACAGCAGAUAUCUUGUUUUAUAAAAGGACUAGAGACGGAAACUAGCUUCGACGAGUCAUAGUCACCAAAAGAAUAGGGACCAGUAAUCCUAUUUUCAGAAAAAAAAGGCCCAUAUGAGAGAGAGAACCCAACAGUCCUACUUUUAGGCGUUGAGCACAAACCAGCCAUCUGUACAGAUGACUUUGAGGCUCCUUUUGGGCCAAGGUUUUGACCCUUAGAAAACUUGUUGUACCAGGAAAUCUUAGGAGUCCUCUUUGGUUAUUAUUUUCAGCGACAUUGUGUGAUUUGAUGGACUACCGUACAAUUGUUUAGAUUUCUAAUUAAAAUUGGAGAUUUGGGCAUAUGUAGCCCCUACAAAUCAAAACUCUUGAAGGCAUGAAGACUCGUUGCAUGGAUUUUUGUGUUCUUUGUUGCACUGGAUUUAUUAUUAGUUGAUAAUUACUUCUUUUUGUUUUUUUAUCUUUAAAGGGAUUUCUACUCAAACUGAUUUAAUCUGAUAGAAGGUAAAAUCUUUUUUGUUUGGUAUCAGAGUAAAAUUAACCUACAUUGAAAAUCACCAUAACUUAUCUUUUUUGGAAGAUGCCUGCACCAAGGGCGCAAAGAUUGAGCUCAGAGAUCUCUUUAAUUUGAUUAUGAUUAUUGUAUUAUGUUAUAUAAGUUAUCUAGUGAUUAGUAGUCGUAUUGGCAGAACAUUCUGGUGGGUUUUGAGGAGUAAUGAGAUUGCCAAUAGGGAAAGCUUUUGCCCACAUCUUUAUUAUGAUUGUGCUAUAAUAAGGAAUGGCAUUUCAGAUAUCACAUUGUAUUCAUGAUAUGUGCAUGUGCAUCAGGUGUGAAAUCUACUAGUGAAUAUACAGUGGUUUUCAUAUGUGGUAACUGCUAUUACUUCAACAUGUAUGUUUCAUUACCUAAUUCAUUUAUCUGUAUAUACACAUAUAUAUCCUUUUUAGCUUGAGAGUUUUUGCAUGUAAAUUAAAGAGAGUUUUACCUCAUGGUUAGCCUACCUAUUUCUUCUUAACUAAUGCAUGCUCAUACAUUAUACUCAAGAUUGCUUAUUUUGUGAUUUCAUAUGCUUUUUAGUCUAUAUACGUAAACAGCUUUUGGUCACUCUAGUGCUUGAUUGUUUGUACUUUUUGAUACUCUUUUAUGCACUUUUCUUCUCUGUCUUGGUGACUUCUGAAUUAUUUAAUUUUGGUAGUGUCUAUCACGGUCACUCAGAAAUGAGAACCCAAAACUUUUAAUGGCGGCAUCCACAUUGCUUUUGCCAAUUCAGCCAUUGAUGGUUUCAGCUGUUCACACUGGACUAAUGGAGGCAAGUAACUAAAAGCUACUGUGAUUAGCAACUUUGCAUGGCAACUCAAAUCUUUGUGUACAUGUAAACCAUAUAUUUGCUUUGUGUUGCCAAUCUAAUUACACAUAAUGAAGGUUUAAAUAUCUUUUGCUUGUAUUCUUUUAUCUUAACAUUUCAUUAUUUGGAUUAGAUAAGCUCAGUUAUAGGUGAUGGACCCCCCUUGGAAAUCAGCAUUUAAUUUAGCUAUUAGACUAGGAAGUGUUGCUCCAUCACAUUUUGCAUUUUAGAUUAGGAAGUCUUGUAUACUUUCCUUCAUGGUUUAAGAUUGUGUUUGCUGCUUGAUUUCACCAGCUUGAAGUACAACCACAAAGUACAUCUUUCUAAUCGCUAAUCUUUUAAGGUUUCUGCUUGUCACUUUAUAAGUUAUCUUGGUCAAUUAAUUGAUACCAUUUUGACAUGUUUGAUCUUGGAAUGAGCGGUGGUCAUAGGAUUCUGCUGAAAUUUCAUGGACUCUUGUUAACUUUAUAUUGUGCAGCCAACUAUUAUACUGGAAAAUUUUUGGAUGAUAAUUAUGAUUAACCGUUAAAAAUCUGCACCAUUGGCUUGUAUCUUUCUAAAAUAUGACUAGCCUUCUAGCUUAGUGGUUGCUGAUAUUCACAUAGUGGAUCCAAAUUAUGGUAAUUUUUUACAUAUAGAGACCGAAUGCUACAGGCUAUUUUACAAAGUUGACUAAAAUUCUUGUGGUACACAGUUUAAAUAGUUGACCCAUGUUAGCUUGAUAUAUUGAUUGUCUUGUUGCUUACUCUCAGGUAGCAUUUGCCAAACAAGCAUUGACAAGACCAAAUCUGAGGAUGGCACACAACCUACACAAAAUGUCUUCCCUACUGGGAGCGGCACUUUUCAUUGCUGAUGAUUGCUUUCCUCAAACGCCCUAUCUUCAUGCAGCUUGGCACCUUGCUGCAGCAGUUGGGGUUGGGACAUGUAACAAGCUUCUUGAAUGACUUACCUGCAUCCUAGCAGCUGUUCUUCUCAUUUAUUUGAUAAUCAAGACAAUCAUGCAAGAGCCAAUGACUUUUAAUUCGUCGAUAUGAAUUUAUGUGACAAUGUAUCCAAAGUUUCUUUCAAAAGUGGAAAAGAAACUAGUUCGCUGCCUCAAUCAUCUGUCAAUUGAGUUGGUCUCAGGAACAAUUCUUAUUUGUUUGAUCUUCUCUUGAGAAUUCCUCUUGGAAUACUACAAAACAAUCCUAUUAUUGGAAACGAAAGCUAUAUACAUUUUUUCUCUUGCUUUUGUUCCAGACUGAUUGCAUGUGCCGUUGUGGUAAAUUCUGUUGAUAGAAGAGAGACAAUUCUGGAGACCAAUUAAAUAAAAGGGGUUUGCGGCCAUCUUGCAUAUAUCAUUAUUGCAUAACGUGAUAGGCUUGGUGAACUCAUAAAUUUGGAUCAUGUAUUGUCAAAGUUUCAUCAGUUAAAUUAGCUGACACUUUCAAGAUAUUAUAAUAUUAUAUUAUUACGAAAAAUAUCUUUUACUAAUAAUAAUCAAUAAGGUUCCCACAUUAUUUUAUUUAUAGCAUAAUUGGGAGGCCCUUCAUUUAAAGGAUCUCAUAAAAUUGAUGUAUGAUAAAAACAGUGUUGUUGAUUCGUUUAAUUUCUUCAUUAACUUUAUUAGAUUUCAUGUUAUUAAGUAAUUUAUUCGGCUAAUUGUUUAAUAUUUUUAUCGUCCGAACCUGACACCACGAGUGUGCUUACAAGACGGACCGGUCCGGUGCGGUCCGAGCCGAGCCGGGCCGGCUUAAAAGUCUACAGCCUCUAGUUUCCCAUGUUGGGCUCAGCCUUAGGGUUGUGGCUUUGGCGGCUUUUAGAGGGGGAAGCCUCCGCCGAUCGUUCAGCAGCUUUCUUCCAUCCCGGCGAAGAUCCCUGUGGAAUUCCUCGAUCCGCUGCGAAUGGCGACGCUGAAGGACGUGGUAGCCCGGCGGCCCAUUGCCGCCACCAUCCGCCUCACGGUGCCAGCGGGCGGCGCCCGCCCCGCCCCGCCCGUCGGCCCCGCCCUCGGGCAGUACCGGCUCAACCUGAUGGCCUUCUGCAAGGACUUUAAUGCGCGCACCCAGAAGUACAAGCCCGACACCCCCAUCGCCGUUACCAUCACCGCCUACAAGGACAAUACCUUCGAGUUCAUUGUCAAGUCUCCCACCGUCGCCUGGUUCCUCAAGAAGGCCGCCGGCGUCGAAUCCGGCAGCGGCCGCCCCGGUCACGUAGUCGCCUCUUCCAUCACCGUCCGACAUGUCUACGAGAUCGCCAAGAUCAAGCAGGCCGACCCCUCUUGCAAGCACCUUUCUGUCGAGGCCAUCUGCAAGUCUAUCAUGGGCACUGCGCGUUCCAUGGGCAUACAGAUCGUCAAAGAUCUCUGAUCAAUACCGCCGCCCUCGUCCGCUGCCAUGGUUAGCUUCUCCAAGGUUAUUAUGCGUUUUCUAUUAGGUUUUUGGUUUGCCUAAAGAAGAAGUGACUGUAUGUGCGUUGCCAAAUUCGUCCAAUCUUCUUGAUGAUAAAUUAAUGCUUCUUUCUCGAUUGGCAGUCUCGUGUUUCCAAGUAUCAGCCCUAAUGAAUUAAGUUUUAAUUUCCAUAAUUCACACACUGUUUUUACUACCACGAAAGUUUUUGUUUGAAUUCAGAUGCAUUUUUAUCGUAGAGAUGUGAAUAGUAAAACAAGUUAAAUUCUUCUGCCAGUAAAAGAAUUGGUCGAAGAAAAACUGAAUUAGACUUAAUGAUGAACCAGUGCAAACAACAAGACACAGUCUUAAUGAUGAACCAGAUUGAACUUGGUCUUGGGAAUUUGCAGGUUUAGACGCAAACUAAUGAGCAUCACAUGAUUUUUCCUGGUAUAGUUUGCCUCAAGAAAUCAAAUUGUGAAAUAUUGAAAUCUCUUACAAUGUUUCUCAACUCAGACCUUAACUCAGUAUUAAUCUUAUCAAGUAUCUGAACUAAGAUCAAUCUUCAGCAAUUUAUCAACUAAUUUGAAGAAUGGCAUCCACGAAGUGGUAGCCACUAAUUUCUCUGUGAUACAAUGCAAAACUUUGAUAUAACUAAAGUUAUUGUUUUGGCUGUAUAUUCUUCUUUGUGGUAGUAUCUUUGAAGACUUGCUACGUCGAACUGUCCAUAAUAAUUAGGUUUUCUAAUCAGCAAGGAAAAUAGGUCGUGGCAAAUCAUGUCAAACUUGGAUUAGGAGCAACAUCUUUACAUUUUGAGUAUUGUCACACUGUGAGCUUUUCCUAUCUUUUUGUAUUUAUUAUGCCGUCUAUUAACCCUUCAUGAGAUGAUGUAUAUGAGUUAGCUAACUGAAUUGGGAAAAAGAAGAUUAUUGUCGGCCAUCAUGUGCUCCUUAUGGAAUUCUAUGAUAUUGUCGCUAGUUUUUUUCUUUUUGUGUCAGUAGGCACAACAAUUGAUUGGCAACCUUGGCUAGAGAGGGCAGGUUCCUCGUAGAUCAUCAGAAUGUUGUCAGAUAAUACUCAGCUCAUGGCAGAGAUGGUUGGCCAGCUUCAGUUUGAAAGUACACUUCCAGAGAGGUUCCUCACACCCUCUUCCUAUUGCCAUUUAUGAAGUCCAAUAAUUUGUGCAACGGAGAAGAUAACAGGCUAUGAUAUACUUCAUUAGGAGAGAAGUAGAUUUCUUGCUAUUCCAAGAGAGAGCAACUCCAUUACACAUUGUAUUGUCAACCACAAAGCUGGAAUGAAGGUGGGGAUGGUGGUGAGGAACAAGUCUGUUCCAAGUUCUAGCUAAAAUUUGUGUUAGGACAAGGGAAAUUUAAGAGCAUGGUGCUUCCAUAAAACAAAAAGACAUUGUAGAUAACAUUGGUGUGAACAUCAUGUUAGAUGCUAACAUGUACCGUUGAUUACUUUCGCUUUUGAUAAGUCUAUUAUCAUUAACUUGGACUUAGCAUUUUGAAUUAGUGAUCCGGAUUCGAUGAGUCAAUGAGUGAAACUCUGUGUAUACGCAAAUUGCUCGAUCUAUCGCAGGUACACAUAUAUUCUUUUCACUUUUUCAAUCUUUCUUCCAUCUUCAUUGCAAUUUUCAUGGUUCUGACUUGAACGACACGCUGUGUAAGGAAGAUUUGGCCACUUGUUUUGAGAUUCAAAAGGUCAGCUGCCUCAUGGGACUAGAUUGAGGAGGAUUGCUUGGACACUUGUUUUGAGAUUCAAAAAGUCAGCCACCUCAUGGGACAAGAAGAGUUUGAGGAGAAUUGCUACUUGGACACUUGUUUUGAGAUUCAAAAAGUCAGCCACCUCAUGGGACAAGAAGAGUUUGAGGAGAAUUGCUAACCAUGUCGUGAAGCAAUUUGACCUUAUAGAACAAAACAUAAUAUUUCGAAGGUGUUGACCAUAUAUGAUCGUACUAGAUUUACAUGUGAUUCCCGCUUGGCAGGCUUCCUCCAAUAUCCAAAUAUCAUUUUGACUAUUGGAAUCAUCAACAGGUGUUAUAUGCAUAUGAACAUAAAUUUAGUGAUGACAAAACAUAUUCGACUUCUGAUAGUUACAAUUAUUAAAUGUGAUGUAACAUGUUGGACAACAAUAUUCUAUUUGAAUUAUAUAUGAUUCAUAUGAAGAACCUUUUGGUCCUUUUAGAUCUUUUCCAAGGGGUCAUCAAUUUUGUGAAAGGAACAUCCACAAGUUUCUUGGUUGUUUCUAUCUACCAUCACAGGCAUCAAAUUUAAUGCCCACUGAAGUAAUUGAUAGUUCUCAAACACAUACGUAGGGAGUUCAAUUUCAUGGCUCAUAGUUUAGCUUCCUCCUCUUUUGCUCCAUGUGUAGCAGAGUCUUUUGUAUCUGACGUUUAAUUAUAUAGAUAUUUCUUUUUAUUUCAAGAAAAAAAAACCCAUAAUAAUGAAUAUAUUUCUCUGAUCAGGUUCACAUUACAUAAGGACUCACUCUUUUAUGGUACAUGAACUUAAACUUUUACAAAGUUAAUUAGAGCCAUUAAAUUUUUUCCCCUGCUCUGAAAAAACUCAGAAUCUACAGAUAUCAGUGAUCUAUAUCUGAUUACCGGGGACAGAAUUAUACAAAAAAGAUUCUCAUUAAGACUUGUACAUCAACAAUAAUUUAGCAUGUCAUACCAUCUUAAUGAGAUAUUAGAUUGCUAUACUCUAUUGCUCAAAUAUUAUAUCCCUCAUCAAGGAAUAUUAGCUAUUAUCAUGUCAAUGUGACGAAGUUUUGCAAAAGAAUUAUUUUGUACUAGUAAUAAGGGCUAUUAUAUCAAAAAAAGAAAAAAAAGAACUAGGUGAGUGAAACUAGCUAUAUAUAUGCCUUCAAGCUUGGUAUCCCCAACCAUGAAUCCAUGCAAAACAUUGGUCUUGAGGCCAGUUGAGUGUGUGGGAUAUGGGUACUAGUUCAUCAUUAUGAUUUAGCAAUGAGAUAUGGGCAAAUUUGGUUUGUUCAUGAUAUAAUCGUGAGGUUUUAAUAAGUAAAAUUCAGAAAGAUAAAAUAUAAUGAUAUCAUUAGGAAAAAGAAAGUGUAACUGGCAUUUGGUGCCAUUUCAACCAGCUUUAGAGCAUAUGUCAACUACUCUGAUAUCAGUAAGCUAAACCAAUUAUGAACAAGAUUGAGAUGCAUGCUAAAACUGUCAUGCUUAUAUGCCAAGGUGAAGAACUUAGGUUUAACUCUUCUGAACAAACACCAUUAAGUAUCUAAGAUAGGAGUCAAUGCAAAGAACAUUGGCAAAUCAGUUGUUGAUUUCAACAUUAUUUCAUUAAUAAUUUCCCCACAAACAGUAGAAGUAGAAAAAAAAAAGAAGGUGACUUUCACUUGACAAUGCAUUUGUUGCUUAUACUUUCUUUUUUUUCUAAGAAUAAUGGAGGGCAUGAUCCUCAAUUUAAGGAAUUGCUUGGGUCAAUUACUUGGUUAUCAUCUCUUAACCAUGAAGAUCUUGUAACUUUUCUACAUUGUUUGCUGCUAGAAUUCAAUACCUCCAAUUUAAUUAGCUACAAUGAGAGAAAAAAAACCCAUAUAAUGACUGAGCAACCAAAUCUAGUUAGUAUCUUUCGUAUCACUAAAAAGAGUUUGACGAGCAGUGAACAACGACAAGGCAAUCAUGUAAGCCUCGACAUGAAGCAAGAAUCAAUGCCGCAGUAAGGUUAUAAACCUUCCUUUAUUGCUACGCUUAGUGCGGGGAGGCAGACUCGAGCACCCAAUGGUUGCUAACUCUGCUGCUGCUCUCCCCGUCCUUCCCAGCCAACGUCGCUCCGCUAAUGGCUGCUGCAACUGUGACGGUGAGCUUUGGGUCUGCAGCAGUAGCACUAGAUUUUUCUGCUGAAUACUUCCCGUCCUCACUGUUCCAGACCCCCUUACUUGAUAGCCAAGAACUUCCACUGACAAUGGCGGAAUUCGAGGAGGAUACAGCCCAUGGAUUCAUCGGUCCCAAGAGACCAAGUUGCUGUUGUCCAUGGCCAUUGCUGCUUGCUGCACCGAAGAAGCUGGCGAAGCUAUUCGUGGUCGGUAGAUGUGGAGAAGGGCUUGCUAGGAAAGGGCUCAAGUACGAUAAUGGCGGAUGGUUAGGAAUAGAAGAUGAGGAAUUUGUCUCGUUCAACAACGUGAAAUUAGAUGCUGCUGUUGCUGUGGAGGCUAGCGCAGUUGCUCCGACUGGUAGAGGAUGGUUGUGCGUCCCUUCGUAGGUGGUGACAAGUAUCGACAUGUCCUCGAGGCAUCGCUGCACCUGUUUGAUACAAACAUUAACGUGAACGAAGCUCGAGUUGAUUGGCAGAGACAUUGGAGAUCGGCUUUGGUUCUGCAAGCUACCUGCUUUCGAACUGGGCAUCCUGGUGCCACGGUGCAUCGAUAAUAGGCUCGCGGGCAUGGGUUCCCUUUUGCCACCUUUUGCCCGUAUUUUCUCCAUUGGCAUCCAUCAUUCAUCUACAGGUACUCUUUGCAAAGGAGAAUUGAUUAGCUCGAAUGCAUGAACGCAAAGAGGACCCAAAGAGAAGCAUGUAAGACUUACGGUAGGGCCUUGGCAUCUUGCUCUCACUGAGACCCUAGUCUUUCUGUUUGCUGGGUUGAUGCUUUGACUCGUUGUCAUGGACAAUUGGCCAGUUUGGAGCUUGGCAUCGAGUGGUUGACAGCUUCUCAGGCACUUACCUUUCUCCUCAAAGCUUGCAUCUUCUCUUUCGUGUGGAUCUGAAUACGUUUGCAGGGUCAAAGAUAAGCCCAACUCCUUGUCAUCAGCCACCAUCGAUGGUUGUUCCUUGAUCUCUUUGCUCUCACCGGGCUUCUUCCGCUCUAGCAACCUCUCUUCGCCAAGCGAAUUCGAAACUUGACGCUCCUAAAUGUACCAAUUCAUGUGAGUUGAAUGAUUGAAUUUUUCUGCUGGAUGGAAGAGAAAAGAUUCAGGUAAUAGAAUGAUUACUUUUGGAUGUCGAUCCUGUUGCUGCAUGCCUGCAAAUUGCAUCUGCAACUCAUGGUAGUCUUUCCAGGUGCGAUCGAUGACAUUUCUUAACAGCUUGUUCUCUUCCUUCAUUCGGUUCAUCUCAGCUUGCAACAUGCACAACUGCAACGACAUCUUAGCAGAGAUAACGGAAGGUAAGAACACAGUAUGUUGUGCGAGCGAGCUAACCUCAUCCUUCAUGGGCUUCUCAUGACUUUGAUCUUUCUCCUCCUCCUGGUCCUCCUCAUGAUUGCUACUUUCCUGCUUGUCUUCACCUUCCUCUUCCUCCUUUCCUUCUUGUUGUUGAUCACCAUCUUCACGACCUACUUCUAGUGUUCUUUCCUCAUCUUCUGCUGGCUCCAAGGAGAGAUCUAUAUGCAUUAUCCUCUCCUCCCUCUUCUCCGACGACAUGAUCUUGUAGUUGAUGUUCACCUUCCGAUUCUUGCUCAGACUUCUGGUCUAAAUGAUCUUAUCGAGGCAAUGGAGUCAACGUCCAAAGCGAUUAAAGGCUGAGAAGAGAGAGAGAGAGAGAGAGAGAGAGCUUUCACUUAUGCCAACUAGUAAAUAGAAAUAUGGGGAGUACACGAAACAAUGAUGGAUCCAAUCCUCAGCCAAGUGGGAUAUUUUUAAGAGCCUGCCUUGGUGGGUGCUACGGUCAACGCCAUGGAAUUUUGAGAGUUGACUUCCGUAUCAUCACCAAAACCAAACACAAACGAAAGGCUGCUAUAGGUUACCAUGAGACUAAGUUUCUCAUGGAUAGAUACAUCGUUGGAUUUAACUUGAGCCUGACGUUAUAAUUCUCAGCAAAUGGAUUGUUUUCUGCACCACCUCAGGUUUGGAUUCCACCUCCUCCAAGUCGUCUUAAUUUUAUGCAUGCAAUCGCAUUUACUGCGAUGAUUAGUGUAAGGAGCCACCAUCUUCAACCUUGGGAUCGAGGUUUUGGUCAAUGAAUUCUCGUUUAUCAACAACAUCUUCUUGUCGUCGUACACAAUACAUAUAUCUGCUUUGAAUUAAUUGCUUAAUCGAAUUCUCUUGGUAGAUGAUUUGAUCAAGAAAUACUGCAAAAAGAACAUACAAAUCAAUAACUUAAAAAAAAAUCUUGGAUUGUGAACAAUGAAAACAACGUCACUUUUGGCAUCUAAUUCGUGCAUCCAACUCAGGUAAAAAAAAAAAAACUCUUAAAAGAAAUUAUUGAGAAAAAUAAAUCAUGAUAAGAUUAUUAUGAUUAUCUUAAUAUUUUAAUAAUAUAUUAUUAUGAUUUUAAAUCAUAAAAAUUAUGAUAAUUUAUUAUUAUUAUUUAUCAAAUAAUAAGGAUCAUGAUUUGAACGUGAUUUUUUAUAUUAUGAAAUAAUUUAGAUAAAUAUUUUAUAUUUAUUAUUGAUUAAAAAUUAUAUAAUUAUUAUAUUUUAUAAUAUUUAUUUAUGUAUAUAAAUUUAUAUCCACUAUCAAUAAAAAAUUAAACUAGUCAUUAUUUAAUACUAUUAGAGUUUUAUUCUUUGGCAAGCCCUCUUUCUUGCAAGUUUCUUUGGGUCUUUUUUUCUUCACUUUUUGAUGUGAUCGAUAAUAUCUCUUUAAUUAGUCACUCAUCCUAUAUCAUUCUUAACUCUUUUACUUUUGAAAAUAUUCUUAUCUUCAUUAACAUUGCACCCUAAGCUUCUCUUAAACCCAUGUCCACAAACUAUAUCUCUUGGCAUACUCAAUUGUAUUCUUUUUUUAUCAGUCAUGAUCUUAUGGAUUAUGUAGAUGAUACCAUCAUUUGCUCUUUACAAAUCUUGAAGUUAUUAACCCUAAAUAUAUAUUGAAGUUAUUAACCCUAAAUAUAUAUUUUUGGAUAUGUCAAAAUCAUCUUUUUAGAAGUGCUAUCAUAUUCUCUCUCUCUCUCUCUCUUAUCAUUCCUUAUAAAGCCUCUACAAAAUUCUCUCAUGAAGUGUAAUCUAAGUUUUUAACAAUAUAUGCCAACUAAUCUCGUGAUCGUCUUAUACAACUUCGAGAAACUCUCUUUAAGUUUUUUAAAGGCACACAAUCUAGUUCUAACUAUAUGCAAGUUAUUAAAAUUUAAGCAUAUGCGGCUGAUGCAUAUUCUAAUGAUAAAGAGAUUAUUUUUCAUAUAUUAAAUGGUUUUGGUUCAUAUUACAAGUAGAUAUUGACUAUGAUUCUUGUGAUAAUUCUAUAUCUUUUGAAAUAAUUUAUGAUAAUCUUUCUUACUAUGAAGCUUAUUUUAAAUAGGAGUCAUCACCUUUUGAUGGUGCUUUUUUUAUCAUUAAUUUUUCUAACAAAACUAAUUCUAGUAAAUGCAAUAUCUAUAACUAGCAAGGCAAUCAUCCAAACAAUAAUUCUGGAGGCAACAUGUAACAAUACCAUAAUAAAAGUGUCAACAAAUUUGGAGAAUAAUUCAAUAACAAAGUCAUCUAUCAAAUAUGUGAAAUAUAAGGCUAUGUUGCUAAGAAAUGUUAUUAUUUGCAAACUACUAUUCCAUGGAUGGUUUAGCCUUUAUACUCAUCAUAUUCUAUAUAUAUCCAACUACACUACUUAUUCGGUUUUUAUUACCACCAUUACGUGCUCAUUUUGUUGCUCAAUUUUAUUGGUCUUCAUCAAAUUGGCUUAUUGAUUAUAGAGCUUCUUAUUAUGUCAUGUCUGACUUAAAUAUUCUAUCUCUUCAUUCAAAUUAUGAUGGUUCAGAUGAUAUCAUGAUAGAUAUUAGUAAAUGUUUCAAAAUAACUUAUAUUUAUUCUAUAAACCUUCUUUUUUCCUCAAAUUUUUUUUAUUUUCUUAUAUUCUUUAUGUUGUUGAUAUGAAGAAGAAUAUAUUAUUGGACUCUAAAUUAUGUUCUUCUAAUAAUAUUUUUAUUAAUUAUUAUUAUUUUUAUUUGUUUUGAAUGAUCUCAAUACGAGAAUAUAUCUUAUGGAGGAAGUGAAUAGAGAUGGAGCUCAUAAGUGGCCAACUAUUGCACCAUCUCUACCUAAAUCCAUUUUUGUUUUGGCCACACGCAAAGCUCCAUUUCAAGAGUAACACAAUCACUUAUGGCAUCCUUUUUUUUAAGUUCCAAAUCAUAUUGUUUGUUCUUACAAUUUACCUUUAUCAUUAUCAUCUUGUCAUCUUUUUUAUGCAAUUUAUGCAAAUAUAAUAAAUUAUAUAAUCUUUCAUUUUUUAUAUCCUUUUCAUAAGUAAUUCACUUUUUGAACUUAUAUAUCAUAAUGUUUGGGGUCCUUCACCAAUACAAUCUCAUGAUGGAUUUAACUAAUAUCUUUGAUUUUUCCUAAGUUCAAACUUAUUGUUGAAAAGUCAUUUCUACUAUCCAUUAUUUUAUUUUACUUUGAUACUGGUGGUAAAUUUUAAAUGUUUUAUAACUUUUUUAAAACCAACACAAUCUCUAAUUUUCUUACCCCUCUAUAUACUACCGAACAUAAUGGGAUCAUAGAAUGUCAUCAUAUCAUUUAAACUGGUCUUACACUCCUUACUCAAGCUUCUUCACCUCUUAAAUUCUAGUCUUAUAUAUUUGUCAUAUCAACUUAUCUUAUUAAUCACAUACUUAUUCUAGUCUUUAACAUAAUUUUACCAUUGAAAAAUUUAUUUGAAUCUACUCCUAACUAUAAUAAAUUAUGUUUUUGAAUGUCUAUAUUAUCUAUAGUUAAGACCUUAGAUCCAUAACAAACUAGAAGCCUGAUCAAAAUCAUAUAUUUUUCUUAGAUAUUCUAGUAAUUAAAGGACCUUUAAAUGUUUUGAUCUAUCAACCAAAUUUUUUUUAUUUCUCACCAUGUUGAUUUUAUAGAAUUUUUUUUCUUGUAAAUUACUUGACUCUUUUUUUAUCUAGACUAACUUCUAAUAAAUUUAUUAAUUUAGUCCCAUAAAUUCUUAAGCAAUCUCAUAUUAUCAUUCCUAUUUAGGCCGAAAUGUAAACCCCACCCAUCAAUCUAAAUACUUUAUCUACUUAAGCACCCAUCAGGUCCUUCCUCAAUAGUGCAUAAUGAAUAACAUGUUACCUCAUCCAUCCAGUUGUCUCAUGAGAGUGUCAUGCAUCAAGAGAAUUCAUAAUAAGGUUUGAUUUUAGUAUCCCUUAUUUUAAUUUUUUUUUGUUUAACAUGUCUCAAAGAAGUUAUUGGUCUACACUAAUUCACUCAAUGGUUACUAGAUCCAAAAUUGUAAAAAUAAUUUUUUAUUUUCAUAAAAUAAUCCUAAAAAAUUAAUUUUGAGCCAUAUACUAUCAAUCAAACAUUAAAAUUUCUCAAUGAAGGAGUAGUAAUGUUUAAAAAAAUAUAAUAUUUUAUUACGACAUAGGACUUAGUCUCAACCCAUCUAAGUCAAAACUUCAUAAGAUGCAAAUAGUUUUUUUAUACCAAAGAAAAUCCCGAUGGAUCCAUUAAUAAGUAUAAAGCAAGUCUUAUUGUAAAGGAAUCUCAUUAAUGUCUAGGCUAAGUAUCAUGAUAUCUUUAGCCCAAUUGUGAAGUCAAUAAUAAUUCAUAUUAUUUUAUGUCUUACCUUAUUUAAUAAUUGGGGAUGAUGUGAAUAAUAUAUUUCUUCAUUAUCAUAUUUCUGAUGAUGUAUUUAUGAGAUAACUUCUAAGCUUUAUUGAUUAUAAUCUUCAUCAUCUGAAAAUUAUGUAAGACUCUUUAUAAUCUCAAGUAGGCCCUUCGUGCUUGGUAUUAUGAACUUUGAAUAUAUCUAGUCUCAAAUAGAUUUUAUAAUUCUCAAUAUGAUAAUUCGUCAUUCAUUUAUUCUCAUGAGUGCAUGAUUAUAUUUUUACUAGUUUAUAUGGAUGACCUAAUUAUUAUUAGUAAUAAAUAAAUAAUAAUUAGUCACUUUAUUUAACAACUUAAAUAAGUUUUCUAUCAAAGAUCUUGGGUCCCUCAACUAUUUUCUUGAUGUGUACGUCAUCCACACAAUAAUGGUCUAUUUUUUUCCCAACAAAAUUAUAUUCAUAAAUAUUCUUGAUCACACUAAAAUAUUGAAACCAAUAUCAUUGCUAUGCCAAUCUUUACAAAUAUUCCUCUUAUCUUAUCUGAUAGUGCUAAUCUCAAUGAUGCCACUAAGUAUUGUCAAGUUGUUGGUAAUUUACAGUAUUUGACAUUUACUCAUCUGAACAAUACAUAUGCACAAGCCUACUUUCAACCAUUGGAUAACUAUUAAAUAUUUUCUUUCGUAAUUAAAUGAUAUUAUUCAUUGUGACUUAUUCCUUUAAAAUGACUCUCUUCUAUUGCCUUAUGUAUUUUUAAAUAUCGAUUGGACAUGUAAUAAAGAUGGUAGGACAUCUACUGGUGCUCAUGUCAUAUUUCUUAGUUAUAAUCUAAUUUCUUAUAGUUUCAAAAAAUAACGCUCUAUUGCAAGAUUUUAUAUGGAGGCUAAAUAUCAAGUGAUUUCUUUUACAAUUAUUGAACUUUGUUAGAUUCAAUCAUUGCUAUAUGAACUAUUUAUCACAUUAUUUGAUCCUCUAUUUAUAUAUUGAGUUAAUAUCGAGAUAACAUACAUAUGUGUUAAUCCUAUAUUUCAUUGUUAAAUGAAACGUAAAGUUAUCAACUUUCAUUUUGUUUGUGACAAAAUUCAUAAUGAUGAGCUAUGUGUCUCUCACGUCGCAUCUUCUAAUCAACUUACAUAUGCUCUUACUAAGCUUCUAUCUCGUCAAUAAUUUCUUCUACUUUGAUCCAAGAUCGAUGCCUUUAAUGAGAGCACCAUGAUCCUCUCAAUAUUCUGAUAAUAUAUUAUCAUAAUUUUAAAUAAUUUAAAAUAAUAUGUUAUCAUAAUUCUAUCAAAUAAUCAGGAUCAUUAUCUCAAUAUAAUUUUUUAUGUUAUAAAAUAAUUUAGUUAAAUAUUUUAUAUUUAUAAUUAAUUUUUAAAAAAGAAGUUCAUAUUCACUAUUAAAAAAUUAAAGUUAAUAAUUUCUUUCAUAUAUUUUGAUGGAAUUAAAAUGACAUAUUUAGGGUUAUUAAUCCCCCGAUUCCCUCAUGCAUUAAGAUCUAAAUGUUUGUGCAUGGUUAAUACAUAUGAAGUCCUGCCUCGGGCUUUGUAAUGCAAAAUUUACAGUACCCAAACCUGUAGUUUCCGUUCUAUAAAUUAAUGGCUGAUUCCAACUAUGGUCAACUCCUUACAAUAUUCAAGAACAAAGCGUAAGUUGUCUCUACGUGAGGCAUUGGAACUAAGGUUUAUACUAACAAUUAGGCAUCUCCCUAGUGGUAUUGAAAUCAACAACCAUCCACAUUAACAAAUCCCGAGGCAGAAAGCUUGUGAGAUGAGACUGCAAAUUGUCAACACGAAGACUACACCACACCUACCAUUCUCUUCCCCGGAGUUUUCUAUGAGAACUGCCAACCAACCUCGAACACAGAGAGUACGAAUGAAUGGUUUGGAGUUCGUACUCGAAGCCAUAUCAUUGUGGAGCAGCUAGCCAACAGUAUCUUCCAUAGUUUUAUGAGUCAAGGUUUGUGGUACAGUUGACGAGGCUGUAAGUUGAAGCCUUCGCAUCCCGAGUUGGAUAAGGGAACGAAGUCCCAUCAAUCAAUCAUCUUUUAAGUCUCCCUGCCUUGGGAGUGCUAAGACAAUAAAUUUAUGCUUCAGAUCCUAUUACAGGGCGACAUCCACGUGUGACAGUGCUAACGUCGGAUUAAGAUGGAUUAAAGAUACCGGGGUCAAUCAGAUACAGUAUUAUGAUUCGACUAUAUGCAAUGUAGUUUGAGACAAGCUCUUCCAUUUAGGGAUCCAACUAAUCUAAGUUGAAUUUGGUAACCACUGAGAUCUAUGGAAUCUACAUAUUUGUUUUUUGAUGUCAACUGUCUUUGUGACAGCCCGGCCAUUUGAUCUUAAUUUAGUCCUAUCCAUUUUCAUGAGUUAGAAAUCGGAGAGGAAGCAAAGUGUCUCAUGUAAUGGAGAUUUCAUGAACUAAGAACUAACAUAAAGAACUUUGUGUUACCUACUGUAAUCAUGUAGUUGAGAGCUAUCUUACGCCUCACUCUAGUUUUUGUUCUCUCUCAUUUUGCCUCUUGCAGUAAAUUGUAAUGGUUACGAUCUUUGCAGUUCGUACUGCAACAUUAACUUCUCUAUCAGGUAGUGUUCAAGCAUGUAAUGCAGAGACAGCAUUCUAUUGUGAAUGGAGUCAAAGCAACUUCUGCUGGUUUCUCUAUCGUGUAUGCUGGGUAAAAAGUAGCUGUUGAUUUCAUAUUUUGAUUGAAAGUUCCAGGCACGAAGAUUGCAAGUUUUGUAAGUGUGCGUUUGUUAGCUGAUCUAUUUUAUCCUCUAAUGCUAUUGCCUGGACUGAACUUCAUCGGCUUGACUGUGAACUUCAGUCACGAGUUGACUAAGCCUUAUUACUAAACUAGGUUAUGCUUAGUUUGUUCCUCAUCACAUGGAUUUGGAUCAUAUUUAGACAUAUGAGUUGAGUUAUGUUUGACUACAUGAACUAGAUUAUACCUGACCAUAUGAGUUGUAUUAUGUUUGGUUAUAUUGGUUGGAUUAUACCUUACUACAUGAGCUAGAAACUUGAAUAAUCUUCUUCUUGAAACACAUAAGACUUUUAAUGAUAUAUGAAAUGAUAUGCAAAGCACAUAAUGAAAAAGAAAUAAUAAAUUAUAUCUUAAUGACUUUUAAUUAUGAGGUGUUUGAUUCUUUCAAAACUUCUUUAUUGCAUGAUGAAUUAUUUGAAGUAUUUAAUAAUUUAUAUGAUGAACUCAAAAAAAUUGAUAAGAAAUAUAAUUCACUAAAAGGGAAUCAUGUAUUACUUACUAAUGAAUUUAAUAUAUUAAAAAUUAUGCAUAGCAAAUAUAUAUUAAUAUCUUGUACUUCUUGCUUUAAAUAGGAAGAUUUAAAAUUAUCUAAUUUUGAGCUUAAAAAGGAGUCAUUUAAAAAAAUUAUAUAUUUUAAAAAUAUAAAAAAGACCUAAUUAUCAUGAAUGAGAAACUAGAACAUUAUUUAAAAUUAUCUAAUCUUGAACUUAAAAAGAAGUCAUUUAAAAAAUUAUAUAUUUAAAAAAAAUAAAAAAAGACCUAAUUACCAUGAAUGAGAAAAUAGAAUAUUAUUUAAAAGAAUCAAUUGACAGUAAUAAUAUAAUAAAAUAUCUUAAAAAGAAAAUAUAUUUCUAUAAUAAAUAUUAAAAAAUUUAAAUAAAAAAAUAAGUCACUUGAUAUUAUUCUUACUAAACAAUGUUAUGUAUUUAUAAAAAAAAGUAUUAGUUUUACAAGUAGAACCAACCAACUAAAUUUGUAAAAAGACUUAUAUUAUAUAUUUUUUCUAAAAGUUAAAUAUAACUUUUGUGAAAGGUUUAGUCACUAUGCUUACACAUGCUCUUUUAAAAAAAUAUAGUCAUCCUAAAUUAGUUUAGGUUCAUAAAGAAAUCAUGAAUAAUUUGAAGCCAAAAAUCAAGAAAUAUAGAUCUAACCACAAAAGACUGAAAGUUAAAUAGAUAUCUAGAACAAACUUCUUGUUUUUUAUAGGUAUAUCUCCGAACAAGAGUUAGGAGCAAAAGAUAGUAUCUUGAUAGUGGAUGCUCAAUGUAUAUGACCGGAAUUCACUAGCUAAGAUGGAAGAUAUAUUAUUUUGGAGAUAAUAGUAAAGGAAAAUCAAUAGUAUUAAAAAUAUUAGUAAAAAAUCAAAUCUUUUAACUAAAGAUAUGCUUUUGGUAAAUGGUUCGAAACAUAACUUAAUAAGUAUUAACAAAUUUUAUGAUAAGAGAUAUAAUAUUAAAUUUAAAUAUAAUACUUCUAUAAUAGAAAUAUUAAAUAAGAAAAAUCUAUGAUAGCUUUAAGAAAUAAUAAUGUUUAUACUAUUAAUAUUUUGAUCUUGAUAAUUUUUGUAAUAUAACUUAUUUUUUUGAUUUUAAAUGAUGAUACAUGGCUUGGGCAUAAGAAGCUAGGAUAUGCUAGUAUGAAAUUAUUUUCACAAAUUAAAACUAAAAAACUUUUAAGAGGAAUGUAUAAAAUUAAAUUUGUUAAAAAUAAAUUUUUUAAUGUGUGCCAACUAGAAAAACAUAUAAGGAGCGGCUUCAAACCAAGUAAGUACCUAUUCACAUAAAUUUAUUUAUACUUAUUGAUAUUACUUGUGAUUGUUGAUGAUUAUAGUAGAUAUACUUAGACAUAUGUUAGGAACCCUUUAAUUUUUGAGUUUUUGAGUCCUAAACUGAUGUAAUAUUUUCUUGAGUUUUCUAGUUCUAGUAGGAGUCGGCUAGAGGUCUUAUUUGAGAUUUAUUAUUUUGAUUAGGAGUCUAAGUCGUAAUAGACUUAGGAGUGAAACUCUAUCAAUAGGGAUAUAUUUGCUUCUUUUCUUCAUAAAAAAAUAAUAUUUUAGCCUUUAAUAAAUCCUAAGAGGUCGAUCCCUUCAAAGUGAUAUUAUCCCUUUCUUCCUCUUCUUCUUUUAUGAUAAAACCUUAGGGGUCUUACUAUCUGGUAUCAAAGCAGUGAUCCUUGGUGUUCCUACUAUAACUCCCCACAUCCCAUCUCUCACCGUAGUGCCCUCGGCUGAGCCCUUCUCUUCCCUCUCUUCAUAGUUGCCAUUGCAUUUCCCCCGUAACUCAUCAUGGUCUCCUUUGCUCUCGCUACAGACACUGUCGCAUAGAGGGCUAGGGUUUUCGUAGGGACCUUUAGCGCUCCCACAACCUCUUAGUAAUUAUAGCGAGCCCUCAGCAACGUUGCUCCUAGUUGCACCGCCAUCGCUACCUCCUAGCCCUCAAUAGCAAUGAUGCCUCCAUGUAGCGACCACAGCAAGCAUUAUUGCCUCCCAGCCCUUAGCAACAAUGAUCCCUCCACACAGCGAUCCCAAUGGGCAUCGUUGCCUCUCAGCCCUCAGUAGUAGCGACCCUCCAUGCAGCAACUGCCAUGACCACCGCCUUUGCCCCCUCCACUAUCAUCUCUCUCCUUAGCCAUACCUUCGUUAGAGAUGGCAUUGCUAGCGUCUCCUUCCAGCAAUGCACCUUCCAGCCUGCUGAUCUAUAGUUCCCAACCUCUUGGUGCUUUGCUAUUAACCAAUUGUACGAUUGUUAUGGCUUCCCAAUCAAGCCCUUUUCUUCCCUCCCUUCGUCACCAUCGUGGCGUUUCCCCCACGACUCAUCAUUGUCUCUUCUACUCUCGCUAUAGACAUAAUCGCACAAAGGGCUAGGGUUUUUGCAGGGACCCUCGAUGCUCCCACAACCUCCUAAUAACCAUGGCAAGCCCUUGGCGACACUACUCCUAACCGCACUAACCAUUGCUGCCUCCUAGCCCUCAACAGUAGAGAUCCCUCCACGCAACAACCGCAGUGAGCAUCACUGCCUCCCAGCUCUUGGUAGUAGCGACCCUCCAUGUAGUGACUGCGACAAGCCCUCAAUGGCACUGCUUCUAGCCACGCCACCAUUGUUGCCUCCCAGCCUCUCGGUGUCCAGGGCUUUAUCGACAUCCUCACAACCACCCUUUGUGCCCACAAUGCUGCCAUCAAUCGACGUCACAGUUGAUGCCCUUAACCCGACACCAGAAAUAAGAGUUGGGAAUUACAGAUCUAUAGUCCUAUGCAAUGGCUACUGACAAUUCAAUGCAAGCUCAACUAGAAGCAUUGGAAUCUAGAAUUGAGAAUCGAUUGUAGAAACUCUUAACUAUUUCAAAAAGAGCCUAUUAGAGAACUUCAACAAGUUUCAAUAAGAUGAAAGCUCAAGUCUGACAUUGAAUUGAUCUGAAGACAUAAGAAAAAUGCACUAAGAACAUGACACAAGCUACCCACACAUAAAGGUGAAAUUUCUAAGAUGGGAAGAUGGGGACCUGACCAUUUGGAUAUCUAGGGUAGAAUUUUUUAUUUUAUUUUUAUAGAACUCAAGAAGAAUUUAAGGUGGAAAUAGCUUCAAUCUAGUUAGAUAGAUAUGCAAUGUAAUAGUAUGAUUGGUUUAAAACCUAUUAUGAGGUUCUCUCACGGGAGUAAUUCAAGAGAGAACUUCUUGUUUGCUUUGGACUAUCUUAAUCCGAGAAUAUUAAUGGGCAACUCACUAAAAUUCGUUAGACUUUUAUGGUGCUAGAGUUUCAGAGCAGGUUUGAAUGAUUAUCAAAUCAAGCCAAAGAUUGGUCCAAACGGUAAUUGGUGGGUAUAUUUAUAAAGGACUUAAUCUAGAUAUUUGAUGUGAAGUUAAAACUCGCCAAUCUUGCACUAUGACAACUGCAAUCUCAUUUAUACGUUUGUAUAAGAAAAAAAAUCAGCAUGGAGAAUCACUAAAAUAAAAGUAACAAUAAAUAGAUGAUCAACAAGCUACUCACCCUAUCUAUUCCCAACUGAAACUCUAACACCCGAUGACUGACCCGAGAAGAAUUCAAGGAAAGAUCAACGAAGGGUUUGUGCUGGCAUUGUGAUGAAAAGUAGAGUAAGGAGCACCGAUGCAAAUAAGGGAAGCUUUUAAUGAUUGAACCGAUCGAGAAACUGGAAGUUGACAAUGUGAACUCUGAUAAUAAAGGUAUGGAUAUUGAUGAUGAUGAUGUUAUACCUUUCACACAUACAGUGCAUACAUUGGCCAGCUACUCUAAACCGCAAACUAUGAAAGUUGAAAAAAUUUUGAAACAUCGGUCUGUUAUUAUUUUGAUUGAUAUUGGUAGUACUAACAAUUUUAUGGAUAGUAAGGUUGCUGCUCGAUUGGCCUAACACAUUGAAGGCUAUGACAAAUUUAAAGUAAAGGUCAUUGAUGGAUGGAUUCUAACUUUUGAUAGCAAGUAUUUGAAGAUAAAACUGAUUAUGCAGGGCUAAGAAUUGCUUAUGGAUUUCUUUUUGCUACCCUUAAAAAAUUUUGAAAUGAUGCUUAGAAUUGAAUGACUAUCAACCUAGGUGAUGUCUCUUAGAAAUUUUCUAAACUAAUCAUGAAGUUUUUUAUUAGUGGAAAGUAUGAUGUCUCAUGAAAUUUUUUUAAACUAAUCAUGAACAUGAUCUAUCUAAAUACUUUUGGGUUGAAGCCAUUAAUACGACACACUAUGUCACGAACAUAAUUCUUAUAAGACCACAUCUAUCUAGAACUACUUAUGAAUUAUGAAAUAAUAAAAAACCUAACAUCUCAUAUUUUAAAUUUUUGGUUAUAAAUAUUUUAUUUUAAAUGAUAAAGAUGCAUGAGGAAAAUUUAAUACAAAAUCCAAUAAAGAUAACUUUCUUGGAUAUUCCUCUAUCUCUAAAACUUAUCGAGUUUUCAACGAGGGAUCCUCAGUCAUUAAAGAAUCUAUUCAUCUUAUUUUUGAUGAAUCUCAGUCAUUAAAUAAUUCUGAUGAUAAUUUUGAAUUUGAUAAAAUGAAUUUGAAUGAGGAUGCUUCUCCCCAAAGCAACUUGAUUAUAUCUAUUUAUAAAGAAACCUUACCCAAGUAAUAGAAAUAUAUAGAUGGAUAUCUUGAAGAGUUAAUUAUUGGAGAUACAUCAAAAGAUAUUCUGACUUAUUAUUCACUAAAAAAUAUUUAAGCAAAUGCUACUUUUUUUUUAUGUUGAAUUAUGCCUAAAUACAUUGAUGAUGCUCUUAAAGAUGGCUUAUGGGUCUCAACAAUAUAUAAGUAAAGACCCUUUGCUAUUUGUUCUCAUAUGAUUUUUUAUUUUUACUAAUAACUAAAGAUGAUAUUUAUCCAAAUGAAUCAUGAUCUUUCACUUAUUUCUCGAUGUUCAUGACUUAAGAUUUAUUUUGUAUAAAUCAAGAUCUUUUACUAUUUGUUCUCCUAUAAUUCUUUCUUUUUGCUAAUGGCUAAGGAGGAGAUUUACCCAAAUGAAUCAUAAUCUUAGAUAUAUUUUAUAUAAAUCAAGACCUUUUACUAUUUAUUCUCUUAUGCUUUUUUCUUUUUACUAAUGACUAAGGAGGAGAUUUAUCCAAAUAAAUCAUGAUUAUUCAGUAUUCAUGACUUGAGAUUUAUUUUAUAUGAUUCUUUUAUAUUCAUGAUUUAUAUAUUUAAUUUUGUUAAUAACAAAAGAGGAGAAGAAGUAACUUAUAUUUUUUUAUUAAUGAAAAAUUGGGAGAAAUAGUAAUUCAUGCUUAGCUUAUAUGUUGAACAAGAAGACUUAGGAUGCUUUUAUAACUUUUUAUUAGUAGUAACUCAUGCCUAACUUUUGUUAAUUAUUUUUUAAACUUGAAAUUUGGUUAAAUAUUUAAGUUUGUGUUAGGGAAAAUAAUGGCACAGGAAUAGCAUGUGGUGGAUCACCAUUUAAGAUCAACAUGGGAGCUCGCACUGUAUCCUCAUGUGGGAAUUUAUAUGAAAUGACCAUUGGAAUAUGACAACUAGACCCAACCUCUCAGUUUUCCUUGAUCACACCACUAGACCCAACUUUUUUUUCUAUAGAAAAUUCUAAGAUUUUAUUUUCUGUUCUUCCAUUAUGCAUAUGAUACUACCACAGAUUUCCUAAUAGUGAUAUCAGAGUUAAGUUAUUCGUGCGAAAUAUUGGUUUUUAAACUAUAUGUGUUGAAUCACAUAAAAUUAUUUUUGCAUGAUUGUUAUAAUUUUUAACAUAGUUUUCAAAUCUGAACUACACGUCUUCUCUCUGUUAAAAGGAGCUUUAAAUCAAUAUUUUGUUGCUAAAAUUAUCGUCACAUAAUAGAGAGAAAAGGGCAACAAUUGUUAUUGCCCUAUGGUUUGGCCAAAGGCUGCUUGUAGCCUUGGCCAAGAACAUAUCUUACUGCUCUCAGCCUGGCCAAAAGUAGUAAGUCCAAGAGUAGUGAAGGGAGCUCUCGGCCUAGAGGUUAGCAGCCCCUAUAGCCGGGUUUUCUAGUUGCAAGGGGUAGCCCUAGUGACAAGGAUUCCUAGUUGCAUGGGAUAACACAACCAUGGUUUCUUGGCUAUAUAAGACACCUUAGGAGCCAGGGAUCCUUAGCUAUCUAAGGCAAUCCUGCGGCCAGGGAUUCCUAGCUGUAUGGGUAACCUUGGUAGCCAAGGUUUUCUGGUCGCAUAAGGCACCCUAGGGUAUGGUAUCCCAAAGGCUAUAGAAUAAUUAAUUAAAUAGUUUUAGUUCAUUAUUAUUAUUGUUAUUAUCUAGUAGUCCUAUAUGGUGAUGUGUAUAUGUGAUGUAUAAUGUGAACGGAUGAUCAUAGACUAUGUGAUAUGUGUGUACACGUGAUAUAAUUAUUAUUAUUAUUGGAGCCUAUGAGCCUUCAAUUUUUCUCAUGUAUUAUCGGGCUUACAUGCUUAUGAUUAUGUUGUAAUUACAUGAGAAGUUGUGGUGGGAGCAUGGAGGUGAUAACAAGACCCACGAGGUUGAGAUGGACGAUCGCGACGCAUGGAGAUGCCGACGAAAUUGAUGAAGAUGAGAUGGACGAUCAUAGGACAUUGAGAUACGCUGAUGCACACAUAGAUCGUGAUGUGUGUGAUUGGAUCCACUAGCUCAAGCUUGAUCACAUUAGGCUAUUAUUCAUGAUCAUCUGGCGUGAUUGCUCGUGUGAUAUGUGAUUGACUAUAACUUGCUAAAUAUGUAUAUAUAUAUAUAUAUAUAUAUAUAUAUAUAUAUAUAUAUAUAUAUAUAUAUAUUUGCAUGUAAUGUAGAUAUAUNNNNNNNNNNNNNNNNNNNNAUUAAAUAUGUAUGUGUGUGACACAUCAUAUUGGGAGAUCAAAUUAAAAUCCCCUCUCUCAAUAAUAUUAAGUCAGUAAACGUGAGGUAAUUAGAUUAACUCACAUGAUUUUCUAUCGUUAUAGGGAGAAAUUAAUUCCUAACGUAGUUUGAGUUGGUCGAGUCCCUCGAGGCUCACCUAUAUUGUGAUUCGAGAUUUUAGCUAUGACAUAGAGAUAUCACCAAUGACUUGAGGAUAUGGUAUGCUUGGUCGAGUCACUCAAGGGCAUAUCAUCGAAUCAGACUCAUUUUGUGAUGAUGGUGAUAACUUAAUCGAACAUCAUGGUUGGUCGAGUCCCUUAAAGCCAUGAUAGUUCGGAGGCCGAACAAGAUGAAAAUUACAAGGAGUUGUGAUCAGCAAGAGUUGCCUACUUUUUUGAGCUUAGUGUAAUUGGUCGAGUCCCUCGAGGUUACGUUAAGAUAUCAACUAAAUCCAUAUCCCCAUUAGAGAUCCGUCGAAGGUCUCAAAUUCACAUAUCGGAGGGAGUUGUGUGUUUCACAAGAAAAUAGUAAGAGUAGAUUAAGAUAGAAGACCAUAUCUUGAUUAUUUAUUUUUUUUAUAAAAUUAAUAUAUUAUUAUUUCUGUUACAUCUUUAUUUAUUUUAAUAUUACUUUCAAAUCUCUUAUGUGGCAUAUUUGAUGUUAACUACCUCAUUACAACAAAUUAUAUGGAUUGACUCCUUAACCUGAGAAUCGUUCUCAUGGCGAAGAAAAUCACAUAUAUACUUGACAUAGUGAUGAAUACGCUUGAGGAAGGGGCAAGAAAGGAUGAGAUCGCUCGCUACGUAAAGUAUAUAGAUGUUGGGCUCCAUGACUCCCGAGUUACAAAGGCAGCAUGAAAAGACAGAUGCUUGAUUCAUUCUCUUGCAUCUCUAUAAAUUGUUUGAGGAAUAGGGAAGAACUUAGUGAUAUGAGAUAUCUGAGAGUCUCUUCCGUGCUAGGAUGAUUAGGGGACAUCAGUUCAGAACCAUAUCCUUAAUAUGAUUGAGUAGAUAGAGAAUCUCAUAGGUCUAGGAAUGGUCCUAGAGGAUAACUUGUGUAUGGAUCUUAUGCUUCAAUCACUACUAGAUUCCUUUAUUCAGUUCAUUAUGAUUUUAAUAUGAACAAGCUUGAGGUGACUCUCCUUGAGCUCCUCAAUAUGUUUAGAGAGGCUAAGAGCACCAUCAAGAAAGAGAAGCUAGUUCUCUAUGUUGAUGAGACCAAAAGGAAAAGGAAGUCAAAGAAGUCCCUUAAAAAGGGCAAGGGCAAAUCGGGUAAGGCAAAGGUUGUUAAGAAAGACCCGACAAAGGAUAAAAGCUAAUGCUUCUACUAUAGCAAAGAUGAGCGCUAGAAGAGAAACUGCAAAUAGUACAUUACAAAGAAGGCAAGAUAGAAGCUUUAUAUAUAUUUAUGAUCAGUCUUCAUUUGUUAGACUCUUAUGAUAACAUACGAGUAUUAAUACCCAUAGUGUUUAUCACAUCUGUAAUUUGUUAUAGAUUCUAACAAGACCUAGGAGAUUGGCGAGAGACGAGAUGGACCUCAAGAUGGGCAAUAAAGCAAAAGUUACUGUAAUGGCUAUUGGGGAGGUCACCUUACAUUUUCCUGGUGGAGCUACUGUUAAAUUGGAUGUAUGUUAUUUUGUUCUUUCUAUCAUCAAAAAUAUUAUUUUCAUUUCAUAUUUGAUAGUUAAUGAAUAUAAAUUAGUUUUUAAGAAUAAUAAAUAUUUAAUAAUAUUGGAUGAUAAAAUUAUCACUCGAGGAACAUUGCAUAAUGAUUUAUUUAUACUAGACACUACUUCGUAUAUCAUGAAUGUAAGUGUCCAAGAGGAAAUGAGAUGAGAUGAACAAUGCGUACCUAUGGCAUUAUAUCCAAAAGUUAUAGAAGAAUAGAUAUCUAGAUCCAUUCGACUAUAAGUCAUAUACAACUUGCGAGCCUUGCCUUCAUAGAAAGUUGAUCAAAUCUUGAGUUAGUCGAACUAGAGAGAGAGCCAGUGAGUUGUUGGAACCCAUGUAUAGUGAUGUAUGUGGUCUCAUAUUAACUUAGGUUAUAGGAGGUUAUUUUUACUUCAUUGAUGACUUCUCUAGGUAUGAAUAUGUAUAUUUGAUAAAGUAUAAGUCCGAAGUUUUUUAGAAAUUUAAGAAAUAUAAGAAUGAGAAAGAGAAUAAGAUUAGAAAGAGUAUCAAAACUCUUGGAUCAGAUCAAGAAGAUGCGUACUUGAGUAUGAUGUUCACCUAGUUCCUCAAGGACUAUGAGAUUCUAUCCCAAUAGACACCUUAUUAUAUACCUCAACUCAAUAGUGUAUCAAAAAGAAAGAAUCGUACACUGUUAGACAUGGUGUGGUCCAUGAUGAGUUUCGUCGACUUAUCUGGUAGAACCCUAAUGUUUUAUCGUAAAAGAAAUGGAAGAAAUAGAAGAAAAGGGGGAUGAUCACUUCAAGGGGAUCAGCCUCCUUGAUCACUUCGAGGGGAUCAAUCUCCUUGAUUGCUUCAAGGGGAUCGGCCUCUUAGGGUUUGUCAUUAUAGACUGGAAUAAUAUUUCAUUGAUUGAUUGAUUUAAAAGAAAGGGUUACAUCACUAUUUAUAGAGUUCCACCUAGAGUCCACCAAGACUUGGACUCUUAAUAAUAAUUAAAUAUUAAAUAAACCUUUACCCAACUCUAACUGAACUAAAUAGACUCAAUAAACAACUGAACUAAAUAGACUCAAUAAACAUUAUUCAAAAGCUCAGAAAAAAGGGUCCUAAUAAUUCCUCCCUCUUCAAAUCAACCUUGUCCUCAAGACUGAGCAGCAUCAAACUCGAGAGCUUCUCUUUCAGUACUUCAGUCAUAAGCUAUCUGCAACGCAUCACAACUCAUUGAUCAAAUGUGGUCUCUACUUUCUGAUAGUGUAAGCAAUAGGUCUGUCUUUCAGUGUAGUAAGCAUUGCAAGAAACUCCUGGUCUUGUAUAAUCAAUUUUAUCUUUGAACAUUUGCUAUUAUGAGUUAAAAUCCAUCCAUCAGCGAUCUUUACUUCGAAUUUGUCAUAACCUUCAAUGUUAUGGGCCAAUCGGUCAAUAGCCUCAUAGUCCAUAAAAUUAUUAGUGCUACCAGUAUCAAUCAAAACUAUAACAUGCUGAUGUUCCAGAGUUUCACCAACUUUUAUAGUUCGCGGGUUAGAGUAGUCGGUUAAUGUAUGAAUUGUAUGUAUGGUAGGUCCAACAUCUUCAUUAUAAUCUAUACCUUCAUGAUCGAAGUCAACAUUCUUAGCUUCCAAUUGGUUGCAUCAUCAGAAGUUACCCUUGUUUACAUCAGUACUCCAUGCUCCACUUUUCAUCAUAGUACAAACCCUUUGCUGAUCUUUCCUUGCUAAUUUUUUUCUCAUGUAGAUGUGCGAAUGAGAUCGCAGCUAUCAUAGUGCGGGAUUGAUAAGCCUUAACUUCACACCAGAUAUCUAGAUUAAGUCCUUUAAUAAAUGUACCCAAAAGUUAUUGUUCCGAUCAAUCUCUAGCUUGAUUUGAUAAUCUUUCAAACCUACUCUGAUAUUCCCACACUGUAGAAGUCUGACGAAUUUUAGCGAGCUAUUCAUUAACAUUAUCAUAUUUUGAUGGGCCAAAGCGAACAAGAAGCCCUCUUUCGAACUACUCCCAUGAAGGAACUCCAUGGCAAGUUUCAUACAAAUCGUACCACUGGAUUGUAUCUCUGUCAAGCUCGAUUGAGGCCACUUCUACCUUAGAUUCUUCUGGGGUUUUGUGAAAAUUUAAAAAAAAUUUUGCUCUAGAGAUCCGACUGGUCGGAUCUCCAUCUUCCCAUCUCGAAAAUUCCAUGUGUGAGUAGUUUGUGUCACAAUCUUGGGACCUUUUUCUUGUAUUUCCGUAUCUGUGCAACGUAGAACUUGAGCCCCCAUCUUGUUGAAAUUUAUUGAGGCUCUCUAGUAAGCUCUUUUUGAAAUCAUUAAGUGUUUCUUGGUGGAGAGAGUGAGACCGUGAUAGAAUUGAACGAGGUUGAAGAACCUAGCUCAAGCAUCAUUCCGUAGUCCGAGUCCAUUCAAGUAUCUAGCACAUAAGUUUUGACUUAGGUCCGAUAGAGUACCCGAUUCUCCUGAGAGAUAUGUGAGAUAUAUAAAAAAAGGGAUGUUGAGGAUAUUGAUCCUCAGACCUAUAAGGAGGCUAUUGCGAGUAUGGACUUCGGGAAGUAGUAAGAAGCCAUGAAUUCCAAGAUGGAUUUCAUAUAUUCCUAUAAGGUUUAAAACAUAGUUGAUAUACAUGAGGGUAUCACACUCAUUAGUUAUAAAUGGAUCUUUAAAAAAAAUUAGAUUAAAUGGAAAGGUGGAGACCUAUAAAGCAAGACUAGUGGCUAAGGGUAUUGUCAAAGGCAAUAUGUUGACUAUGACGAAACAUUCUCCCUCGUAGCUAUGUUAAAAUCCAUCCGAAUUCUAUUAGUUAUUUAUAACAUACGUAAAAGCAGUGAGCAAGUAAAAUCAGUAAGUAAUGAAGGAAAACAACAAAAGAAAAGAGCACAUUAGAUUUACAGUGGUUUGAUUAUCGUGACCGACGUCCACUCCUGAUUCCUCUUCACUCGAGGCUAUCAACUUCCACUACCAAUCUUCUUUCUAAUGGGUAAAGAUUAACUACCCUUAUAACUCCUUCUUCUUUUCAUAGGCUUGGGAAAGGACCUUUACACUCUUCUUUUACAAAGUAUCCCUCAUACACCUCCCUUAGAAUAACCUCUAACCUCAAGGAGGAGGGACUCAACUUUCUCAUAGAGUUUUUGUUAGGAUCAAGAGCACUAAGAGGGGGGGGGGGUGAAUUAGUGCAGCGGAAAUCUUUCGAUGAUUAAAACUUUGAAAGCUGCGUUCGUUCGAUAAAAACAAUUUCGAUGUAAAAGCUGAUUCUAAGAUUACUUUAACUUAAGAUUAAGCGAGAUGAUGUUAAAGUAGAUCUAUGAAGGCAGUUUGUAGUUUAUGAUGGAAAUCAGAAUGCAAGCGCAAACUGAAAUGCGAUGUUCGUACGAUAAAACCAGUUUACGUCUAAAUGCCGAUUCUGAAGAUACUGAACUUUGAGAUAUGUUUUAUAAAUGCGCAGAAGGCAGUUUGCAGUUAUGAUUGAAGUCUAAACGUAAACGUAAACUAAAAUAUAAUGCUCGUACGAAAAAGCCGAUUUACGUCUAAACGAAGAUUCGGAAAGCUCUGAACUUAGAAACUCGUUCGUUAAGAGCGCAGAGGGCAGUAAGCUAUUAAGGAGGUUUGCAGUAAAGAUAAAAUGCUCAAAGUAAAUGCAAACCAAGAUUUAGAGUGGUUCGGUCAAUCUUGACCUACUCCACUUUUGGCUUCCUCCACCGACGAGGUCACUGACGUCAACUAGAGGCCUUCCUUCAAUAGGCGAAGGCCAACCACCCUUUUACAGUUUCACUCCUUUUGACGGGCUUAGGAGACAACCCUUAUAGAAAUUUCUCUCCUCUCUUUACAACUCAGAACUUGGAAGAAAAGAGGGAGGAGAACUUUUGGCCUUUACAACAAUUUUGAGCUCUAAAAAUCACUGAAAAAGAUAAAGAUUUCGGGUAAGUUCUUGCUCUUUCAGUGUUGAAUGGGUGGGGUAUUUAUAGGCCCCAACCCAGUUCAAAUUUGGAGCUUAAAACUGUCAAUUCCUGGAAUCCCGGGAUCAGGCGGUUGCACCUCCUGAUUGGGGCGGUUGCACCGCCUGGCAGAGCUUGAAGAAUGAGCCUCUGGGCGGUGCCACCUCUGUCAGGGGCGGUUGCACCUCUCUGCCAGAGCUCGAAGACCGAGCUCAGGCGGUUGCACCUCCUGACUGGAGCGGUUGCACCGCCUGGCAGAGCUCGAAGACUAAGCUCAGGCGGUGCCACCUCCUGUCAGGAGAGGUUGCACCGCCCAGUCUCGCUUGGAGACUGAUCCCAGGCGGUGCCACCUCCUGGCUGGGGCGGUUGCACUGCCCAGUCUAGCUGGGAGACUUAGCCCAGACGGUGCUGCCUCCUGGCCUAGGCAGUUGCACCUCUUGGCACUAUUUCAGAUCACUGGUUGGGCUCCAAACUUGGCCCAAACCAGUCCGAAUUCGGGCCCAAUUGGAUCCUAACCGGGUUAUAAGAUUAACACCUAAUCCUAACCCUAAUUAAUGUGCUAACUACGAAUUUAAAGACAUUUCUUAUGCUAUUACAAAGUUCGCAAGUCAAUACUUCUUCCGGCGAGCUUCCGGUGAACUUCCGACGGUCUUCCGAUAAACUCUCGGAAACCAUUCUGCGGACUCCCGGCAAGCUCCUAGACUUCACGAUUUGAUCUUGGCGAGUUCCGACGAGCUUCUUUGGCAAGCUUCUGGACUUCUCGGAUUUGUUCCCGCAAAACCUCCGACGACCGUCCGAACUUCCGUCGAACUCUCGAACUCCCAACGUGAUCAUAGUCUUGACUCCGGCGCAACUCCUACUGCAUGUCUUUCUUCCAUCAUAGUUAAUCCUGCACACUGAAAACAAACACUUCGAUCGAGACAAUUAAUCCUAAGCAAUUAACCAAGUUGUCCGGCAUGUCAUUAGUCCCUCGACGCUUCGUCCGAUUCUUCGGCGCAUCGUCGUCUCCUGCAGCCUAUUGCCCAAUCGGCUAGUUGACUCCGCAACUCCGAUAUCCUUGGCACAAUACCCGCUCUUCUUGGUACGAUGCCCGAGUCCACAGCCCGAAGCUUUCUGUCGAUACGUCGACCGAUCCACCGGACCGACGUCCAAUCUUCUGACAUGUUCCUCCAGCACAACAUGAUUUUCCUGCUUUAAUUGUCUCAUCCUGAUCGAAGUAUCCUGCGUUACUCAAAACACAGAUUAAAUCAUAAACAUAUAUCAAGUGGUUUCAUCAUCAAAAUACGAGAUUCAACAAUCUCCCCCUUUUUGAUGAUGACAACCACCUGAUGACGGAGUUAACCUUAACUCCCGAAGUUUAAACAAACUCCCCCUAUCAAUAUGCCAUAUUGAUAGAAACUCUUAGAUUCAAAAAUCUAAGCAACAUGUCAUCAUAAUCGGAGUUAACCUUAACUCCUNNNNNNNNNNNNNNNNNNNNNNNNNNNNNNNNNNNNNNNNNNNNNNNNNNNNNNNNNNNNNNNNNNNNNNNNNNNNNNNNNNNNNNNNNNNNNNNNNNNNNNNNNNNNNNNNNNNNNNNNNNNNNNNNNNNNNNNNNNNNNNNNNNNNNNNNNNNNNNNNNNNNNNNNNNNNNNNNNNNNNNNNNNNNNNNNNNNNNNNNNNNNNNNNNNNNNNNNNNNNNNNNNNNNNNNNNNNNNNNNNNNNNNNNNNNNNNNNNNNNNNNNNNNNNNNNNNNNNNNNNNNNNNNNNNNNNNNNNNNNNNNNNNNNNNNNNNNNNNNNNNNNNNNNNNNNNNNNNNNNNNNNNNNNNNNNNNNNNNNNNNNNNNNNNNNNNNNNNNNNNNNNNNNNNNNNNNNNNNNNNNNNNNNNNNNNNNNNNNNNNNNNNNNNNNNNNNNNNNNNNNNNNNNNNNNNNNNNNNNNNNNNNNNNNNNNNNNNNNNNNNNNNNNNNNNNNNNNNNNNNNNNNNNNNNNNNNNNNNNNNNNNNNNNNNNNNNNNNNNNNNNNNNNNNNNNNNNNNNNNNNNNNNNNNNNNNNNNNNNNNNNNNNNNNNNNNNNNNNNNNNNNNNNNNNNNNNNNNNNNNNNNNNNNNNNNNNNNNNNNNNNNNNNNNNNNNNNNNNNNNNNNNNNNNNNNNNNNNNNNNNNNNNNNNNNNNNNNNNNNNNNNNNNNNNNNNNNNNNNNNNNNNNNNNNNNNNNNNNNNNNNNNNNNNNNNNNNNNNNNNNNNNNNNNNNNNNNNNNNNNNNNNNNNNNNNNNNNNNNNNNNNNNNNNNNNNNNNNNNNNNNNNNNNNNNNNNNNNNNNNNNNNNNNNNNNNNNNNNNNNNNNNNNNNNNNNNNNNNNNNNNNNNNNNNNNNNNNNNNNNNNNNNNNNNNNNNNNNNNNNNNNNNNNNNNNNNNNNNNNNNNNNNNNNNNNNNNNNNNNNNNNNNNNNNNNNNNNNNNNNNNNNNNNNNNNNNNNNNNNNNNNNNNNNNNNNNNNNNNNNNNNNNNNNNNNNNNNNNNNNNNNNNNNNNNNNNNNNNNNNNNNNNNNNNNNNNNNNNNNNNNNNNNNNNNNNNNNNNNNNNNNNNNNNNNNNNNNNNNNNNNNNNNNNNNNNNNNNNNNNNNNNNNNNNNNNNNNNNNNNNNNNNNNNNNNNNNNNNNNNNNNNNNNNNNNNNNNNNNNNNNNNNNNNNNNNNNNNNNNNNNNNNNNNNNNNNNNNNNNNNNNNNNNNNNNNNNNNNNNNNNNNNNNNNNNNNNNNNNNNNNNNNNNNNNNNNNNNNNNNNNNNNNNNNNNNNNNNNNNNNNNNNNNNNNNNNNNNNNNNNNNNNNNNNNNNNNNNNNNNNNNNNNNNNNNNNNNNNNNNNNNNNNNNNNNNNNNNNNNNNNNNNNNNNNNNNNNNNNNNNNNNNNNNNNNNNNNNNNNNNNNNNNNNNNNNNNNNNNNNNNNNNNNNNNNNNNNNNNNNNNNNNNNNNNNNNNNNNNNNNNNNNNNNNNNNNNNNNNNNNNNNNNNNNNNNNNNNNNNNNNNNNNNNNNNNNNNNNNNNNNNNNNNNNNNNNNNNNNNNNNNNNNNNNNNNNNNNNNNNNNNNNNNNNNNNNNNNNNNNNNNNNNNNNNNNNNNNNNNNNNNNNNNNNNNNNNNNNNNNNNNNNNNNNNNNNNNNNNNNNNNNNNNNNNNNNNNNNNNNNNNNNNNNNNNNNNNNNNNNNNNNNNNNNNNNNNNNNNNNNNNNNNNNNNNNNNNNNNNNNNNNNNNNNNNNNNNNNNNNNNNNNNNNNNNNNNNNNNNNNNNNNNNNNNNNNNNNNNNNNNNNNNNNNNNNNNNNNNNNNNNNNNNNNNNNNNNNNNNNNNNNNNNNNNNNNNNNNNNNNNNNNNNNNNNNNNNNNNNNNNNNNNNNNNNNNNNNNNNNNNNNNNNNNNNNNNNNNNNNNNNNNNNNNNNNNNNNNNNNNNNNNNNNNNNNNNNNNNNNNNNNNNNNNNNNNNNNNNNNNNNNNNNNNNNNNNNNNNNNNNNNNNNNNNNNNNNNNNNNNNNNNNNNNNNNNNNNNNNNNNNNNNNNNNNNNNNNNNNNNNNNNNNNNNNNNNNNNNNNNNNNNNNNNNNNNNNNNNNNNNNNNNNNNNNNNNNNNNNNNNNNNNNNNNNNNNNNNNNNNNNNNNNNNNNNNNNNNNNNNNNNNNNNNNNNNNNNNNNNNNNNNNNNNNNNNNNNNNNNNNNNNNNNNNNNNNNNNNNNNNNNNNNNNNNNNNNNNNNNNNNNNNNNNNNNNNNNNNNNNNNNNNNNNNNNNNNNNNNNNNNNNNNNNNNNNNNNNNNNNNNNNNNNNNNNNNNNNNNNNNNNNNNNNNNNNNNNNNNNNNNNNNNNNNNNNNNNNNNNNNNNNNNNNNNNNNNNNNNNNNNNNNNNNNNNNNNNNNNNNNNNNNNNNNNNNNNNNNNNNNNNNNNNNNNNNNNNNNNNNNNNNNNNNNNNNNNNNNNNNNNNNNNNNNNNNNNNNNNNNNNNNNNNNNNNNNNNNNNNNNNNNNNNNNNNNNNNNNNNNNNNNNNNNNNNNNNNNNNNNNNNNNNNNNNNNNNNNNNNNNNNNNNNNNNNNNNNNNNNNNNNNNNNNNNNNNNNNNNNNNNNNNNNNNNNNNNNNNNNNNNNNNNNNNNNNNNNNNNNNNNNNNNNNNNNNNNNNNNNNNNNNNNNNNNNNNNNNNNNNNNNNNNNNNNNNNNNNNNNNNNNNNNNNNNNNNNNNNNNNNNNNNNNNNNNNNNNNNNNNNNNNNNNNNNNNNNNNNNNNNNNNNNNNNNNNNNNNNNNNNNNNNNNNNNNNNNNNNNNNNNNNNNNNNAAGAGAAAAAUCAUUAUUCAUUAUCAAUUCAUUCAAUUUGAUAAAUCAAGAUCAUGAUUUUGAUAAAACUCAUUUCAAAUUUAAAUCAUCAAAAUCAUUUUUAUGGCUCACAAAAUUUAUAACAUAAAUAGAUUCAUGAUUUCAUUGAUAAUAUAUUUUUCCCCUUUUUAAGUGUUUCAUUUUAAGUGGUCGAUUUCAUGUUAACAUGCCUUUUCAUUUAUGAAAACAUGCAUCAAUUUUUUUUUAAAGCCACUGUUAUUAUCAUGAAAAUCGAUAAUCCAUAAAUAUCAAGAAUCAUCAUACAUAAUUUCAAAAAUAUAUACUCAUUAAUCAUAACUUCAAAUUAAACAUGAUUUCAUAUACUCAAAAUCGAGAAAUAACAAUGGAAAUCAACAUGAUACACAUUAUUACUUCUCAACCACAUAUAGCAUGAUUUUAUAAGGUAUUUUUAAUCAAAAUCAUUUUGUUUAUCAUAAACAUGCAAUUUUCAUGAUUAUUUUCAAAAUUACUAGAAUGAUAAGCAUGAUUCCUAAUUGUUUGUAUUUUCAUUAUAAAAUUAUUAAACAUGUAAUUUUCAAGAAAAUUAAAUAAAAAAGAAAAAUGCUUUAUGAAAAGCAUCAUGUAAUUUCAAAGUAAAUUAAAGGCAUUUUGAUUACCUCAGCGUCGAAAGGCGUAAAGGCGUAGUUUGCCACCUCGCCUUUGUUGAUUUUCUCCUCGUCUUCGGAGGAGCUCGAUUCAUCCCAAUUUUUGUUCUUCUUCUUGCGUUCAAAGCAAGUAGUUUCAUUCUUUUUACUUUUUAAUUUUUGUUUCAUUUGUAGUUUAAGUUCACCAUCACUUGAGCUUAUGCUCGAGUGGUCUUCAAAUGUUCUAUGUCCCAAAUCCUUCCUGUUCUUUGGAAGGUGGUUCUCAAGUUCUUCACGUGCAUUGCAUGUCAUUUCAUAUGUGAUCAAUGAACCAAUUAGUUCUUCAAGUGGAAAAAUAUUUAAAUCUUUUGUUUCUUGUAAAGCCGUUACUUUUGAAUCCCACUUCUUAGAAAGAGAACGCAAAAUCUUGUUCACAAGUUCAGAAUUCAAAAAACAUUUGCCAAGAGCUCUUAAACCAUUGACGACAUCCGUAAAGCGGGUGUACAUGUCACCAAUGGUUUCGCUUGGCUUCAUUUGAAAAAGCUCGAAAUCAUGCAGUAAAAUAUUAACUUUCGAGUCUUUGACUCUACUAGUUCCCUCGUGCGUGAUUUCAAGAGCACGCCAAAUAUCGAAAGCCGUUUCACACAAAAAAACCCGAUUGAACUCAUUUUUGUCCAAAGCGCAAAAUAAGGCAUUCAUAGCCUUUGCGUUUAAAGAAAAAUGCUUCUUCUCUAAAUCCGACCAUUCGAUCAUUGGAAGAGAAGACUUCGAAAAACCAUUUUUGACAAGAUUCCAAAGUUCAACAUCCAUAGAAAUAAGAAAGAUCCUCAUUCGGGUCUUCCAAUAGGUGUAGUCCAAUCCGUUAAAUAACGGUCGACGAAAAACUGAAAAGCCCUCUUGAAAGCCAUGAAGAGCCAUUUCUCUCGGGUGUAAGUCCGAAAUGAGAAAUACGGGGCUCUUAUACCAAUUGUUAGGAUCAAGAGCACUAAGAGGGGGGCGAUGAAUUAGUGCAGCGGAAAUCUUUCGACGCUUAAAACUUCGAAAGCUGCGUUCGUUCGAUAAAAACGAUUUCGAUGUAAAAGCCGAUUCUAAGAUUACUUUAACUUAAGAUUAAGCGAGAUGACGUUAAAGUAGAUCUAUGAAGGCAGUUUGCAGUUUAUGAUGGAAAUCAGAAUGCAAGCGCAAACUGAAAUGCGAUGUUCGUACGAUAAAACCAGUUUACGUCUAAAUGCCGAUUCUGAAGAUACUGAACUUUGAGAUAUAUUUUAUAAAUGCGCAGUCGGCAGUUUGCAGUUAUGAUUGAAGUCUAAACGUAAACGUAAAUUGAAAUAUGAUGCUCGUACGAAAAAGCCGAUUUACGUCUAAAUGCAUAUUCGGAAAGCUCUGAACUUAGAAACUCGUUCGUUAAGAGCGCAGAGGGCAGUAAGCUAUUAAGGAGGUUUGCAGUAAAGAUAAAAUGCUCAAAGUAAAUGCAAACCAAGAUUUAGAGUGGUUCGGUCAAUCUUGACCUACUCCACUUUUGGCUUCCUCCACCGACGAGGUCACCGACGUCAACUAGAGGCCUUCCUUUAAUAGGUGAAGGCCAACCACCCUUUUAUAGUUUUACUCCUUUUGACGGGCUUAGGAGACAACCCUUACAGAAAUUUCUCUCCUCUCUUUACGACUCAAAACUUGGAAGAAAAGAGGGAGGAGAACUUUUGGCCUUUACAACAAUUUUGAGCUCUAAAAAUCACUGAAAAAGAUCAAGAUUUCGGGUAAGUUCUUGCUCUUUCAAUGCUGAAUGGGUGGGGUAUUUAUAGGCCCCAACCCAGUUCAAAUUUGGAGCUCAAAACUGUCAAUUCCUGGAAUUCCGGGAUCAGGCGGUUGCACCUCCUGAUUGGGGCGAUUGCACUGCCUGACAGAGCUCGAAGACUGAGCCUCUAGGCGGUGCCACCUCUAUCAGGGGCGGUUGCACCUCUCUGCCAGAGCUCGAAGACCGAGCUCAGGUGGUUGCACCUCCUGACUGGAGCGGUUGCACCGCUUGGCAGAGCUCGAAGACUGAGCUCAGGCGGUGCCACCUCCUGUCAGGAGAGGUUGCACCGCCCAGUCUCGCUUGGAGACUGAUCCCAGGCGGUGCCACCUCCUGGCUGGGGCGGUUGCACCGCCCAGUCUCGCUGGGAGACUUAGCCCAGGCGGUGCUACCUCCUGGCCUAGGCGGUUGCACCUCUUGGCACUAUUUCAGAUCACUGGUUGGGCUCCAAACUUAGCCCAAACCAGUCCAAAUUCGGGCCCAAUUGGACCCUAACCGGGUUAUAAGAUUAACACCUAAUCCUAACCCUAAGUAACAUGCUAACUACGAAUUUAAAGACAUUUCUUAUGCUAUUACAAAGUUCGUAAGUCAAGACUUCUUCCGGCGAGCUUCCGGUGAACUUCCGACGGUCUUCCGAUAAACUCUUGGAAACCAUUCUGCGGACUCCUGGCAAGCUCCUAGACUUCACGAUUUGAUCUUGGCGAGUUCCAACGAGCUUCUUUGGCAAGCUUCUGGACUUCUCGGAUUUGUUCCCGCAAAACCUCCGACGACCGUCCGAACUUCCGUCGAACUCUCGAACUCCCAACGUGAUCAUAGUCUUGACUCCGGCGCAACUCCUGCUGCAUGUCUUUCUUCCAUCAUAGUUAAUCCUGCACACUGAAAACAAACACUUCGAUCGAGAUAAUUAAUCCUAAGCAAUUAACCAAGUUGUCCGGCAUGUCAUUAGUCCCUCGACGCUUCGUCCGAUUCUUCGGCGCAUCGUCGUCUCCUGCAGCCUAUUGCCCAAUCGGCUAGUUGACUCCGCAACUCCGAUAUCCUUGGCACAAUACCCGCUCUUCUUGGUACGAUGCCCGAGUCCACGGCCCGAAGCUUUCUGUCGAUACGUCGACCGAUCCACUGGACCGACGUCCAAUCUUCUGACAUGUUCCUCCAGCACAACAUGAUUUUCCUGCUUUAAUUGUCUCAUCCUGAUCGAAGUAUCCUGCGUUACUCAAAAUACAGAUUAAAUCAUAAACAUAUAUCAAGUGGUUUCAUCAUCAAAAUACGAGAUUCAACAGUAUUCACACUUUAAACCCCAAGUUUUCAUUCACUUUUCUUGCUUAGCUAAGCAGGAAAUAUUAUGGUAUUUAUAGGCCCUAAAUGACUUAAAAAAUAGAGCCAAAAAAUUGUCUCAUCCUGGGUUUCCAAAAUACUAGUUGUACCACCACUAUUACUAGGUGGUACCAUCGUCUACCAGAUUGAUAACUAGCGGUACCACUACUUGUUAGCCUGACACUGGGUGGUACCACUACCUAGUCUGACACUGACAUUGGGUGAUACCACCGCCCAAUCUAGUGGUACCACUACUUGACAUAGUCUCGGAGAUUAUGUCUAGGUAGUACUAUCACCUAGAUAGCCUGAGAGGCCGAGCCUUAAGAGGUGCCACCACUAGCCCUGGUGGUGCCAUUGCCUAGGCCAACUAAGGGUUACUGAAUGAGCUUUCCUUUUGGCCCAAAAUAGCCCCAACUCAGGACCAAUGAGCCCUUAGUUAAGUUACCAUUAUUUUACCCCAAAAUCGACUUAAUUAGAUCUAAACUAACUCGAUCUAAAUACACACGAUUACAAGCAUAAAUCCUAUGUAGUUCGGCAUGUUAUUAGUUCAUUCGAUGCUUCGUCCGAUUUUUCAGCGCAUCGUCCUCUUUUUCGGUGUAUUGCCCAAUCGGCAUGUUGACUCAUAUAACUUCCGAUCUCCGUAGUGCAAUAUUCAAUCUUUCGACCCGAUGCUUGAACUCAUGGCACAAAGUCCUUCCGGCACGUAGACCAUUCCUCCAGCCCAAUAUCUUAUUCUUCCUUUUUUUAAUCGAAUUAUCUUUCCUUGAUUGAAGUUAUGUUGAAUAUUUGAUUUUGAUGAUGAAACUAAUUGAUAAUGUUAUGAUCUAAUCUAUGUUUUAAGUGACGCAGAACUAGCUUUGAUCAAGCAGAGGCAAAUUGAUUGAAGUAGAAGGAAUCAGAUGUUGGGACGAAGUUAAAUUGUUGGGAAAUCUUGGGGGCGACAUCACAUGCGCAGUGGAAGAACAAGAAAACAAAAUCCCCGAUUCCCAAAGAGAUGUUCGUCGUCGUGUGAAGAUUGGUGCGCAAAAUCCAUGAAACUUAAAACUGUGUAUAGAGUAGAUUGUGUUACCUAGGGAGAUCGUAUAUCCCUAUUUCCUUGCAAAUCCUUAGGAGAGAGUGAAGGAGGUCAAGUGUCCUCCUCUCUAACGGUGAUCCAUACAGUAGGGCUGCGACGACGCUCCUCAAAACUCCAGGCCUGCUCUGAGGUGGAGAGGGGGAGGAGAAUAGGAGAGGCAAGCAAAAGCUCUAGCCUAUGAGGCUCUGAAUCCCUCCUAUUUAUAGAGGUCCCCUGUCAAACCCUAAUGGAUCCUCCCUUAGUGGGUAUUGGAUCUGCAUCCAAUAACCCAAGCCUUUUAGAUUAGUAGAUCUCUAUCCAAUAAUCUCUUAAGGGCUCUUAUUGGAUCUCGUCCAUGGGAUCCAAUAAUUCAGAGGCUUAUUGGAUAUCCAAUAAGAUAAGGGCUCCGUCGGAUAUCUCAUAUCUGAACCUCUACUCAUCGCAAUGCCUAUUAUAUGUGUGUGACCCUCUAGGCCCAAUAUCGAGAUGGUCGUGAGUCAUACAUGUCAGAACUCUUUCUAACUUAGUUAAUUAUUAUCUCUGUAAUAAUUCACUCGACUCAUCGACUACGGACGUACUAGGCCACUACGCUGUAGUCCCUGGACGAUACAGGGGAAUCCAAUCCAUUAGACCUAUCUGUCCUCAGUUACCGUGUACCUAUAGUCCCUCAUCCAUCUAAUAUCCCAGAGACCGUAUAUCGAGCAUGGUGCUGUCAGACCCAUACGGUUUCUACUCGAGUCUCGCUCUAAUCGGAUUCUCCCGGAGAACUCUUUCUCUCUCAACCCGAAUGACCUUAGCCAGGGAUUUGUCUGAGCAAGAACACAUGGGAUAUUCCUCUCAUGACACCGAGAGUGGAUGAUCCUCUAUCGACACUCAAUAGCCCUCGUAAGGUUGACUACCAUUCUCAAUGACCAACUGUACUAGAUCUGGGACAGCCAAACCUAUAAGUCUGGUAUCAAAGAGUGGAGCACUCAUACAGGACAUCCUUGAUGUCUCAAGUCUAAGGACCAGAUAUACCACUAGGACUACGGAAUCGCUGUCUGAUAAUAACGCAUCAUCAACCAUCCAGUAUUCCGUAAGCGGAUCAAUUAGUGAACUCAUUCUCCAAUGAGCACAUGUACUGUAUCCCUAGUGUUCCUACACGAGCAGCUAUGAGACCAGCUGCAUCUAUCAUAUGGACGGGUAUACAGCACACCAGUCUAUCCGGUUAUCACGAUGUCCCUCUCGAGUAACCUAUGACCGGGAUUAUUUAAGAUCUGUGUUUAAAGGUGAAUCGAUCUUAUUAUCAUGAUCUAAUCACGAUCCGAUUCCCAUUGCAUAAAUCCAAGGACAUCACAAUAUAUAUAUACACAUGCAAUAGUUAUAAAGUGAUAUAUGCUAAAAUAUAAUAAGCAAAAGGAUUAUGUAUCAAGUCACACAUGCCAUCACUUACGUGAUUGGCUUACUGGGCACCUAUGACUAGCAAUCUCCCACUUGACCUAAAGCCAAUCACCUAUGUGUUUGAUCCCCAUCAGACCCCUGUGACGCUUAAAGACAAUCUGAGACAACAGCUUUGUCAGUGGAUCUGCAAUAUUAUCUUCGGAUGGAACACUUUCCACUACUACAUCUCCUCGGGUUACGAUCUCUUUGAUAAGCUAGACCCUCCUCAGAACACUUCUGAUGAGACCUGGGUUCCUUUAUUUGAGUAAUCGCCCCAUAGUUGUCGCAAUAUAAGGAAGUCGGCUUCUCGCUAUCCGGCACGACUCCUAAAUCUGUGAUGAACUUCUUCAACCAUACUCCCUCCUUUGCUGCAUCUAAUGCAGCAAUGUACUCGGCCUCUAUGGUCGAGUCAGUAGUAGUAUCUUGCUUGGAACUCUUCCAGCACACUGCUCCUCCAUUCAAGGUGUACACAUACCCUGAAUUCGCCUUACUAUAAUCGACAUCAGACUGAAAACUUGAGUCUGUGUAGCCUUCAACCUUAAGGCUACUACCUCCAUAUACUAGUAAAAGAUCUUUAGUCCUUCUCAAGUACAUAAGGAUACACUUUACUGCUUUCCAAUGCUCCAAGCCUGGAUCCGCCUGAUACCUACUCGUGACACUCAGAGCAUGCGCUAUAUCAGACCUAGUACAAAGCAUGGCAUACAUGAUAGACCCUAUUGCUGAGGCAUAAGGUAUCAUAUCCAUGUUCGCCCUUUCUUCUGGAGUCUUUGGAGACAUACUCGUAAAAAGCAAUAUCCCAUGUCUCAUCGAUAUGAGACCUCUCUUGGAAUAUUUCAUGCCAAACCUUUUUACAAUGGUUUCUAUGUACCUGGACUGGGACAAGUCAAGCAUCCUUUUGGAUCUAUCUCUAUAGAUUUGAAUCCCCAAGAUAUAGGAUGCUUCCCCUAAGUCUUUCAUGGAGAAGUGUCUAGAUAACCAAGCCUUUACUAUAGAUAGCAUUCCUAUGUCAUUACCAAUAAUCAGGAUGUCAUCCACAUAUAACACCAAAAAGGUGAUAGCGCUCCCACUUACCUUCCUGUACACACAAGGCUUAUCUUCGUUCUUAACGAAGUCAUAAGAUCUGAUUGCCUCAUCAAAUCUUAUGUUCCAACUUCGAGAAGCUUGCUUUAGUCCAUAAAUGGAUCUAAGCAACCUACACACCUUAUCUGGGCAGUUCUUGGACAUGAAUCCCUCAGGUUGCAUCAUAUACACCUCCUCCUCGAGGUUCCCAUUGAGGAAUGCGGUUUUCACAUCCAUCUGCCAGAUCUCAUAAUCAUAGUAUUCUGCAAUAGCCAAUAGAAUUCUGAUGGAAUUUAGCAUUGCUACGGGUAAGAAGGUUUCGUCAUAGUCAACACCUUGCCUUUGACGAUACCUCUUAGCCACUAGCCUUACUUUAUAGGUCUCUACCUUUCCAUCUACUCUGAUCUUUUUCUUAAAGAUCCACUUGCAACUGAUGGGUACAAUACCUUCGGGUGUAUCAACUAGGUUCCAAACCUUGUUGGAGUACAUAGAAUCCAUCUCAGAAUUCAUGGCUUCUUGCCACUUCCCGGAGUCUAUACUCAUAAUAGCCUCCUCGUAGGUCUGAGGAUCAAUAUCCUCAACAUCCUCUCAUCUAAUAUAUCACAUAUCUCUCAGGAGGAUGGGAUACUCUAUCAGACCUACGUAAAGUUGAAACUUGUGUAUUAGGUACCUAAACAGACUCAGGCUGUAGAGUGGUGCUUGAGCUUGAUUCUCCAACCUCACUCAACUCUAUCAUUCUCCCACUGUCUCCGCCAAGAAUGUGUUUCUUCUCAAGGAACACUGCUCUCUUAGCUACAAAGACCUUUUGGUCCUCGAGAUGAUAGAAAUAAUCCCACAAGUUUCCUUGGGGUAUCCCACAAAUUUGCAUCGCUCUGUCCUUGAUUCUAAUUUAUCGGGGUUGUGUCUUUAACGUGGGCAGGGCAGCCCCAAUUCUUAACAACCUUAAUAUUAUGCUUCUUCCCUUUCCAUAUCUUAUAUGGUGUAGAUACUACCGACUUAGUUGGAACUCUGUUCAUAUCGGGAAGGUAAGCUACGGUCUCUAGGGCAUAUCCCUAUAAUAAGAUGGGUAGGUCAGCGAAACUCAUCAUAGACCGUAUCAUAUCUAAUAGCGUACGAUUCCUCCUUCCAGAGACACCAUUGAGCUAAGGUGUAUAAGGAGGUGUCCAUUGGGAUAAUAUCCCAUGGUCCUUGAGGAACUGAGUAAACUAUGUACUUAAGUACUCACCUCCUCGAUCUGAUCGAAGAGUUUUGAUACUCUUUCCAGUUUGGUUCUCCACCUCAUUCUUAUACUCUCUGAAUUUCUCAAAAGCCUCAGACUUGUACUUCAUUAAGUACACAUAUCCAUACCUUGAGAAAUCAUCAGUAAAGGUAAUGAAGUAGGAGUAACCACUAAUGGCAUGAGUUAACAUGGGUCUACAUACAUCACUAUGUAUGAGUUCCAACAGCUCAGUGGUUCUCUCUCCAAUUCCACUAAAUGGAGAUUUGGUCAGUUUUCCACGAAGGCAAGGCUCGCAAGUUGCAUAUGACACAUAAUCGAAUGGAUCUAGAUAUCCAUCAUUUAGCCACUUUUGAAUCAUUCCCUCAUGGAUGUGACCUAGCCUACAAUACCAUAGGUAUGCACUGUUCACCUCAUCUCGUUUCCUCUUAGACACUUACAUUCAUGAUAUGUGAAGUAGUGUCUAGCAUAAACAAACCUUUAUGCAAUAUUCCUCUCGCCAAUCUCUGUAAAUAGGAAGGAACCAAAAAGCCAUAGGCUAGACCCUUUUGGGUUACCACCUCUUAUACCCCUCUCUCCCUCUCCUCCUUAGUCGCAUGGUGCGCGUGGAAAGGAGGAUUGUUCAGCAAUUUCAAGAGUAUUUUCUCAGCCCCUAUUGUGUAGAUCAUCGUUAGAGAGGAGGACAGUUAACCUUUUUAUUCUUUUUUAUAGAUUUAUAGGAUUUUAAGGAUAUAUGAUCUUCCUAAGUAACACAUCUUUCAUAUACGUGUAGUUUUUCGAUUUUGUAAUUUUUGCACACCAAUCUUCACAUGAUAAUAAAAUCUUCUUUUUCUGUAGAAAAUUUUGAGAUUUUAUUUCAUGUUCUUUUGUUACAUAUGUGAUGGAUGAGUCCCGAGGCCCACAGAAAUGUUUCACCAUUCAGGAGAACACCACUACAAUAGGGAUCAACAGGUACGAGAUCAACUAUAGUUAACAUAUCCUAUUGAAACCAAGUACCCCUUUUGUCCCGACUAGGUGAUGACCGGAAGUCACCAUGACAGAUUCAUACUCCCACUGUGGCAAUCGAGCCAAAGCCCACCAUCGACGGAACACCCUCUCUUCGAAGCAACAGAAGGAGAGUUCGCUGUUAACCUCUUGGAGCUGAAGGGGGGAGGCAAAACCACCAUGACGGAUUCAUAAUCCUAUUAUAGCGGUCGAGCCAAGACUCACCAAUAAUGGAACACCAAAAAUCAGCACCCUCUCUUAGAAGUAGUAGAAGGAGAGUUCAUCGUCAACCUCCCGGAACGGAAGGGGGAGGCAAAAAUUAAGAAAAGGUGUAAACUCCCAAAGUAGAAGGGGGAGAAUGGAGAAAAACACAAGAAGAUGGAAUCUAUCAAAACAAAUCUACCACGAUGGAGCCAUAAGCUGCCAUGAUGGGUGAUCCGAGAUCAAGUCUCCAGUGACUCAUCACCCUUAGCCAUGAUUUCAGAAGGGGUUACACAAUUAAUUAUAGAGAGCAUUAAUUCUUGAUGGUAUGACCCAACUCUUCGAGCACUUGAUGUCGAUUCCUAUCCCAUGUCUAUUUUGAACAUGGCCCUACCUUGAUAAUCAAUAUGCCUCUAGACAUCCUUCCUUGAUGUUGCCACAUUUACUAGCCUUUGACAUAAAUGAGCUUCUAUUGAUACGAGAAGCUAAAGAGGGGGGAAUGAAUUUGCUGACAAAUCAAGUAUAAAAUCUAAUCCCCAAAACCAAUCAGGAGGAGGAAAAACAGAGACUAUAAAAAAACUCUCUCGAGCUCUUCUAAACCCUCUCUACUUUCUUGAUUGACUUAAUCAUCGGAUGAGUCGAGUCUGGAAGUCUCUCGACACUAAUUAAUUAUGCAAGACUCACGCACAUCCAGAGAAUACCUCAGGAUGACGUGGAGCAUCCCUUGAUUAGGCCAAGGCUCACCUUGGAAUAACUGUAAACUUCCUUCAAGAGACGAACCAUACCUUGUAAGAACUGCGAGCAAAGUCUCAAGAUUAUACUUACUACCCCAAUCUCAUUUUCGAAUUUCACCCUAGUAAUCCGUUUAGGCUUCUGGGGUGGGUCUAUGCUUUCGGAUUUGAAUCGAGCCAUGUUGACCUCUCGAUUAAUGACACCCAAAUAAAAAACAGUUUGUAAUUAUAAUAUCAAUAAGAUCAAAUUUAUCUCAACUUGAAUUCAAACUAUUAUUGAAAAAAUAAUUUUAAAUUCAAGUUAGUUAUAUUUUUAAGAUGACAUGUAGAUCGGGAAAAUCUCGUUAAGACCUCAGCGUUAAUUGAUUUUUCGAUAUUCAUGAAGUUAGAUGACUAUCUUUAUACAUAAUAAUGCUAAAAUAAUUUUUAUUUUUAUAAAAUUAGAAUAUUGAUUUCGAAGAAAGAAGUAAUGCCAUGACAUGAUAUCGCAAUGUUGUUUUGGCUGAUGAUACAAAAAAGUACCAUGACCACACGGCGGGCACGUCGAGCAAGUCCCAGGCUUGGACGUUUCGUCAGGCGCCGCCCCAUAUCGUCAAUCUUGUCAUGUCACGACCGAUCUCCACCGACACGCUAUUCUCUGGCGAAGCACCCGGCGUCAACGUUGCCACCACAGCAGGAGGGAAGCAUGAGCUGCAACUGAUGUCUGCUUCCGGCGAGCCACUACGCGGUCAAGCAAUGCACCCGGCGUCAACGUUGCCACCACGGCAGGAGGGAAGCAUGAGCUGUAACUGAUGUCUGCUUCCGGUAAGCCACUACGCGGUCAAGCACAUGAGCUAAACGUGGACGACGGAGACGAGGAGGACGAAGAGGACAGUAGCGAAGAAGAUUAAAAUUGGAUGUAGGAUUUUACGAGGAGAGGGCUCUUCUCCCUUUUCCAUCUUUGUUCCCCUUCUUAUUCUACCUCCUCCUCCCC